RNAcentral lists this long non-coding RNA (95566 nucleotides) under Triticum aestivum (bread wheat). RNAcentral describes it as "long non-coding RNA (TAES_LNC016155)". The record is from RNAcentral. Lineage: Eukaryota; Viridiplantae; Streptophyta; Magnoliopsida; Poales; Poaceae.
GAUGCGGAGCAUCCUUCGGUCAUCCCCAUGGACCUUCCGUCGUCUCACCAAGCACCAAGAGGACCCAUGACUAGAGCACGAGCUCGAGCUCUCGAGACCGAGGUGACUUCUCUCCUUAGUGAUAUAUCAUAUGACCCUCUCGAGACAUGGCUACUACCUCAAUCCGGAAUGUUGUGCAUGAUUAGGUACCAAGAGGACCCUCCCAAGGAUGCACAUGAAGGUGGACAAGACCCCAAGUCCAAGGAAGAAAGGAACCAAUGGAAGAAGGCACAAGAAGCUUCCAGGCACCGGACAUCCGGCCAAGGCCCCGGACAUCCGGUCCCUGGAGAUCCACACGGCCAGCUCCUGCAGAAGAAGGCUACAACAAUCGGACAUCCGGCCUCCAGCCCGGACAUCCGGCCACCCACCGAAAAUCCGGCCUCCCGCCCGGAUAUCCGGCCCAGGCUUCCCGAAUACACUGAAGAUGGCCCCAACAGCCCGGACAUCCGGCCUACGCACCGGACAUCCGGCCUACGCACCGGACAUCCGGCCCCUCUGGAAGCACCGGACAUCCGGCACCCCCAGCCCGGACAUCCGGUCCCUCGUGAACCACCGGACAUCCGGCCCGACGCCCGGACAUCUGGCGCCCCUGCCUGCGCGCAGCCUCCUUUGGGCCUUGACCCAUGAUUCCUUCUCCCCCGGACUAUAUAUACUCCCUCCUCCCGUACGUUUUAGGGUUAGCGUUGAUUUAUCUCAGAUUAGAGAUAGAGCUUCGCUCAUCCAUCGGAUCUCCUCUUCGUGAGAGACCGCGGCCUCCUCGGAGAAGAUCCAAUCGGAUUCAAGGCCCCCUCGUGGGAAGAUCCCCUCGCGGAUUCAAGACCUCCUCACGGAAAAGAUCGGUUACCUAUGUAUCCUUACCUUUGUUGGCUUUGGAUCUCGUGUAUCUCUUUGUGUUCAGUGAUCUAGCACUCGUGUGAUUGAUUCUAUGUCGGUUUAGUGAUUCUCUCUCUCGUUUUCCCCGUGUUUCCCCUUUGUGCUUCCGUGUGUUCUUCGUGAUUCCCUGUAGGAUCCACUCCAAACAUGAAAGAUCGUCCACAUAGGGUUCCGCCCUAUAUCAUCUUGGUAUCAUGAGCCACGUUGAUCACGUUUUUGGAGCCCCUACCCCGUGUUUUCUAGCUUGAUUUUGUGUUUUUCGUCCUAAAUCCGAAAAUUCCCCACCAAAAAUAGCCCCAAAUGUUUUUUGUGAUUUGUUGGUGAGUUGAGAUUUUGUUGGAUUUGGUCCAUGGAUUAGUGUUGCUGCGUGUGGAUCUAGCUUUCCCCACCCUCCCCACCCUUUUCCAUCCACCAAUUCGUCCAAAUUUUGCCCCGGAGUUGCAAUUUUUUCCCGUGGAGUUCAUCGCGUUCGUCCCCGAUCAGGAGCCCGGACAGCCGCUGAGUUCACCGGACAUCCGGCUCACCGGACAUCCGGCGUCUGGCCCGGACAUCCGGCCCUGGCAGCAGCAGUUCCACCCUACACCACCAUCCACCAUACCCUCGCCCAAUUUUUCCCGGAGCCCACGGCUACUUCCGCAUACCAAUACCACCUUCCACAAACACCACCACCGAUCACCGCUACCUCCUAUGUCGAUUUUGACACGUUUUGGUCUUUGAGAGUUUGGGUUGUGGUUUCCCGUGUCCUGUUGUGUUUCGGCUAUAUAGGUACGGUUUGACGUCAACAUCACCACCGCUCAUCUCCACCGACUACUCAUCAUCGCCAAGGACGGUAACAUCAACGACAUCUUUGUCAUACCAUGCAAUUGCAUUGAUACCCACAUUGCCUCAUUUUGCGUAGCUUACCCAUCGAGACUAGCCGUUGAGUAUUGUUGGCAACGCGACUUGUGCACAUUAGUGAUCAUACUCCAUAGCAUACAUACCAUACCAUAGUGGUGCAUAUCUUGAGAUCAACUUGUGUGUCACAAAGUUGUCAUCGCAUACACAAUUGCUAUCUUGGUUCGUGAAGUUUUGCAUGAGAAAAGAGCUCAAAAGUGAAAGAGCCAACCAAGCUUUUAAGCAAAGAGGAAAGAUAAGCAAAGAGCUUAUAAGCGAGAACCAUAGCAUCAUACAACAUUAGGAUUGUCAUAUCCGAUCAUCUUGGAUCAUAGCACCGAAAUAUCAUACAUAUAGCAUACUUGGAAUAGAGAUCGUUGCAUUUUUGCCUAGUAGGUUGUGCACAAGUUUGCGUAUCCGCCUAUUGUGCAAUCGUGCUAGCGUCUCUCUAGUAUUGUGCAACAAGAGCAUUUUCGUGGUUUCCACAUUUUGGCUCACUUUUGGAUUGCACAAUCCCAUUUAUCUAUUUGCGUGUGUGUUUCCGUGUACCCAUACUUGCUUGGUCUACUUGUUGCAUUUGCAAAUUUGUGAAUCAUUUCCAACAUUAUUGAAGCUCACUUACUAUUGCAUCAAAUUUUGAGCCACCAUCCUAACCAAGCUCCACCAUAAGCUUUUAUGUGUGUAGGUGUGAGAACCGACAAGAAUUGGUACCAACAGUGCUAUUUCAUUGUCCGCAUUUGAGUGAACUUGAUUCAUCUUCAACUUCGGUCAAGGUACAUUUGGUAUACGUAUUUUCCUUCUACCAAUUACAUUUUGCUUGGAAUGAUGGAUAGGCCAAGUUCUUCUACCACUCCACCUCUCAUCGAGAACGACGAUGACAUGACAUCAUUUGUCACCAAGAGUCACCUAUUUGGAGCUCAAAAGGCAUUGCACCAAGAACAACAAGCAAUGAGGGACUACUUCGACAACAAAUUCGACGCUCACAAGCAAGAUGCAAGAAUGGACGAGAUCCGCGCCUUCAUGAGGAACCGGCAUCCUUCCACUUCUUCAUCCUAAAGACGGAGCCGCUCGAGUCGACACUCCGACGACACCUUCUCCGACUCAAGUACACCGUCAUCGAACACUCUUCGACAAGCUGCGCGUCAAGACCGGCAUGCAUCUCGGAACCCGCUACAUGACAAGCAUACAUAAUGAUAGAGGCAAAGGUGUCCCAUCUUUCGAUGAGAUGAUGGAUUUCGCUUUGGUGGAAGUUGACUUUGACGACCCGACUACGAACGUAGGAGGACGUCACGCCUUAGCAAUCGCUAAACCAACUCCGAGAGGUUAUUGACCACGCCGGAGCACGAUCAACCUGAUCACGAGGGUCUGUUUCCUACGAGCAAACGAAGAACAAGCAAGAAACUGAGAUUGCAAUCUGGAUAUUGCGAAUAUAAGAUGAAAGCUUUAUUGAUGAAGAUGGGGUUCUGUGACGCCUUUGUCUGGUCGUUGAACACAAACGAAGUACGCGAAGUUGCAGCUAUGGCGAACUUUUAAUCUAAACAAAACCCAAAGUCUAAACGAUGCCCUAAGGGCUGUAUAUAUGGACGAAGAGGGGGGAAUUUCGUGGCCCUUGGUGGAGGGGUCCAAAAUCAACCCUAUCUCUUGUUUCCCCACACAUACGGACUCUAAAAAUAGCCUAUACUUAGGUAUUUCGAAAUUACAUGGGCCUGGCCCAAUAAUAAGGUGACACGGCACCUAGAAUAGCCUCGCGACGAAAUUUAUGAAGUGGCAUCUUGUAUAUUUCGUCCAAGGCUUCAUGCACCCAUUAUGGUGGCUUCAAAGUCCUGAAAUCAUCACUUGUAACUCCGUUCUUGUUCCCCUUGCGCAUGCCAUCAUCUCCAUGCUUUUUCUUGCUCCAAUGUUCAUCCUUCUCUAAGCUAGGCCCUUCAUUUGUAAGCAAAACAAAUGUAUCCAAUUUAGGCAGCAUCAUAUUCUCAUGAACAUUAGAAUCAUUACCAAGAAACGAAAGUACUUGGUAAUUUAGUUGGCGUGCGCGAGCUCUAGUAAUUGGUCCAGUAUGUAUAGCAGCAGGGGCUGUGGGUGUAACAAUUGUAUUGAUGUCCUCAUCACACAAGAACAAGUCGAUGAGCAAAUCCCUCGUCCUCAAUCAAACCAAGUCGCUUUUGCACAAGCUCAAGAAUGACAACGACUACGACGCCAAGAAGAAGAGCGAGCGCGCCUACACCAAGAGGAACAAGAUGCCGAGGCUCAACGUCUUCAACAACAACAACGAGAAGCACAAGCUCUUGAGGCGCAACGUGCUCUUCAAGAUUCGAUCCGAGCCAUUGCCAACGGCAAUCGCGAGCGGCGCAAUCAAGAGUAAGCCCUUCGAUAAGAAAUCCAAGAGAGGAACUACCAACAGCGUGUGCAACGUCAAGCUCCACAAGCUCCUCCACAAGCUCGUCAAGCUCCACCUCAACCUCAAGUUCAACAAGAGCAAGUUGAUCAUGGACUUCAUCUGCGCCAAGAGCAACAUGAGGAUGACUAUCCUCCACGUCAAGGACAUCAUCAUCACCAUCGCCAACAACACAAUGAAGAGCAACGCUAUGGCAAGCUCAAGUUCACAAUGCCCAAGUUCAAUGGAAGCAAUGAUCCCGAAGAAUACCUCUCAUGGGCAUUGAAGGUCGACAAAACUUUUCGCUUGCACAACUACGAGGAAGAGAAGAAGAUCGCUAUGGCAUCACUUGAUGAUGAGGACAUCAAUACAAUUGUUACACCCACAGCCCCUGCUGCUAUACAUACUGGACCAAUUACUAGAGCUCGUGCACGCCAACUAAAUUACCAGGUACUUUCGUUUCUUGGUAAUGAUUCUAAUGUUCAUGAGAAUAUGAUGCUGCCUAAAUUGGAUACAUUUGUUUUGCUUACAAAUGAAGGGCCUAGCUUGGAGAAGGAUGAACAUUGGAGCAAGAACAAGCAUGGAGAUGAUGGCAUGCGCAAGGGAAACAAGAACGGAGUUACAAGUGAUGAUUUCAGGACUUUGAAGCCACCAUAAUGGGUGCAUGAAGCCUUGGACGAAAUAUACAAGUCGCCACUUCAUAAACUUCGUCCCGAGGCUAUUUUAGGUGCUGCGUCACCUUAUUAUUGGGCCAGGCCCAUGUAAUUUCGAAAUACAUAAGUAUAGGCUAUUUUUAGAGUCCGUAUGUGUGGGGAAACAAGAGAUAGGGUUGAUUUCGGACCCCUCCACCAAGGGCCACGAAAUUCUCCCCCUCUUCCUCCAUAUAUACAGCCCUUAGGGCAUCGUUUAGACUUUGGGUUUUGUUUAGAUUAAAAGUUCGCCAUAGCUGCAACUUCGCGUACUUCGUUUGUGUUCAACGACCAGACAAAGGCGUCACAGAACCCCACCUUGAUCAAUAAAGCUUUCAUCUUAUAUUCGCAAUAUCCAGAUUGCAAUCUUAGUUUCUUGCUUGUUCUUCAUUUGCUCGCAGGAAACAGACCCUCGUGGUCAGGUUGAUCGUGCUCCGGCGUGGUCAAUAACCUCUCGGAGUUGGUUUAGCGAUUGCUAAGGCGCGACGUCCUCGCACGUUCGUAGUCGGAUCGUCAAAGUCAUCUUCACCAAAUUGAUAGUUAUCAUCUCAUCGAAAGAUCGGGACACCCCGCCUCUAUCAAGUGGUAUCAGAUUUCCAGGUUGCUCGGUGAGAUUUUACAGUUUUUCGUAGUUUAGAUCGAGUCUGUUCUUCAUACCUAAAGUCCACGAAAAAGCCAAAAAAAAAUUAGGGUUAGUUCAUCCCAUCCGAACCAAUCUGAGCCUUGCAUAAUCUUUUCUGUAUUUGCUUUGUUGAAUUUGCGGUUGCAUCGUCGUGUUCAGUUGCUGGUCUUAGCGUCUAGUCUUUUAGAGUUUCGAGUUCUGUUCACAAGUUGUCACGCCGUCGCCGCACCAUCAUCAUCGCCCCUGCCAUCUACCACCACCGCUCCGAAUCCGUAUCCAUAUACCACCACCAAUCCGUGUCCAUAUACCACCACCGAUCCAUAUCCAAAUACUACCACCGCUGCCAUAUACCACCACCAUAUAUCCACCACCAAUCCGAGUUCCUUGCUUAUUAGGUUUGUUUUCGGGAUCACUCUAGAUUCCGAUUCGUGUUUCCUUGCCGGAGUAGGUUUCGGAAAAAAAAAAAAAAAAUUCGGGUAGCCACGCUCCGUUUAGGCCCAAAAUUUUUCGAAAACGCAUUUUUCGAAAAAAUUUCUGGCUAUCCUAUUUUUAGGUGUUUCUGAGUGUUUUGAGACAGGUGCCAUUAUAGGAAGUUUUUUUUGACCCGUUUCCAGUUUUUGGGUCCGGGCAGUCAAAAAAAAAAAAAAAUUGGUCAAAAAAAUUUCGUGCCCAUCCUGUCAGUUUGAGCUAAGAAGAGUUUUGAGACACUCGCCAUUAUAGUGAUUUUUCGCAAAAAAAANNNNNNNNNNNNNNNNNNNNNNNNNNNNNNNNNNNNNNNNNNNNNNNNNNNNNNNNNNNNNNNNNNNNNNNNNNNNNNNNNNNNNNNNNNNNNNNNNNNNNNNNNNNNNNNNNNNNNNNNNNNNNNNNNNNNNNNNNNNNNNNNNNNNNNNNNNNNNNNNNNNNNNNAAAAAAGAGCGCAAAAAAAAAAAAUUCCAGAGUGUGCUUUUCCCUUGUUUACGUGCCGCGCCGUGAUUUUGUUAGUGUUCUAGGCUCGCGUCUCUAGCACAGUCUAGCCUAGGACCAGCACAGUACCGUCGUUGAGCGUUUAUUCAACUUUGCAUCUCUGAAUUGAUUAUUGCUGACCCUUUUUGCUACCAUACUAUAAGCCUUCCCAGCUCCACAUACAUCUACGUCGUGUGUUCGACUCCCCCUGGUAAUCGCUCUAUCCAAGCUUUGAGAGUUUUUGACUACAACGGUUGCCGAUCACCGCCUGCUGCUGGGUAAGAACUGGUAAGAAUUUGAGAUUUGCUUGACGGAUUUGUGACACCCACCACCACCACUUGUUCGUAGUCUGUAAUAUCAUAUUCUUGUGUGUUUCCAUUGCUGCUAACCAUGCCAGGAUCACAAGCCGACGAGAUUGACUGGGAGAAUUUAUCGAACAAGGAGCUUCAUGAUAAGUUUCAGCAAAUGAUGACUGAACAGGUGCAAGAUGUGCUGAACAAUUUUGAAGAGGCCAUGGAGAAGAUCACUGGCUUUGAGAAGACGUUCGAAACAAAGCUCAAUAACAAGUUUAAUGAAUUGCUCGCGCGUCUUCCACCACCACCACCCGCUGUACCUAACGCACCUCUCCAACAACAACAACAACGACUACCUCCACGUCGCGAAGCAGACCUCCGCCGAGCAAGCCGUGUUCCUCUUGCGUUUGGCCAAACUGUUGGUGCUGCUGUUGAUACUUCUGUGGCUCCUGCUGCUGAUGCGGAGGAGGAUGAUUAUGUGGGAGAUUAUGAGGAUGAGGUUGAUCAAAAUCAACACUACGUGCAGCCACCUGUACCACCACCAGCAGGUCGACCUCAGGUAUAUAUUCGUAAUGGUAGGCCUGCACCACCACCUCAGGUACGCGAUGAUGUCCAUAUUCCUAAACUGAAAUUGAAUAUUCCACCAUUUGAGGGUAGAUAUGUUCCUGAUAUAUAUCUUACUUGGGAGUUAGAAACUGAACAACGAUUUACAUGUUUACAAUAUCCUGAGGAGAGACGAGUUGCCGCUGCUGUUUGUGCUUUCACUAGUUUUGCAUGUGUAUGGUGGUCUGAACAUUGUAGAUUAUAUCCUAUUCCAACUACUUGGGCUGCUUUGAAAACUGCUAUGCGUACGCGUUGGGUUCCACCAUAUUAUCAACGUGAAUUGCUUCAAAAAUUGCAGCGUUUAAGACAAGGAAAAAAUUCUGUAGAAGAAUAUUAUCAGGAAUUACAAACUGGCAUGAUUAGAUGUGGUAUUGUUGAGGAGAAUGAAGCUAUGCUUGCACGUUUUCUGGGUGGAUUAAAUAGAGAGAUUCAGACCAUUCUAGACUAUAAGGAGUAUACUAAUAUCACUCGUUUAUUCCAUCUUGCUUGUAAAGCUGAACGUGAAGUGCAGGAUCGACAAGCAUUGGGGUGAACUAACUUUUCUGCAGGCCGACCUUCAUCAUGGACACCACGUGCAUCUUCUACUUCAACUGCACCAGCACCUCCAUCAGGUGCCACCUCCAGCCGUGAUACAAGAAAACAGGCACAACCACCAUUAUCUGCCAAGAGCGCACCUGCGGGGCCUACACAGCGUUCUUCUUCUUCCAUAGCAUCAACAGGGCACACAAGUGAUAUUAUUUGUCGUCGUUGUAAGGGAGGAGGUCAUUAUGCGAGAGAAUGCAAAUCUCCACGUGUGAUGAUUGCUACCGCGGAUGGUGGAUAUGAGUCCGCUAGUGACUAUGAUGAGGAGACUUUGGCUCUUAUUACACGUGAAGAACAUGGUGGAGAUGAUUCUGAUAAUGAGACGCAAUACAUGGCUCCUGAAGACGCUGACAGGUAUGAAUGUUUAGUUGCUCAACGUGUUUUGAGUGUGAAGAUCACACAAGCUGAGCAAAAUCAGAGGCACAAUUUGUUCCAUACCAAGGGAGUUGUGAAGGAACGUUCUGUGCGCGUCAUCAUAGACGGAGGGAGCUGCAACAACUUGGCUAGCAUGGAGAUGGUCGAGAAGCUUUCUCUCACCACAAGACCACAUCCACAUCCUUACUACAUCCAAUGGUUCAACAACAGCGGCAAGGUUAAGGUAACACGUACUGUUCGUGUGCAUUUUAGUAUCUCUACAUAUGCUGAUUAUGUUGAUUGUGAUGUGGUACCUAUGCAAGCAUGUUCCUUAUUACUUGGUAGACCAUGGCAAUUUGAUAAAAAUUAUGUACACCAUGGUAGAAACAAUCACUAUACUCUUGUUCAUAAGGAUAAAAAUAUUACUUUGCUUCCUAUGACUCCUGAUUCCAUUUUGAAAGAUGAUAUUAAUAGAGCUAAUAAAGCACAACAGGAGAAGAAUAAGAGUGAAAAUCAGAUUGUGGCAAAAGAAUUUGAGCAACAAAUGAAGCAUAAUAAUAAACCAUCUAGUGUUGCUUCUGAAAUUAAAUUGAAAAGUGCAUGUUUAUUUGCCACCAAAUCUGAUAUUGAUGAGCUAGAUUUCAGCAAAUCUGUUUGCUAUGCUUUUGUGUGCAAAGAGGCAUUAUUUUCAUUCGAGGACGUGCCUUCCUCUUUGCCUCCUGCUGUCACUAACAUUUUGCAGGAGUUCGCUGACGUUUUUCCACAAGACGUGCCACCGGGAUUACCGCCUAUUCGAGGGAUUGAGCAUGAGAUUGACUUAAUUCCCGGUGCUUCACUGCCAAACCGUGCACCAUACCGUACCAAUCCAGAGGAGACGAAGGAGAUUAUGCGUCAAGUACAAGAGCUUCUCGACAAAGGUUAUAUACGCGAAUCCCUUAGUCCUUGUGCUGUUCCUAUUAUUCUAGUGCCGAAAAAGGAUGGUACAUCACGUAUGUGUGUUGAUUGUAGAGGCAUUAAUAAUAUUACUAUUCGUUAUCGUCAUCCUAUUCCUAGGCUAGAUGAUAUGCUUGAUGAAUUGAGUGGCUCUACAAUAUUCUCCAAAGUUGAUUUACGUAGUGGAUACCAUCAAAUUCGUAUGAAAUUGGGAGAUGAAUGGAAAACAGCAUUCAAAACUAAGUUUGGAUUAUAUGAGUGGUUAGUCAUGCCUUUUGGGUUAACUAAUGCACCUAGUACUUUCAUGAGAUUAAUGAACGAAGUUUUACGUGCUUUCAUUGGACGAUUUGUGGUUAACUAAAGCGAUGAUGCUGUUAAUGUUGCUGAUUUGUUCUUUCGUGAAAUUAUUCGCUUGCAUGGUGUGCCAAAUACUAUUGUUUCAGAUCGUGAUACUAAAUUUCUUAGCCACUUUUGGAGAUGUUUAUGGGCUAAGUUGGGGACUAAACUGCUUUUUAGUACUACUUGUCACCCCCAAACUGAUGGACAAACUGAAGUAGUCAAUAGAACGUUGUCUACUAUGCUUAGGGCUGUUUUGAAGAAUAAUAAGAAAAUGUGGGAGGAAUGCUUGCCUCAUAUUGAAUUUGCUUAUAAUCGUUCAAUGCAUUCUACUACUAAGAUGUGCCCUUUUGAAGUUGUGUAUGGUUUCCUACCUCGUGCACCUAUUGAUUUGUUGCCUCUUCCAUCUUCGGAGAAGGUUAAUUUUGAUGCUAAACAACGUGCUGAAUUGAUUUUAAAAAUGCAUGAGUUAACUAAGGAAAACAUUGAGCGCAUGAAUGCUAAAUAUAAACUUGCUGGAGAUAAGGGUAGAAAACAUGUUGUGUUUGCACCUGGAGAUCUUGUUUGGUUACAUUUGCGUAAGGAUAGAUUUCCUGAUUUGCACAAAUCAAAGUUAAUGCCACGUGCGGAUGGUCCCUUUAAGGUGUUAGAGAAAAUAAAUGAUAAUGCAUAUAAACUUGAGCUGCCUGCAGAUUUUGGGGUUAGUCCCACUUUUAACAUUGCAGAUUUGAAGCCUUAUUUGGGUGAGCAAGAUGAACUUCCGUCGAGGACGACUUCAUUUCAAGAAGGGGAGGAUGAUGAGGACAUCAAUACAAUUGUUACACCCACAGCCCCUGCUGCUAUACAUACUGGACCAAUUACUAGAGCUCGUGCACGCCAACUAAAUUACCAGGUACUUCCGUUUCUUGGUAAUGAUUCUAAUGUUCAUGAGAAUAUGAUGCUGCCUAAAUUGGAUACAUUUGUUUUGCUUACAAAUGAAGGGCCUAGCUUGGAGAAGGAUGAACAUUGGAGCAAGAACAAGCAUGGAGAUGAUGGCAUGCGCAAGGGAAACAAGAACGGAGUUACAAGUGAUGAUUUCAGGACUUUGAAGCCACCAUAAUGGGUGCAUGAAGCCUUGGACGAAAUAUACAAGAUGCCACUUCAUAAAUUUCGUCCCGAGGCUAUUUUAGGUGCUGCGUCACCUUAUUAUUGGGCCAGGCCCAUGUAAUUUCGAAAUACAUAAGUAUAGGCUAUUUUUAGAGUCCGUAUGUGUGGGGAAACAAGAGAUAGGGUUGAUUUCGGACCCCUCCACCAAGGGCCACGAAAUUUCCCCCCCUCUUCCUCCAUAUAUACAGCCCUUAGGGCAUCGUUUAGACUUUGGGUUUUGUUUAGAUUAAAAGUUCGCCAUAGCUGCAACUUCGCGUACUUCGUUUGUGUUCAACGACCAGACAAAGGCGUCACAGAACCCCACCUUGAUCAAUAAAGCUUUCAUCUUAUAUUCGCAAUAUCCAGAUUGCAAUCUUAGUUUCUUGCUUGUUCUUCGUUUGCUCGCAGGAAACAGACCUUCGUGGUCAGGUUGAUCGUGCUCCGGCGUGGUCAAUAACCUCUCGGAGUUGGUUUAGCGAUUGCUAAGGCGCGACGUCCUCGCACGUUCGUAGUCGGAUCGUCAAAGUCGACUUCCACCAAAGCAAAAUCCACCAUCUCAUCGAAAGACGGGACACCUUUGCCUCUAUCAAUUUGCUUCCCAUAAUUUUGAUGAACAUAAAAAGGUUAAGGUUGCGGUUGGUUCUUUCACUGGUUAUGCUUUGGUUUGGUGGAGUGAAUAUUGUCGGUUACACCCUGAUUAUAUACCUACUACUUGGGAUGAUUUGAAACUUGCCAUGCGACAUACUUUCGUCCCUGCUUAUUAUACUCGUGACAUGAUUAAGAAGUUGCAACACUUAAAACAAGGUAGUGAAACUGUAACAAAAUAUUAUGAUGAUUUACAAACUACCUUGUUGCAUUCCUCUUUAGAAGAAAGUGAAGAUGAUUUUAUGGAUAGAUUUUGGGGAGGAUUAAACCGUGAUAUUCAAGAGAUACUAAUUCAUGAAGAGUGUUAUCCUAUGGACCAUUUGUUUCAUCUUGCUUGCAAAGCUGAACAGGAAAUAAAACGACGUGUUGGCCACGAGGAGAACAAGCGCACGGUGCACAUUCCAAGAGUUGAUAUGAUUGUUCCUUCAACUACUAGGCAUACUAUGACAACCACAUCCGUUGUUGUCAGGACUACAUCACCUCCACCAUGUGACACAUCGCCCCCGAGAGUGGCUACAUCAUCUGAGUUGAUCAUAAGGCGAUUGCUAAGGCGCAACGUCGUGCACGUUUGUAGUCGGAUCGUCAAAGUCAUCUUCACCAAAUCGAUAGUUAUCAUCUCAUCGAAAGAUCGGGACACCCCCGCCUCUAUCAAGUGGUAUCAGAGCCGACGAGAUUGACUGGGAGAAUUUAUCGAACAAGGAGCUUCAUGAUAAGUUUCAGCAAAUGAUGACUGAACAGGUGCAAGAUGUGCUGAACAAUUUUGAAGAGGCCAUGGAGAAGAUCACUGGCCUUGAGAAGACGUUCGAAACAAAGCUCGAUAACAAGUUUAAUGAAUUGCUCGCGCGUCUUCCACCACCACCACCCGCUGUACCUAAUGCACCUCUCCAACAACAACAACAACGACUACCUCCACGUCGCGAAGCAGACCUCCGCCGAGCAAGCCGUGUUCCUCUUGCGUUUGGCCAAACUGUUGGUGCUGCUGUUGAUACUUCUGUGGCUCCUGCUGCUGAUGCGGAGGAGGAUGAUUAUGUGGGAGAUUAUGAGGAUGAGGUUGAUCAAAAUCACCACUACGUGCAGCCACCUGUACCACCACCAGCAGGUCGACCUCAGGUAUAUAUUCGUAAUGGUAGGCCUGCACCACCACCUCAGGUACGCGAUGAUGUCCAUAUUCCUAAACUGAAAUUGAAUAUUCCACCAUUUGAGGGUAGAUAUGUUCCUGAUAUAUAUCUUACUUGGGAGUUAGAAACUGAACAACGAUUUACAUGUUUACAAUAUCCUGAGGAGAGACGAGUUGCUGCUGCUAUUUGUGCUUUCACUAGUUUUGCAUGUGUAUGGUGGUCUGAACAUUGUAGAUUAUAUCCUAUUCCAACUACUUGGGCUGCUUUGAAAACUGCUAUGCGUACGCGUUGGGUUCCACCAUAUUAUCAACGUGAAUUGCUUCAAAAAUUGCAGCGUUUAAGACAAGGAAAAAAUUCUGUAGAAGAAUAUUAUCGGGAAUUACAAACUGGCAUGAUUAGAUGUGGUAUUGUUGAGGAGAAUGAAGCUAUGCUUGCACGUUUUCUGGGUGGAUUAAAUAGAGAGAUUCAGACCAUUCUAGACUAUAAGGAGUAUACUAAUAUCACUCGUUUAUUCCAUCUUGCUUGUAAAGCUGAACGUGAAGUGCAGGAUCGACAAGCAUUGGGGCGAACUAACUUUUCUGCAGGCCGACCUUCAUCAUGGACACCACGUGCAUCUUCUACUUCAACUGCACCAGCACCUCCAUCCGGUGCCACCUCCAGCCGUGAUACAAGAAAACAGGCACACCCACCAUUAUCUGCCAAGAGCGCACCUGCGGGGCCUGCACAACAUUCUUCUUCUUCCAUGGCAUCAACAGGGCACACAAGUGAUAUUAUUUGUCGUCGUUGUAAGGGAGGAGGUCAUUAUGCGAGGGAAUGCAAAUCUCCACGUGUGAUGAUUGCUACCGCGGAUGGUGGAUAUGAGUCCGCUAGUGACUAUGAUGAGGAGACAUUGGCUCUUAUUACACGUGAAGAACAUGGUGGAGAUGAUUCUGAUCAUGAGACGCAAUACAUGGCUCCUGAAGACGCUGACAGGUAUGAAUGUUUAGUUGCUCAACGUGUUUUGAGUGUGCAGGUCACACAAGCUGAGCAAAAUCAGAGGCACAAUUUGUUCCAUACCAAGGGAGUUGUGAAGGAACGUUCUGUGCGCGUCAUAAUAGACGGAGGGAGCUGCAACAACUUGGCUAGCAUGGAGAUGGUGGAGAAGCUUUCUCUCACCACAAGACCACAUCCACAUCCUUACUACAUCCAAUGGUUCAACAACAGUGGCAAGGUUAAGGUAACACGUACUGUUCGUGUGCAUUUUUGAUGAGGACAUCAAUACAAUUGUUACACCCACAGCCCCUGCUGCUAUACAUACUGGACCAAUUACUAGAGCUCGUGCACGCCAACUAAAUUACCAGGUACUUUCGUUUCUUGGUAAUGAUUCUAAUGUUCAUGAGAAUAUGAUGCUGCCUAAAUUGGAUACAUUUGUUUUGCUUACAAAUGAAGGGCCUAGCUUGGAGAAGGAUGAACAUUGGAGCAAGAACAAGCAUGGAGAUGAUGGCAUGCGCAAGGGAAACAAGAACGGAGUUACAAGUGAUGAUUUCAGGACUUUGAAGCCACCAUAAUGGGUGCAUGAAGCCUUGGACGAAAUAUACAAGUCGCCACUUCAUAAACUUCGUCCCGAGGCUAUUUUAGGUGCUGCGUCACCUUAUUAUUGGGCCAGGCCCAUGUAAUUUCGAAAUACAUAAGUAUAGGCUAUUUUUAGAGUCCGUAUGUGUGGGGAAACAAGAGAUAGGGUUGAUUUCGGACCCCUCCACCAAGGGCCACGAAAUUCUCCCCCUCUUCCUCCAUAUAUACAGCCCUUAGGGCAUCGUUUAGACUUUGGGUUUUGUUUAGAUUAAAAGUUCGCCAUAGCUGCAACUUCGCGUACUUCGUUUGUGUUCAACGACCAGACAAAGGCGUCACAGAACCCCACCUUGAUCAAUAAAGCUUUCAUCUUAUAUUCGCAAUAUCCAGAUUGCAAUCUUAGUUUCUUGCUUGUUCUUCAUUUGCUCGCAGGAAACAGACCCUCGUGGUCAGGUUGAUCGUGCUCCGGCGUGGUCAAUAACCUCUCGGAGUUGGUUUAGCGAUUGCUAAGGCGCGACGUCCUCGCACGUUCGUAGUCGGAUCGUCAAAGUCAUCUUCACCAAAUUGAUAGUUAUCAUCUCAUCGAAAGAUCGGGACACCCCGCCUCUAUCACUUGAGUUCCAAGACUAUGUGCUCAUAUGGUGGGAACAAGUAUUUGAACGCCGUCAAGCAAGAGGUGAACCACCAAUCACCACUUGGUCUCAAAUGAAGGAUGUCAUGCGGGCACGCUUUGUACGAACCUACUACAACCGCGAUCUCUUCAAGAAGCUACAACUCCUCAAGAAAGGAACAAAGAGUGUUGAAGAAUACUACAAGGAAAUGGAGAUAGCCAUGAUUCGAGCCAAUGUCACGGAAUAUGAUGAGGAAACUAUGGCACGUUUCUUGAAUGGACUCAAUCAUCCCAUCAAGAAGAUUGCCGACUUCCAACCCUACUCCAACCUCAUUGAGCUCGUACAUCAAGCAACCAAGGCCGAACGUCAAGUGCAAGAUGACCUCAAGUACGCCAAGUACUCAUCCAAGAUCUAUGGCUUCUCCAACAUCCAAGCUUCAACGACUCCUUCAACAUCUACAUCAACCAAGCCUUCUCCAAGCACUGACGACAAGUCAAGUUACAAGAAAACCUCGGCAAGUUCAAGUCGUCUUCCUCCUACUACAAGCAACUUCAAGCCGCGUGCUUCAUCAUCUACGCCAACCGAUGAGACCGUCAAAACAAGCUCCUUCAAGUGUUUCACUUGCGGCGGCCGAGGCCACAAGUCCUUCCAAUGCACGAACAAGCGCACCAUGAUCCUCAACGACGAUGGCACAUAUGACUCAAUGAGUGAAGAGGAGAUGGAAGCCCUUGAGCAAGUAGCCAUGCACCGGCGCGUGAACGAGGAUGAAGAUGAUCAAGUCUUUUGUGAUGAGGAUUCGAGCCCUGCUCUCGUUGUCUCCAAUGUCUUGACACUUCAACAUCAACAAGAAGAAGACCAACGAUGCCACAUAUUCCACGCUAAAGCUGGCAUCAAUGGAAGGUCCGUCAAGCUCAUCAUCGAUGGAGGUAGUUUCCACAACUUGGCAAGUGAAGAACUAUGCUCCAAGCUUCAAUUAGUCAAGAGGAAGCACCCGCACCCCUACAAAGUUCAAUGGCUAACUGACUUCGGCACUAUACGAGUCGAGCAUACGGUCCAAGUCUCCUUCAAAAUUGGUGCUUAUGAAGACACUUUGGAGUGUGAUGUGGUCCCAAUGACCGUUUGCCACCUCCUCCUUGGUCGACCAUGGCAAUUCGACCAUGGUGUCAUCCACAAUGGGCGCACCAAUCACUAUAGCUUCAAAAUGAAAGGGAAGGAAUAUGUACUACGACCUAUGUCUCCUAGUCAAGUGAUAGCCGACAAGCAAACCACCAAUCAUGGAGAGAAGAGUGAAAAAGUGAUCCACCCAAAAGUGAGUGAGAGCCACAAGCCAAAUUUGAGCGCCUCUUCGCCUAGAGAGAAAAACCUCAUCCUAUUUGCCACCAAAAGUGAGAUGAGAGAAGUGUGUGAGAACCCAUCGAGUGUGACGCACUUUGUACUUGUGUGCAAAGAUGGAGAGCCAACAACUAACACUUCUCACGAGCUACCUUUAGUGUUUCAACCUCUUUUGCAGGAAUUCCAAGAUGUUUUCCCCGAUGAGCUACCUCCGGGUCUACCUCCACUACGAGGCAUUGAACAUCGAAUCGACCUCAUCCCCAGAGCGCCACUUCCAAACAAAGCUCCUUACCGUGUCGACCCCGAAGAAACCAAGGAGAUUCAACGGCAAGUACAACAACUCAUCGACAAUGGUCAUGUACGUGAAAGCUUAAGCCCUUGCGCCGUUCUAGUUAUACUUGUGCCUAAGACCGAUGGAAGUUUCCGCUUGUGUUCCGAUUGUAGACCCAUAAAUGCUAUUACCGUUCGAUAUAGGCAUCCCAUUCCUCACUUAGAUGAUAUGCUUGAUAAACUUAGUGGAGCCAACUUUUUCUCCAAAAUUGAUCUUAAAAGUGGCUAUUAUCAAAUCCGCAUUCAAGAAGGUGAUGAAUGGAAAACCUCUUUCAAAACCAAAUUUGGCUUAUAUGAGUGGUUAGUAAUGCCUAUGGGUUUGUCGGAAGCCCUCGGUACUUUCGUGCGUCUUAUGCAUCAUGUGCUUAGACCUUACAUUGGAAUCUUCGUUGUGGUUUACUUUGAUAAUAUUCUUGUGUUUAGCAAAACCAUGAGAGAGCACAUUAAUCAUGUUAAAUUUGUGUUGCAAACCCUUCGCAAGGAAAGCCUUUAUGCGAACUUGAAAAAAUGCACUUUUGGCGUUGACAAAGUGGUUUUCUUGGGUUUUGUUGUCUCUUCCAAGGGUGUCCACGUUGAUGAAACUAAGAUUAAGGCAAUUAGAACUUGGCCCCAACCCACCAAUUUGCAACAAGUGCGUAGUUUUCUUGGUCUUGCAGGAUUUUAUCGCCGCUUUCUGAAAAACUUUAGCACAAUUGCCGCUCCUUUGCAUGCCUUGAGUAAGAAGAAUGCUCCUUUUGUUGGGGAUCUUUACAAUCCAUCACUUUUGAUGAGCUCAAGUCUUUGCUUACUCAUGCUCCGAUUCUUGCUUUGCCCAACUUUGACAAAACUUUUGAGGUUCAUUGUGAUGCAAGUGGUACCGGAAUUGGCGGAGUUUUGAUGCAAGAAAAACGAGCAAUUGCUUAUUUUAGUGAAAAACUCUCCGGUGCUCAACUUAAUUAUCCCAUCUAUGACAAAGAAUUGUAUGCUUUAGUGCGUGAUGAGGACAUCAAUACCAUUGUUACACCCACAGCCCCUGCUGCUAUACAUACUGGACCAAUUACUAGAGCUCGCGCACGCCAACUAAAUUACCAGGUACUUUCGUCUCUUGGUAAUGAUUCUAAUGUUCAUGAGAAUAUGAUGCUGCCUAAAUUGGAUACAUUUGUUUUGCUUACAAAUGAAGGGCCUAGCUUGGAGAAGGAUGAACAUUGGAGCAAGAACAAGCAUGGAGAUGAUGGCAUGUGCAAGGGGAACAAGAACGGAGUUACAAGUGAUGAUUUCAGGUCUUUGAAGCCACCAUAACGUGCAUGAAGCCUUGGACGAAAUAUACAAGAUGUCACUUCAUAAAUUUCGUCCAGAGGCUAUUAUAGGUGCUGCGUCACCUUUUUAUUGGGCCAGGCCCAUGUAAUUUCGAAAUACAUAAGUAUAGGCUAUUUUUAGAGUCUGUAUGUGUGGGGAAACAAGAGAUAGGGUUGAUUUCGGACCCCUCCACCAAGGGCCACGAAAUUCCCCCUCUCUUCCUCCAUAUAUAGAGCCCUUAGGGCACCGUUUAGACUUUGGGUUUUGUUUAGAUUAAAGUUCGCCAUAGCUGCAACUUCGCGUACUUCGUUUGUGUUCAACGAGCAGACAAAGGCGUCACAUAACCCCACCUUGAUCAAUAAAGCUUUCAUCUUAUAUUCGCAAUAUCUAGAUUGCAAUCUCAGUUUCUUGCUUGUUCUUCGUUUGCUCGCAGGAUACAGACCCUCGUGGUCAGGUUGAUCUGCUCCGUCGUGGUCAAUAACCUCUCGAAGUUGGUUUAGCGAUUGCUAAGGCGCGACGUCCUCGCACGUUCGUAGUCGGAUCGUCAAAGUCGACUUCCACCAAAGCAAAAUCCAUCAUCUCAUCGAAAGACAUGACACCUUUGCCUCUAUCAAGUGGUAUCAGAUUUUCAGGUUGCUCGGUGAGAUUUUACAGUUUUUCGUAGUUUAGAUCGAGUCUGUUCUUCAUACCUAUAGUCCACAAAACAACCACAAAAUAAAAUUAGGGUUAGUUCAUCAUAUCCGAACCAAUCUGUGCCUUUGCAUAAUCUUUUUAGGGUUUUGCUUUGUUGAAUUUGCGGUUGCAUCGUCGUGUCUAGUUGCUGGUCUUAGCGUCUAGUCUUUUAGAGUUUCGAGUUCUGGUCAUAAGUUGUCACGCCGCCACCGCACCAUCAUCAUCGCCCCUGCCACCUACCACCACCGCUCCGAAUCUGUAUCCAUAUACCACCACCAAUCCGUGUCCAUAUACCACCACCGAUCCAUAUCCAUAUACUACCACUACUACCACCGCUACCACCACCGCUGCCAUAUACCACCACCAUAUAUCCACCACCAAUCCGAUUCCUUGCAUAUUAGGUUUGUUUUCGAGAUUCAUCUAGUUUCCGAUUCGUGUUUCUUCGCCGGAGUAGGUUUCGGAAAAAAAACGCACUUGUCGAAAACGCACCCUCCGUUUAGGCCCAAAAUUUUCCGGAAACCACCCUCCGUUUAGGCCCAAAAUUGUCCGAAAACGCACUUGUCAAAAAAAAUUCUGGCUAUCCUAUUUUUAGGUGUUUCUAAGCGUAUUGAGACAGUCGCCGUUAUAGAAAGUUUUUUUUGACCCGUUUCCUGUUUUUGGGUCCGGGCAGUCGAAAAAACAAAAAAAAAAUUGGUCGAAAAAACUUCGUGCCCAUCCUGUCAGUUUGACCUGGGAAGAGUUUUGAGACACUCGCCAUUAUAGUGAUUUUUCGCAAAAAAAAGAACAACGCAAAAAAAAAGAGCGAUUUUUUUCCAGAGUGUGCUUUUUCCUUGUUUCCGUGCAGCGCCGUGAUUUUGUUAGUGUUCUAGGCUCGCAUCUCUAGCACGGUCUAUCCUAGGACCAGCACAGUACCGUCGUUGAGCGUUUAUUCAACUUUGCAUCUCUGAAUUGAUUAUUGCUGACCCUUUUUGCUACAAUAUUAUAAGCCUUCCCAGCUCCACAUACAUCUACGUCGUGCGUUUUACUCUCCCUGGUAAUCGCUCUAUCCAAGCUUUGAGAGUUUUGACUACAACGGUUCCCGGUCACCGCCUGCUGUUGGGUAAGAACUCGUAAGAAUCUGAGAUUUGCUUGACGGAUUUGUGACACCCACCACCACCUCUUGUUAGUAGUCUGUAGGAUCAUAUUCUUUUGUGUUUCUAUUGCUGCUAACCAUGCCAGGAUCACAAGGCGACGAGACUGACUGGGAGAACAUGACGAAUAAGGAGUUGCAUGAUAAAUUUCAGCAAAUGAUGAGUGGACAGGUGCAAGAUGUGUUAAACAGAUUUGAAGAGGCCAUGGAGAAGAUAGAUGGCAUGGAGAAGACGUUCGAAACAAAGCUCGAUAACAAGUUUAAUGAAUUGGUCACGUGUCUUCCACCACCACCACCCGCUGCACCUAACGCACCUCUCCAACAACAACAACAUCGACUACCUCCACGUCGCGAAACAGACCUCCACCGAGCAAGUCAUGUCCCUCUUGUGUUUGGCCAAACUGUUGGUGCUGCUGUUGAUACUUCUGUGGCUCCUUCUGCUGAUGCAGAGGAGGAUGACUAUGUGGGAGAUUACGAGGAUGAGGUUGAUCAAAAUCAGAACUACGUGCAACCACCUGCACCACAACCACCAGGUCGUCCACAUGCAAAUAUUCGCAAUGGUAGGCCUGCACCACCACCUCAGGUACGAGAUGAUGUCCAUAUUCCUAAACUGAAAUUGAAUAUUCCACCAUUUGAGGGUAGAUAUGUUCCUGAUAUAUAUCUUACUUGGGAGUUAGAAACUGAACAACGAUUUACAUGUUUACAAUAUCCUGAGGAGAGACGGGUUGCUGCUGCUGUUUGUGCUUUCACUAGUUUUGCAUGUGUGUGGUGGUCUGAACAUUGUAGAUUAUAUCCUAUUCCAACUACUUGGGCUGCUUUGAAAACUGCUAUGCGUACGCGUUGGGUUGCACCAUAUUAUCAACGUGAAUUGCUUCAAAAAUUGCAGCGUUUAAGACAAGGAAUUUUUUUUGUAGAAGAAUAUUAUCAGGAAUUACAAACUGGCAUGAUUAGAUGUGGUAUUAUUGAGGAGAAUGAAGCUAUGCUUGCACGUUUUCUGGGUGGAUUAAAUAGAGAGAUUCAGACCAUUCUAGACUAUAAGGAGUAUACUAAUAUCACUCGUUUAUUCCAUCUUACGUGUACAGCUGAACGUGAAGUGCAGGAUCGACAAGCAUUGGCGCGAACUAACUUUUCUGCAGGUCGAUCUUCAUCAUGGACACCGCGUGCAUCUUCUACUUCAACUGCACCAGCACCGCAAUCAGGUGCCUCCUCCAGCCGUGAUACAAGAAAACAGGCACAACCACCAUUAUCUGCCAAGAGCGCACCUGCCGGGCCUACACAGAGUUCUUCUUCUUCCAUGGCAUCAACAGGGCACACAAGUGAUAUUAUUUGUCGUCGUUGUAAGGGAGGAGGUCAUUAUGUGAGAGAAUGCAAAUCUCCGCGUGUAAUGGUUGCUACCGAGGAUGGUGGAUAUGAGUCCGCUAGUGACUAUGAUGAGGAGACUUUGGCUCUUAUUACACGUGAAGAGCAUGGUGGAGAUGAUUCUGAUCAUGAGACACAAUACGUGGCUCCUGAAGACGCUGACAGGUAUGAAUGUUUAGUUGCUCAACGUGUUUUGAGUGUGCAGGUCACACAAGCUGAGAAAAAUCAGAGGCACAAUUUGUUCCAUACCAAGGGAGUUGUGAAGGAAUGUUCUGUGCGCGUCAUCAUAGACGGAGGGAGUUGCAACAACUUGGCUAGCAUGGAGAUGGUGGAGAAGCUUUCUCUCACCAUAAGACCACAUCCACAUCCUUACUACAUCCAAUGGUUCAACAACAGCGACAAGGUUAAGGUAACACGUACUGUUCGUGUGCAUUUUAGUAUCUCUACAUAUGCUGAUUAUGUUGAUUGUGAUGUGGUACCUAUGCAAGCAUGUUCCUUAUUACUUGGUAGACCAUGGCAAUUUGAUAAAAAUUCUGUACACCAUGGUAGAAACAAUCACUAUACUCUUGUUCAUAAGGAUAAAAAUAUUACUUUGCUUCCUAUGACUCCUGAUUCCAUUUUGAAAGAUGAUAUUGAUAGAGCUAAUAAAGCAAAACAUGAGAAGAAUAAGAGCGAAAAUCAGAUUGUGGCAAAAGAAUUUGAGCAACAAAUGAAGCCUAAUAAUAGACCAUCUAGUGUUGCUUCUGAAAUUAAAUUGAAAAGUGCAUGUUUAUUUGCCACCAAAUCUGAUAUUGAUGAGCUAGAUUUCAGCAAAUCUGUUUGCUAUGCUUUUGUGUGCAAAGAGGCAUUAUUUUCAUUCGAGGACGUGCCUUCCUCUUUGCCUCCUGCUGUCACUAACAUUUUGCAGGAGUUCGCUGACGUCUUUCCACAAGACGUGCCACCGGGAUUACCGCCUAUUCGAGGGAUUGAGCAUCAGAUUGACUUAAUUCCCGGUGCUUCACUGCCAAACCGUGCACCAUACCGUACCAAUCCAGAGGAGACGAAGGAGAUUAUGCGUCAAGUACAAGAGCUUCUCGACAAAGGUUAUAUACGUGAAUCCCUUAGUUCUUGUGUUGUUCCUAUUAUUCUAGUGCCGAAAAAGGAUGGUACAUCACGUAUGUGUGUUGAUUGUAGAGGCAAUAAUAAUAUUACUACUCGUUAUCGUCAUCCUAUUCCUAGGCUAGAUGAUAUGCUUGAUGAAUUGAGUGGCUCUUCAAUAUUCUCCAAAGUUGAUUUGCGUAGUGGAUACCAUCAAAUUCGUAUGAAAUUGGGAGAUGAAUGGAAAACAGCAUUUAAAACUAAGUUUGGAUUAUAUGAGUGGUUAGUCAUGCCUUUUGGGUUAACUAAUGCACCUACUACUUUCAUGAGAUUAAUGAACGAAGUUUUACGUGCUUUCAUUGGACGAUUUGUGGCAGUUUACUUAGAUGACAUAUUGAUUUAUAGCAGAUCUUUGGAAGAACAUUUGGAACAUUUACGUGCUGUUUUUAUUGCUCUACGUGAUGCACGUUUGUUUGGUAACCUUGGGAAGUGCACCUUUUGCACAGACUUAGUAUCUUUUCUUGGCUAUGUUGUUACUCCACAGGGAAUUGAAGUUGAUAAAGCCAAGAUUGAAGCUAUUGGACGAUUUGUGAGGAGUUUUCUUGGCCUCGUUGGAUUCUAUAGGCGUUUUGUGAGAGAUUUCAGCACCAUUGCUGCACCUCUCAAUGAGCUUACAAAGAAAGAUGUGCCUUUUCUUUGGGGUACCGCACAGGAAGAUGCCUUCACGAUAUUGAAAGAUAAGUUGACACAUGCUCCUUUACUCCAACUUCCUGAUUUUAAUAAUACUUUUGAGCUUGAAUUUGAUGCUAGUGGAAUUGGAUUAGGAGGUGUGUUAUUACAAGAUGGCAAACCUGUUGCAUACUUUUCUGAAAAAUUGAGUGGGCCUAGUCUGAAUUAUUCUACUUAUGAUAAAGAAUUAUAUGCUCUUGUUCGGACUUUAGAAACAUGGCAACAUUAUUUAUGGCCCAAAGAAUUUGUUAUACAUUUUGAUCAUGAAUCUUUGAAAAUUAUUAAAAGUCAAGCUAAACUGAAUCGUAGACAUGCUAAAUGGGUUGAAUUCAUUGAGACUUUCCCUUAUGUCAUUAAACACAAGAAGGGAAAAGAAAAUGUUAUUGCUGAUGCAUUGUCUCGUCGCUAUACUAUGCUUUCACAACUUGACUUCAAAAUAUUUGGUUUGGAGACCAUCAAAGAUCAAUAUGUGCAUGAUGCUGAUUUUAAAGAUGUAAUGCAGAAUUGUAAAGAAGGAAGAAUGUGGAACAAGUUUGUCGUUAACGAUGGAUUUGUGUUUCAUGCUAACAAGCUAUGCAUUCCAGCUAGCUCCAUUCGUCUUUUGUUGUUGCAGGAGGCGCAUGGAGGAGGAUUAAUGGGACACUUUAGCGUUAAGAAGACGGAGGACGUACUUGCUACACAUUUCUUUUGGCCAAAGAUGAGACGGGAUGUUGAGCGUUUUAUUGCUCGCUGCACUACAUGUCAAAAAGCUAAGUCACGACUCAAUCCUCAUGGUUUAUAUAUGCCUUUGCCUGUACCUAGUGUUCCUUGGGAGGAUAUAUCUAUGGACUUUGUUUUAGGUUUACCUCGAACAAAGAAGGGGAGGGAUAGCAUAUUUGUUGUCGUGGAUAGAUUCUCGAAAAUGGCACACUUUAUACCAUGUCAUAAAAGCGAUGAUGCUGUUAAUGUUGCUGAUUUGUUCUUUCGUGAAAUUAUUCGCUUGCAUGGUGUGCCAAAUACUAUUGUCUCAGAUCGUGAUACUAAAUUUCUUAGCCACUUUUGGAGAUGUUUAUGGGCUAAGUUGGGGACUAAACUGCUUUUUAGUACUACUUGUCACCCCCAAACUGAUGGACAAACUGAAGUAAUCAAUGGAACAUUGUCUACUAUGCUUAGGGCUAUUUUGAAGAGUAAUAAGAAAAUGUGGGAGGAAUGCUUGUCUCAUAUUGAAUUAGCUUAUAAUCGUUCAUUGCAUUCUACUACUAAGAUGUGCCCUUUUGAAGUUGUGUAUGGUUUCCUACCUCAUGCACCUAUUGAUUUGUUGCCUCUUCCAUCUUCGGAGAAGGUUAAUUUUGAUGCUAAACAACAUGUUGAAUUGAUUUUAAAAAUGCAUGAGUUAACUAAGGAAAACAUUGAGCGUAUGAAUGCCAAAUACAAACUUGCUGGAGAUAAGGGUAGAAAACAUGUUGUGUUUGCACCUGGAGAUCUUGUUUGGUUACAUUUGCGUAAGGAUAGAUUUCCUGAUUUGCGCAAAACAAAGCUCAUGCCACGUGCUGAUGGUCCCUUUAAGGUGUUAGAGAAAAUAAAUGAUAAUGCAUAUAAACUUGAGUUGCCUGCAGAUUUUGGGGUUAGUCCCACUUUUAACAUUGCAGAUUUGAAGCCUUAUUUGGGUGAGGAAGAUAAGCUUCCGUAGAGGACGACUUCAUUUCAAGAAGGGGAGGAUGAUGAGGACAUCAAUACCAUUGUUACACCCACAGCCCCUGCUGCUAUACAUACUGGACCAAUUACUAGAGCUUGCGCACACCAACUAAAUUACCAGGUACUUUCGUUUCUUGGUAAUGAUUCUAAUGUUCAUGAGAAUAUGAUGCUGCCUAAAUUGGAUACAAUUGUUUUGCUUACAAAUGAAGGGCCUAGCUUGGAGAAGGAUGAACAUUGGAGCAAGAACAAGCAUGGAGAUGAUGGCAUGCGCAAGGGGAACAAGAACGGAGUUACAAGUGAUGAUUUCAGGUCUUUGAAGCCACCAUAAGGAGUGCAUGAAGCCUUGGAAGAAAUAUACAAGAUGUCACUUCAUAAAUUUCAUCCAGAGGCUAUUAUACGUGCUGCGUCACCUUUUUAUUGGGCCAGGCCCAUGUAAUUUCGAAAUACAUAAGUAUAGGCUAUUUUUAGAAUCCGUAUGUGUUGGGAAACAAGAGAUAGGGUUGAUUUCGGACCCCUCCACCAAGGGCCACGAAAUUCCCCCUCUCUCCUACAUAUAUACAGCCCUUAGGGCACCGUUUAGACUUUGGGUUUUGUUUAGAUUAAAGUUCGACAUAGCUGCAACUUCGCGUACUUCGUUUGUGUUCAACGACCAGACAAAGGCGUCACAGAACCCCACCUUGAUCAAUAAAUCUUUCAUCUUAUAUUCGCAAUAUCCAGAUUGCAAUCUCGGUUUCUUGCUUGUUCUUCGUUUGCUCGCAGGAUAUAGACCCUCGUGGUCAGGUUGAUCGUGCUCCGGCGUGGUCAAUAACCUCUCGAAGUUGGUUUAGCGAUUGCUAAGGCGCGACGUCCUCGCACUUUCGUAGUCAGAUCGUCAAAGUCGACUUCCACCAAAGUGAAAUCCAUCAUCUCAUCGAAAGAUGGGACACCUUUUCCUCUAUCAGUGCGUGUGCUACAUGUUUGGGAACAUUACCUUAGACCUCAUGAAUUUGUCAUCCAUACCGAUCAUGAAACACUUAAGUACUUAAAAGGUCAAACUAAGUUGAACAAGCGUCAUGCCAAAUGGAGUGAAUUUAUUGAAUCUUUUCCUUAUGUGAUCAAGUACAUUAAGGGCAAGGAAAAUGUAGUUGCGGACGCACUUUCACGCAUAUGCACACUUGUCACUCAACUUGAGUUGAAUGUUAUUGGUUUUGAGCAUAUAAAAGACUUGUAUGAGCAUGAUCCUUCUUUUGCUAGUCCUUAUGCUAAGUGUUUGACACACACGUCUUGGGAACACUACUACAUAAAGAAUGAUUAUCUUAUGAGAGAUAACAAACUAUGCAUUCCCGAGUCUUCUCUUCGUUUGCUCCUUUUGCAAGAGGCUCAUGAAGGUGGACUCAUGGGACAUUUUGGACGCGACAAGACUUUCGCCAUGCUCUCCAAGAACUACUUUUGGCCCAAGAUGUACCGUGACGUCUCACGCUUCACCAACCGUUGCUCUACAUGUCGCAAAGCUAAGUCUAAAGCUCAAUCCCAUGGUCUUUACAUGCCACUUCCUAUUCCUUAUCAACCUUGGGAAGACAUUAGCAUGGAUUUUAUACUUGGUUUGCCUAGAACUCAAAAUGGCAAGGAUUCCGCCUUUGUUGUUGUGGACCGAUUUUCUAAGAUGGCACAUUUCAUUCCUUGCAACAAGACAGACGAUGCUUCACACGUUGCAAAUCUCUUUUGUAGGGAAAUCUUGCAUCUCCAUGGAGUCCCAAAGACAAUCGUCUCCGACCGCGACGUCAAGUUCUUGAGUUACUUUUGGAAGACCCUAUGCACCAAGCUCGACAUCAAGCUAUUAUUCUAUUUGGCAUACCAUCCUCAAACCGAUGGCCAAACGGAGGUGACGAACCGUACACUCUCCACUGUACUUCACGUGUUGAUCAAGAGGAACAUCAAGGAGUGGGAGGCGUGUCUACCCAUCGCCGAGUACGCCUACAACCAUGCAAGACAUUCGACGAUCGGCAAGUCCCCCUUCGAGGUCGUCUACGGCUUCAACCCGUUGUCCCCAUUGGACAUUCUACCUCUUCCUCUAAAAGAGCGCACCAACCUUGACGCAAGUGCCCGUGCAAGCUACAUCAAGAAGAUGCAUGAAGAUACAAGGCACACCAUCGAGCGCCAAGUACAACGACUAGCGACCAAGCUCAACUUCAACAAGCAUCCCAUGAUAUUCAACAUUGGAGACCUCGUGUGGCUACACCUUCGCAAGGACCGCUUCCCCAACAAACGCAAGUCCAAGCUUCUCCCUCGAGCCGACGGACCCUUCAAGGUGCUAGCACGCUACAACAACAAUGCUUACAAGAAUGAAUACACUGAAGAUGGCCCCAACAGCCCGGACAUCCGGCCUACGCACCUGACAUCUGGCCCCUCCGGAAGCACCGGACAUCCGGCACCUCCGGCCCGGACAUCCGGUCCCUCGUGAACCACCUUUGGGCCUUGACCCAUGUAUCCCUUCGCCCCCGGACUAUAUAUACUCCCUCCUCCCGUACGUUUUAGGGUUAGCGUUGAUUUAGCUCAGAUUAGAGAUAGAGCUUCGCUCAUCCAUCGGAUCUCCUCUUCGUGAGAGACCGCGGCCUCCUCGGAGAAGAUCCAAUCGGAUUCAAGGCCCCCUCGUGGGAAGAUCCCCUCGCGGAUUCAAGACCUCCUCACGGAGAAGAUCGGUUACCUAUGUAUCCUAACCUUUGUUGACUUUGGAUCUCGUGUAUCUCUUUGUGUUCGGUGAUCUAGCACUCGUGUGAUUGAUUCUAUGUCGGUUUAGUGAUUCUCUCUCUCUCGUUUUCCCCGUGUUUCCCCUUUGUGCUUCCGUGUGUUCUUCGUGAUUCCCCGUAGGAUCCACUCCAAAUGUGAAAGAUCAUCCACAUAGGGUUCCGCCCUACAUCAUCAAGUCUUCUUCCCCUUCAUCAUCUUCAAGGCGGCGACAUUCAAGCCACAAGUCUUCGGAGCGCGGAAACGAUGAAAGUGCAAAUUGUCCUCAUCCACAUCUACAUGGCGACCACCAUCACGUUCGUGAUCCACAUCGUCAUGAAGGGCAAGUCACCUCAAAGCAUCAUGUGCACGACGACGACGAACGCCUACGAGCUCAAGCACGACAACGACAUCAUCAUCAUGAAGAUGCUCCACAAGCACAAAUGGACAACUCCCAACAAGCCCUACUUCACACCAAGUCGAAGCUUCAUAAGCACAAGAGAGACCGCGAGACGAGCACCACCAAGACGGUGCUACGACUACAACAACCACUUCGGCAUCUUCGCCAAGUGCUAGCAAGGCAUCUUCGCCUUUGGACGUAUGGCAUCUUCGCCUACUUCCCACGAGUACGCCUACUACGACUUCAUCAAGUCCAAGGCGACUACCUACGAGCGAGGGCGACACUUCCAUCUUCGGAAGCCUCCCAAGGAAGAUGGCCGAGCAUGGGAAACUCCCUUCGGUCAUGGAGACGAGCUAUGGUGCCACAUCAUAUGGACCUCCAACACCAAGACGGCGACAAGACGGUCGAGCAAGGGCCAUCCCCUUCGACUACGGCGACAAGCGCGAACCUCUUCAACAACAUGAAGAUGGUGCCCAUAUUGGACUCAUCCUCCGAGUCAAGCUACGAGACCGCGCAUGGAGACAUUUGCACCUACAUCUCUCCGACACCCACAAAUGUCGAGAUGCCCCAUUUGUCAUGUGAGGAGAGCCACCACCACAUGAGUGACAUGAGUGACUCCACCAUAUGUGACAUUGAGAGCAUUUCCUAUGAGAGGAUGAGUGUGACCACCACUAGCCCGACACAUGAGAGAAUGCCACACAUCCUAUGUCAGGUUGAGCGCCAUUUGAGUGACUCCACCAACCAUAUGAGUGAGAGCAUCUUUGAGGGAGUGAGUGAGCCACUACACUUAGUGAGUGAGGUAGUUGACACGGCAUGUGAGGCCACUAUGAUUUCUAACGACUUAACCUCUACUCCUAGUGUGUUUUCUUCUUUGGUGCUAGGUCUCCUACAUGACGACAUACCUAUUCUCGAUGAGUCCAUUCCUCCAAUGGACAAUAUGAUGGCCAUGGUGGACGAUGAUGCACCUCCCACAUGGUUCCAUCAACAUGAAGAUGACAACGAGAGAUCUUCAACACCUCACCUACAACACAUGAGUGACGCUCCAAAGGUAACAUAUGUGAUGGUGUUUCUCUUGUCCCACUAGUGGACUCUCUUGACAUCGAUUGCUCCCAUGAUGUUGACACACCUAUUGCCAUUCUUCAUGCUAGUGAAACUUUGUCAUGCCUUGACUUACCUAUUUAUGAUGAAUAUGAUGAUGAGCAUGUUGAGUUGCCUAGUUAUGAUGCUAUGCUCCAUAUGAUAUCAUGUGAAAAUUCUAUUGGUCACAUCAUGUUUGACAAUCCAUUGAACUUGUCAUAUGCUAUGAGUGAGAUCAACCAUAUUGCAUCUUUACAAUCUCAACAUAGUAACUAUGCAUGCCCCAUUAAAAUCAACCCCAUUUGCACCUAUGGCACAGAUGACGAGAUGAUGGUCAUUGGAUUUUGCUUCUCUUGUGAUGAUAUUGCCAUGCUUCCUUUACAUGAUUUGUGCAAUUCAUCUACUAUGCCAUGCCAUGAUCACAUUGAACCACAUAUACUUUGUUUUGGAUGUUGUCAAUAUUCUCCAUGUGAUGUUUCCACUAAUGCUCAUGAGGUGACCCCCAUAGUUUCCUCAAACAUAUUAGGAGAUUUUGAUGCAUUUCAUACUUUCCAUGAUUCCCACAAUUGCGUGCACCAGAUGCAUUCCAUGAAUAACAAAGCUCUAGAUAUUUCCCAUGAUGCAUUACACAAUUUGAGUCUCCAUUAUGCUAUACAUAAUAACAAACCUCUCAUGAUGGAUGACAUGUUUCUAUAUCACGCAUCUCAUUUAUUUGAGCAUUGGCUAUUUUGUGCUAACCGACACAUGCACGUGCGCAUCAUGAUGGAUGAUUUGUACAUAUACCAUGCACACACAAAUUUUCCUUUGUCUUUGUUUUGUGUAGGUACUCAUGUAUACUCGUCAACCUCUCAAUCCCAAGAGUUGACGAAACGAGCUCGUGAGAGCAACGAUGCUUUGGGAUCCCAUGGACUAUCCUUACCACCGUUCCCUCCACGCAAGGACUACGCGCAUCUCUUCUACUUUGCUCCCACACGGCUAUGGGCCAUUUACCACUUGUCACCUUAUGCUCAUUUUAUCGUGUUCACUUUGCAUGCUAUGCUUGCUUCUAUGCCUUUGCCAUGCAAUUGUGACCCUUGUUUGCAUCUACCCAUGAUUCUCCAUUAUGAAAUUCCUAUGUGUAUUUGCAUGCUUGGUGGAGAUCCUUGUUGCUUUUGCCAUGUUUAUCAUGUGCCUCAUGCUAUUUUACUCAUAUCUUGCUUUCAUGCUUGUGAUAUGUCAUGUGCAUUAUUCAUGACCACUAUUUGCACACAUGACAUGCUUGCCAUGAUUCCUCCUAGUAUGUUGCAUCUUCGCACUACUAGCUUGCUUGACUUGAUUGCUAUGAUUGCUUGCUUGGUUGCAUCCCCCAUGUGAUGAGGACAUCAAUACAAUUGUUACACCCACAGCCCCUGCUGCUAUAAAUACUGGACCAAUUACUAGAGCUCGCGCACGCCAACUAAAUUACCAGGUACUUUCGUUUCUUGGUAAUGAUUCUAAUGUUCAUGAGAAUAUGAUGCUGCCUAAAUUGGAUACAUUUGUUUUGCUUACAAAUGAAGGGCCUAGCUUGGAGAAGGAUGAACAUUGGAUUAAGAACAAGCAUGGAGAUGAUGGCAUGCGCAAGGGGAACAAGAACGGAGUUACAAGUGAUGAUUUCAGGACUUUGAAGCCACCAUAAUGGGUGCAUGAAGCCUUGGACGAAAUAUACAAGAUGCCACUUCAUAAAUUUCGUCCCGAGGCCUUAUUAUUGGGCCAGGCCCAUGUAAUUUCGAAAUACAUAAGUAUAGGCUAUUUUUAGAGUUCGUAUGUGUGGGGAAACAAGGGAGAUAGGGUUGAUUUCGGACCCCUCCACCAAGGGUCACGAAAUUCCCCCCUCUUCCUCCAUAUAUACAGCCCUUAGGGCAUCGUUUAGACUUUGGGUUUUGUUUAGAUUAAAAGUUCGCCAUAGCUGCAACUUCGCGUACUUCGUUUGUGUUCAACGACCAGACAAAUGCGUCACAGAACCCCACCUUGAUUAAUAAAGCUUUCAUCUUAUAUUCGCAAUAUCCAGAUUGCAAUCUUAGUUUCUUGCUUGUUCUUCGUUUGCUCGCAGGAAACAGACCCUCGUGGUCAGGUUGAUCGUGCUCCGGCGUGGUCAAUAACCUCUCGGAGUUGGUUUGGCGAUUGCUAAGGCGCGACGUCCUCGCACGUUCGUAGUCGGAUCGUCAAAGUCGACUACCACCAAAGCGAUAUCCAUCAUCUCAUCGAAAGACGGGACAGCUUUGCCUCUAUCAAGUGGUAUCAGAUUUCCAGGUUGCUCGGUGAGAUUUUACAGUUUUUCGUAGUUUAGAUCGAGUCUGUUCUUCAUACCUAUAGUCCACGAAAAAGCCACAAAAAAACUAGGGUUAGUUCAUCAUAUCCGAACCAAUCUGAGCCUUUGCAUAAUCUUUUUAGGGUUUUGCUUUAUUGAAUUUGCGGUUGCAUCGUCGUGUCUAGUUGCUGGUCUUAGAGUCUAGUCUUUUAGAGUUUCGAGUUUUGGUCAUAAGUUGUCACGCCGCCGCCGCACCAUCAUCAUCGCCCCUGCCAUCUACCACCACCGCUUAUCCGCCACCGCUUCGAAUCCGUAUCCAUAUACCACCACCGCUAUCAUAUACCACCACCGCUGCCAUCUACUACCAUAUAUCCACCACCAAUCCGAGUUCUUGUCAUAUUAGGUUUGUUUUCGAGAUCCAUCUAGAUUCCGAUUCGUGUUUCCUUGUCGGAGUAGGUUUCGGAAAAAAAGAGUCCGGAAACCACCCUCCGUUUAGGCCCAAAAUUUUUCGAAAACGCAUUUUUCGAAAAAAAUUCUAGCUAUCCUAUUUUUAGGUGUUUCUGAGUGUUUUGAGACAGGUGCCAUUAUAGGAAGUUUUUUGACCCGUUUCCAGUUUUUGGGUCCAGGCAGUCGAAAAAAAAUAGUCAAAAAAAAUUUCGUGCCCAUCCUGUCAGUUUGACCUAGGAAGAGUUUUGAGACACUCGCCAUUAUAGUGAUUUUUCGCAAAAAAAAGCAGCGCAAAAAAAAACAGCGCAAAAAAAAAGAGCGAAAAAAAAUCCAGAGUGUGCUUUUCCCUUGUUUACGUGCCGCGCCGUGAUUUUGUUGGUGUUCUAGGCUCGCGUCUCUAGCACAGUCUAGCCUAGGACCAGCACAGUACCGUCGUUGAGCGUUUAUUCAACUUUGCAUCUCUGAAUUGAUUAUUGCUGACCCUUUUUGCUACCAUAUUAUAAGCCUUCCCAGCUCCACAUACAUCUACGUCGUGCGUUUGACUCUCCCUGGUAAUCGCUCUAUCCAAGCUUUGAGAGUUUUUGACUACAACUGUUGCCGAUCACCGCCUGCUGUUGGGUAAGAACUGGUAAGAAUUUGAGAUUUGCUUGACGUAUUUGUGACACCCACCACCACCUCUUGUUAGUAGUCUGUAGGAUCAUAUUCUUGUGUGUUUCUAUUGCUGCUAACCAUGCCAGGAUCACAAGCCGACGAGACUGACUGGGAGAACAUGACGAAUAAGGAUUUGCAUGAUAAAUUUCAGCAAAUGAUGAGUGGACAGGUGCAAAAUGUGCUAAACAGAUUUGAAGAGGCCAUGGAGAAGAUAGAUGGCAUGGAGAAGACGUUCGAAACAAAGCUCGAUAACAAGUUUAAUGAAUUGCUCGCGCGUCUUCCACCACCACCACCCGCUGCACCUAACGCACUGAUGAGGACAUCAAUACCAUUGUUACACCCACAGCCCCUACUGCUACAUAUACGGGACCAAUUACUAGAGCUCGCGCACGCCAAUUAAAUUAUCAGGUACUUUCGUUUCUUGGUAAUGAUUCUAAUGUUCAUGAGAACAUGAUGCUGCCUAAAUUGGAUACAUUUGUUUUGCUUACAAAUGAAGGGCCUAGCUUGGAGAAGGAUGAACAUUGGAGCAAGAACAAGCAUGGAGAUGAUGCCAUGCGCAAGGGGCACAAGAACGGAGUUACAAGUGAUGAUUUCAGGACUUUGAAGCCACCAUAAUGGGUGCAUGAAGCCAUGGACGAAAUAUACAAGAUGUCACUUCAUAAAUUUCGUCCCGAGGCUAUUUUAGGUGCUGCGUCACCUUAUUAUUGGGCCAGGCCCAUGUAAUUUCGAAAUACAUAAGUAUAGGCUAUUUUUAGAGUCCGUAUGUGUGGGGAAACAAGAGAUAGGGUUGAUUUCGGACCCCUCCACCAAGGGCCACGAAAUUCCCCCCUCUUCCUCCAUAUAUACAGCCCUUAGGGCAUCGUUUAGACUUUGGGUUUUGUUUAGAUUAAAAGUUCGCCAUAGCUGCAACUUCGCGUACUUCGUUUGUGUUCAACGACCAGACAAAGGCGUCACAGAACGCCACCUUGAUCAAUAAAGCUUUCAUCUUAUAUUCGCAAUAUCCAGAUUGCAAUCUCAGUUUCUUGCUUGUUCUUCGUUUGCUCGCAGGAAACAGGCCCUCGUGGUCAGGUUGAUCGUGCUCCGGCGUGGUCAAUAACCUCUUGGAGUUGGUUUAGCGAUUGCUAAGGCGCGACGUCUUCGCACGUUCGUAGUCGGAUCGUCAAAGUCGACUACCACCAAAGCGAUAUCCAUCAUCUCAUCGAAAGACGGGACACCUUUGCCUCUAUCAAGUGGUAUCAGAUUUCCAGGUUGCUCGGUGAGAUUUUACAGUUUUUCGUAGUUUAGAUCGAGUCUAUUCUUCAUACCUAUAGUCCACGAAAAAGCCACAAAAAAAUUAGGGUUAGUUCAUCAUAUCCGAACCAAUCUGAGCCUUUGCACAAUCUUUUUAGGGUUUUGCUUUAUUGAAUUUGCGGUUGCAUCGUCGUGUCUAGUUGCUGGUCUUAGAGUCUAGUCUUUUAGAGUUUCGAGUUCUGGUCAUAAGUUGUCACGCCGCCGCCGCACCAUCAUCAUCGCCCCUGCCAUCUACCACCGCCGCUUAUCCGCCACCGCUUCGAAUCCGUAUCCAUAUACCACCACCGCUAUCAUAUACCACCACCGCUGCCAUCUACUACCAUAUAUCCACCACCAAUCCGAGUUCUUGUCAUAUUAGGUUUGUUUUCGAGAUCCAUCUAGAUUCCGAUUCGUGUUUCCUUGUCGGAGUAGGUUUCGGAAAAAAAGAGUCCGGAAACCACCCUCCGUUUAGGCCCAAAAUUUUUCGAAAACGCAUUUUUCGAAAAAAAUUCUGGCUAUCCUAUUUUUAGGUGUUUCUGAGUGUUUUGAGACAGGUGCCAUUAUAGGAAGUUUUUUUUGACCCGUUUCCAGUUUUUGGGUCCAGGCAGUCGAAAAAAAAUGGUCGAAAAAAAUUUCGUGCCCAUCCUGUCAGUUUGACCUAGGAAGAGUUUUGAGACACUCGCCAUUAUAGUGAUUUUUCGCAAAAAAAAAGCAGCGCAAAAAAAAACAGCGCAAAAAAAAAAGAGCAGAAAAAAAAUCCAGAGUGUGCUUUUCCCUUGUUUACGUGCCGCGUCGUGAUUUUGUUGGUGUCCUAGGCUCGCGUCUCUAGCACAGUCUAGCCUAGGACCAGCACAGUACCGUCGUUGAGCGUUUGUUCAACUUUGCAUCUCUGAAUUGAUUAUUGCUGACCCUUUUUGCUACCAUAUUAUAAGCCUUCCCAGCUCCACAUACAUCUACGUCGUGCGUUUGACUCUCCCUGGUAAUCGCUCUAUCCAAGCUUUGAGAGUUUUUGACUACAACGGUUGCCGAUCACCGCCUGCUGUUGGGUAAGAACUGGUAAGAAUUUGAGAUUUGCUUGACGUAUUUGUGACACCCACCACCACCUCUUGUUAGUAGUCUGUAGGAUCAUAUUCUUGUGUGUUUCUAUUGCUGCUAACCAUGCCAGGAUCACAAGCCGACGAGACUGACUGGGAGAACUUAUCGAACAAGGAGCUUCAUGAUAAGUUUCAGCCAAUGAUGACUGAACAGGUGCAAGAUGUGUUGAACAAUUUUGAAGAGGCCAUGGAGAACAUUACUGGCCUUGAGAAGACGUUCGAAACAAAGCUCGAUAACAAAUUUAAUGAACUGCUUGCGCGUCUUCCACCACCGGCUGCACCUGUCGCACCUCUACAACAACAACAACUACACCCCCUUCCGAAUCAGUAUGGACGAGCACAGCGUGUUCCUAUUGAGCCAGGACAAAAUUCUGGUGCCGCUGCUACUGCUGUUGGUGCUUCUUUGGCUCCUGCUACUGCUGCUGCUGGUACCCAGGAGGAUGAUGUGUAUGCGGGCGAUUAUGAGGAUGAGGUUGAUCAAAAUCAGAUCUACGAGCAGCCACCAGCACCACCACCAGCAGGUCGACCUCAGGUAUAUAUUCGUAAUGGUAGGCCUGCACCACCACCUCAGGUACGAGAUGAUGUCCAUAUUCCUAAACUGAAAUUGAAUAUUCCACCAUUUGAGGGUAGAUAUGUUCCUGAUAUAUAUCUUACUUGGGAGUUAGAAACUGAACAACGAUUUACAUGUUUACAAUAUCCUGAGGAGAGACGAGUUGCUGCUGCUGUUUGUGCUUUCACUAGUUUUGCAUGUGUAUGGUGGUCUGAACAUUGUAGAUUAUAUCCUAUUCCAACUACUUGGGCUACUUUGAAAACUGCUAUGCGUACGCGUUGGGUUCCACCAUAUUAUCAACGUGAAUUGCUUCAAAAAUUGCAGCGUUUAAGACAAGGGAAAAAUUCUGUAGAAGAAUAUUAUCAGGAAUUACAAACUGGCAUGAUUAGAUGUGGUAUUGUUGAGGAGAAUGAAGCUAUGCUUGCACGUUUUCUGGGUGGAUUAAAUAGAGAGAUUCAGACCAUUCUACACUAUAAGUAGUAUACUAAUAUCACUCGUUUAUUCCAUCUUGCUUGUAAAGCUGAACGUGAAGUGCAGGAUCGACAAGCAUUGGGGCGAACUAACUUUUCUGCAGGCCGACCUUCAUCAUGGACACCACGUGCAUCUUCUACUUCAACUGCACCAGCACCUCCAUCCGGUGCUACCGGUGCCACCUCCAGCCUUGAUACAAGAAAACAGGCACAACCACCAUUAUCUUCCAAGAGCGCACCUGCGGGGCCUGCACAGCGUUCUUCUUCUUCCAUGGCAUCAACAGGGCACACAAGUGAUAUUAUUUGUCGUCGUUGUAAGGGAGGAGGUCAUUAUGCGAGGGAAUGCAAAUCUCCGCGUGUGAUGAUUGCUACCGCGGAUGGUGGAUAUGAGUCCGCUAGUGACUAUGAUGAGGAGACAUUGGCUCUUAUUACACGUGAAGAACAUGGUGGAGAUGAUUCUGAUCAUGAGACGCAAUACAUGGCUCCUGAAGACGCUGACAGGUAUGAAUGUUUAGUUGCUCAACGUGUUUUGAGUGUGCAGGUCACACAAGCUGAGCAAAAUCAGAGGCACAAUUUGUUCCAUACCAAGGGAGUUGUGAAGGAACGUUCUGUGCGCGUCAUAAUAGAUGGAGGGAGCUGCAACAACUUGGCUAGCAUGGAGAUGGUGGAGAAGCUUUCUCUCACCACAAGACCACAUCCACAUCCUUACUACAUCCAAUGGUUCAACAACAGCGGCAAGGUUAAGGUAACACGUACUGUUCGUGUGCAUUUUAGUAUCUCUACAUAUGCUGAUUAUGUUGAUUGUGAUGUGGUACCUAUGCAAGCAUGUUCCUUAUUAGUUGGUAGACCAUGGCAAUUUGAUAAAAACUCUGUACACCAUGGUAGAAACAAUCACUAUACUCUUGUUCAUAAGGAUAAAAAUAUUACUUUGCUUCCUAUGACUCCUGAUUCCAUUUUGAAAGAUGAUAUUAAUAGAGCUAAUAAAGCACAACAGGAGAAGAAUAAGAGUGAAAAUCAGAUUGUGGCAAAAGAAUUUGAGCAACAAAUGAAGCCUAAUAAUAAACCAUGUAGUGUUGCUUCUGAAAUUAAAUUGAAAAGUGCAUGUUUAUUUGCCACCAAAUCUGAUAUUGAUGAGCUAGAUUUCAGCAAAUCUGUUUGCUAUGCUUUUGUGUGCAAAGAGGCAUUAUUUUCAUUCGAGGACGUGCCUUCCUCUUUCCCUCCUGCUGUCACUAACAUUUUGCAGGAGUUCGCUGACGUUUUUCCACAAGACGUGCCACCGGGAUUACCGCCUAUUCGAGGGAUUGAGCAUCAGAUUGACUUAAUUCCCGGUGCUUCACUGCCAAACCGUGCACCAUACCGUACCAAUCCAGAGGAGACGAAGGAGAUUAUGCGUCAAGUACAAGAGCUUCUCGACAAAGGUUAUAUACGCGAAUCCCUUAGUCCUUGUGCUGUUCCUAUUAUUCUAGUGCCGAAAAAGGAUGGUACAUCACGUAUGUGUAUUGAUUGUAGAGGCAUUAAUAAUAUUACUAUUCGUUAUCGUCAUCCUAUUCCUAGGCUAGAUGAUAUGCUUGAUGAAUUGAGUGGCUCUACAAUAUUCUCCAAAGUUGAUUUGCGUAGUGGCUACCAUCAAAUUCGUAUGAAAUUGGGAGAUGAAUGGAAAACAACAUUUAAAACUAAGUUUGGAUUAUAUGAGUGGUUAGUCAUGCCUUUUGGGUUAACUAAUGCACCUAGUACUUUCAUGAGAUUAAUGAACGAAGUUUUACGUGCUUUCAUUGGACGAUUUGUGGUAGUUUACUUUGAUGACAUAUUGAUUUAUAGAAGAUCUUUGGAAGAACAUUUGGAACAUUUACGUGCUGUUUUUAUUGCUCUACGUGAUGCACGUUUGUUUGGUAACCUUGGGAAGUGCACCUUUUGCACCAACCGAGUAUCUUUUCUUGGCUAUGUUGUUACUCCACAGGGAAUUGAAGUUGAUAAAGCCAAGAUUGAAGCUAUUGAGAGUUGGCCGCAGCCCAAAAUGGUCACACAACUGAGGAGUUUUCUUGGCCUCGCUGGAUUCUAUAGGCGUUUUGUGAGAGAUUUCAGCACCAUUGCUGCACCUCUCAAUGAGCUUACAAAGAAAGAUGUGCCUUUUCUUUGGGGUACCGCACAGGAAGAAGCCUUCACGGUAUUGAAAGAUAAGUUGACACAUGCUCCUUUACUCCAACUUCCUGAUUUUAAUAAGACUUUUGAGCUUCAAUGUGAUGCUAGUGGAAUUGGAUUAGGAGGUGUGUUAUUACAAGAUGGCGAACCUGUUGCAUACUUUUCUGAAAAAUUGAGUGGGCCUAGUCUGAAUUAUUCUACUUAUGAUAAAGAAUUAUAUGCUCUUGUUCGGACUUUAGAAACAUGGCAACAUUAUUUAUGGCCCAAAGAAUUUGUUAUACAUUCUGAUCAUGAAUCUUUGAACCAUAUUAAAAGUCAAGCUAAACUGAAUCGUAGACAUGCUAAAUGGGUUGAAUUCAUUGAGACUUUUCCUUAUGUCAUUAAACACAAGAAGGGAAAAGAAAAUGUUAUUGCUGAUGCAUUGUCUCGCCGCUAUACUAUGCUUUCACAACUUGACUUCGAAAUAUUUGGUUUGGAGACUAUCAAACAUCAAUAUGUGCAUGAUGCUGAUUUUAAAGAUGUAAUGCAGAAUUGUAAAGAAGGAAGAAUGUGGAACAAGUUCGUCGUUAACGAUGGAUUUGUGUUUCGUGCUAACAAGCUAUGCAUUCCAGCUAGCUCCGUUCGUCUUUUGUUGUUGCAGGAGGCGCAUGGAGGAGGAUUAAUGGGACACUUUGGCGUGAAGAAGACGGAGGACGUACUUGCUACACAUUUCUUUUGGCCAAAGAUGAGACGGGAUGUUGAGCGUUUUAUUGCUCGAUGCACUACAUGUCAAAAAGUAAGUCACGACUCAAUCCUCAUGGUUUAUAUAUGCCUUUGCCUGUACCUAGUGUUCCUUGGGAGGAUAUAUCUAUGGACUUUGUUUUAGGUUUACCUCGAACAAAGAAGGGGAGGGAUAGCAUAUUUGUUGUCGUGGAUAGAUUCUCGAAAAUGGCACACUUUAUACCAUGUCAUAAAAGCGAUGAUGCUAUUAAUGUUGCUGAUAUGUUCUUUCGUGAAAUUAUUCGCUUGCAUGGUGUGCCAAAUACUAUUGUUUCAGAUCGUGAUACUAAAUUUCUUAGCCACUUUUGGAGAUGUUUAUGGGCUAAGUUGGGGACUAAACUGCUUUUUAGUACUACUUGUCACCCCCAAACUGACGGACAAACUGAAGUAGUCAAUAGAACAUUGUCUACUAUGCUUAGGGCUGUUUUGAAGAAUAAUAAGAAAAUGUGGGAGGAAUGCUUGCCUCAUAUUGAAUUUGCUUAUAAUCGUUCAUUGCAUUCUACUACUAAGAUGUGCCCUUUUGAAGUUGUGUAUGGUUUCCUACCUCGUGCACCUAUUGAUUUGUUGCCUCUUCCAUCUUCGGAGAAGGUUAAUUUUGAUGCUAAACAACGUGCUGAAUUGAUUUUAAAAAUGCAUGAGUUAACUAAGGAAAACAUUGAGCGUAUGAAUGCUAAAUAUAAACUUGCUGGAGAUAAGGGUAGAAAACAUGUUGUGUUUGCACCUAGAGAUCUUGUUUGGUUACAUUUGCGUAAGGAUAGAUUUCCUGAUUUGCGCAAAUCAAAGCUAAUGUCACGUGCUGAUGGUCCCUUUAAGGUGUUAGAGAAAAUAAAUGAUAAUGCAUAUAAACUUGAGCUGCCUGCAGAUUUUGGGGUUAGUCCCACUUUUAACAUUGCAGAUUUGAAGCCUUAUUUGGGUGAGGAAGAUGAGUUUCCGUCGAGGACGACUUCAUUUCAAGAAGGGGAGGAUGAUGAGGACAUCAAUACCAUUGUUACACCCACAGCCCCUACUGCUACAUAUACGGGACCAAUUACUAGAGCUCGCGCACGCCAAUUAAAUUAUCAGGUACUUCCGUUUCUUGGUAAUGAUUCUAAUGUUCAUGAGAACAUGAUGCUGCCUAAAUUGGAUACAUUUGUUUUGCUUACAAAUGAAGGGCCUAGCUUGGAGAAGGAUGAACAUUGGAGCAAGAACAAGCAUGGAGAUGAUGCCAUGCGCAAGGGGAACAAGAACGGAGUUACAAGUGAUGAUUUCAGGACUUUGAAGCCACCUUAAUGGGUGCAUGAAGCCAUGGACGAAAUAUACAAGAUGCCACUUCAUAAAUUUCGUCCCGAGGCUAUUUUAGGUGCUGCGUCAGCUUAUUAUUGGGCCAGGCCCAUGUAAUUUCGAAAUACAUAAGUAUAGGCUAUUUUCAGAGUCCGUAUGUGUGGGGAAACAAGAGAUAGGGUUGAUUUCGGACCCCUCCACCAAGGGCCACGAAAUUCCCCCCUCUUCAUCCAUAUAUACAGCCCUUAGGGCAUCGUUUAGACUUUGGGUUUUGUUUAGAUUAAAAGUUCGCCAUAGCUGCAACUUCGCGUACUUCGUUUGUGUUCAACGACCAGACAAAGGCGUCACAGAACCCCACCUUGAUCAAUAAAGCUUUCAUCUUAUAUUCGCAAUAUCCAGAUUGCAAUCUCAGUUUCUUGCUUGUUCUUCGUUUGCUCGCAGGAAACAGGCCCUCGUGGUCAGGUUGAUCGUGCUCCGGCGUGGUCAAUAACCUCUUGGAGUUGGUUUAGCGAUUGCUAAGGCGCGACGUCUUCGCACGUUCGUAGUCGGAUCGUCAAAGUCGACUGCCACCAAAGCGAUAUCCAUCAUCUCAUCGAAAGACGGGACACCUUUGCCUCUAUCACGCACCUCUCCAACAACAACAACAACAACGACUACCUCCACGUCGCGAAGUAGAUCUCCGCCGAGCGAGCCGUGUUCCUCUUGCGUUUGGCCAAACUGUUGGUGCUGUUGUUGAUACUUCUGUGGCUCCUGCUGCUGAUGCGGAGGAGGAUGAUUAUGUGGGAGAUUACGAGGAUGAGGUUGUUCAAAAUCAGAACUACGUGCAACCACCUGCACCACAACCACCAGGUCGUCCACAUGCAAAUAAUCACAAUGGUAGGGCUUUCCCUCAGGUACGAGAUCAUGACCAUCUUCCUAAACUGAAAUUGAAUAUUCCACCUUUCGAGGGUAGAUAUGUUCCUGAUAUAUAUCUUACUUGGGAGUUAGAAACUGAACAACGAUUUACAUGUUUACAAUAUCCCGAGGAGAGACGGGUUGCCGCUGCUGUUUGUGCUUUCACUAGUUUUGCAUGUGUAUGGUGGUCUGAACAUUGUAGAUUAUAUCCUAUUCCAACUACUUGGGCUGCUUUGAAAACUGCUAUGCGUACUCGUUGGGUUCCACCAUAUUAUCAACGUGAAUUGCUUCAGAAAUUACAAUGCUUAAGACAAGGAAAAAAUUCUGUAGAAGAAUAUUAUCAGGAAUUACAAACUGGCAUGAUUAGAUGUGGUAUUGUUGAGGAGAAUGAAGCUAUGCUUGCACGUUUUCUGGGUGGAUUAAAUAGAGAGAUUCAGACCAUUCUAGACUAUAAGGAGUAUACUAAUAUCACUCGUUUUUCCAUCUUGCUUGUAAACCUGAACGUGAAGUGCAGAAUCGACAAGCAUUGGCGCGAACUAACUUUUCUGCAGGCCGACCUUCAUCAUGGACACCGCGUGCAUCUUCUACUUCAACUGCACCAGCACCUCACUCAGGUGUCUCCUCCAGUCGUGAUACAAGAAAACAGGCACAACCACCAUUAUCUGCUAAGAGCGCACCUGCUGGGCCUGCACAGAGUUCUGCUUCUUCCAUGGCAUCAACAGGGCACACAAGUGAUAUUAUUUGUCGUCGUUGUAAGGGAGGAGGUCAUUAUGCGAGAGAAUGCAAAUCUCCGUGUGUGACGAUUGCUACCGCGGAUGGUGGAUAUGAGUCCGCUAGUGACUAUGAUGAGGAGACUUUGGCUCUUAUUACACGUGAAGAACAUGGUGGAGAUGAUUCUGAUCAUGAGACGCAAUACAUGGCUCCUGAAGACGCUGACAGGUAUGAAUGUUUAGUUGCUCAACGUGUUUUGAGUGUGCAGGUCACACAAGCUGAGCAAAAUCAGAGGCACAAUUUGUUCCAUACCAAGGGAGUUGUGAAAGAACGUUCUGUGCGCGUCAUCAUAGAUGGAGGGAGCUGCAACAACUUGGCUAGCAUGGAGAUGGUGGAGAAGCUUUCUCUCACCACAAGACCACAUCCACAUCCUUACUACAUCCAAUGGUUCAACAACAGCGGCAAGGUUAAGGUAACACGUAUUGUUCGUGUGCAUUUUAGUAUCUCUACAUAUGCUGAUUAUGUUGAUUGUGAUGUGGUACCUAUGCAAGCAUGUUCCUUAUUAGUUGGUAGACCAUGGCAAUUUGAUAAAAAUUCUGUACACCAUGGUAGAAACAAUCACUAUACUCUUGUUCAUAAGGAUAAAAAUAUUACUUUGCUUCCUAUGACUCCUGAUUCCAUUUUGAAAGAUGAUAUUAAUAGAGCUAAUAAAGCAAAACAGGAGACGAAUAAGAGUGAAAAUCAGAUUGUGGCAAAAGAAUUUGAGCAACAAAUGAAGCCAAAUAAUAAACCAUCUAGUGUUGCUUCUGAAAUUAAAUUGAAAAGUGCAUGUUUAUUUGCCACCAAAUCUGAUAUUGAUGAGCUAGAUUUCAGGAAAUCUGUUUGCUAUGCUUUUGUGUGCAAAGAGGCAUUAUUUUCAUUCGAGGACGUGCCUUCCUCUUUGCCUCCUGCUGUCACUAACAUUUUGCAGGAGUUCGCUGACGUCUUUCCACAAGACGUGCCACCGGGAUUACCGCCUAUUCGAGGGAUUGAGCAUCAGAUUGACUUAAUUCCCGGUGCUUCACUGCCAAACCGUGCACCAUACCGUACCAAUCCAGAGGAGACGAAGGAGAUUAUGCGUCAAGUACAAGAGCUUCUCAACAAAGGUUAUAUACGCGAAUCCCUUAGUCCUUGUGUUGUUCCUAUUAUUCUAGUGCCGAAAAAGGAUGGUACAUCACGUAUGUGUGUUGAUUGUAGAGGCAUUAAUAAUAUUACUAUUCGUUAUCGUCAUCCUAUUCCUAGACUAGAUGAUAUGCUUGAUGAAUUGAGUGGCUCUACAAUAUUCUCCAAAGUUGAUUUGCGUAGUGGAUACCAUCAAAUUCGUAUGAAAUUGGGAGAUGAAUGGAAAACAGCAUUCAAAACUAAGUUUGGAUUAUAUGAGUGGUUAGUCAUGCCUUUUGGGUUAACUAAUGCACCUAGUACUUUCAUGAGAUUAAUGAACAAAGUUUUACGUGCUUUCAUUGGACGAUUUGUGGUAGUUUACUUUGAUGACAUAUUGAUUUAUAGCAGAUCUUUGGAAGAACAUUUGGAACAUUUACGUGCUGUUUUUAUUGCUCUACGUGAUGCAUGUUUGUUUGGUAACCUUGGGAAGUGCACCUUUUGCGCCGACCGAGUAUCUUUUCUUGGCUAUGUUGUUACUCCACAGGGAAUUGAAGUUGAUAAAGCCAAGAUUGAAGCUAUUGAGAGUUGGCCGCAACCCAAAACGGUCACACAAGUGAGGAGUUUUCUUGGCCUCGCUGGAUUCUAUAGGCAUUUUGCGAGAGAUUUCAGCACCAUUGCUGCACCUCUCAAUGAGCUUACAAAGAAAGAUGUGCCUUUUCUUUGGGGUACCGCACAGGAAGAAGCCUUGUCGGUAUUGAAAGAUAAGUUGACACAUGCUCCUUUACUCCAACUUCCUGAUUUUAAUAAGACUUUUGAGCUUGAAUGUGAUGCUAGUGGAAUUGGAUUAGGCGGUGUGUUAUUACAAGAUGGCAAACCUGUUGCAUACUUUUCUGAAAAAUUGAGUGGGCCUAGUCUGAAUUAUUCUACUUAUGAUAAAGAAUUAUAUGCUCUUGUUCGGACUUUAGAAACAUGGCAACAUUAUUUAUGGCCCAAAGAAUUUGAUAUACAUUCUGAUCAUGAAUCUUUGAAACACAUUAAAAGUCAAGCUAAACUGAAUCGUAGACAUGCUAAAUGGGUUGAAUUCAUUGAGACUUUUCCUUAUGUCAUUAAACACAAGAAGGGAAAAUAAAAUGUUAUUGCUGAUGCAUUGUCUCGCCGCUAUACUAUGCUUUCACAACUUGACUUCAAAAUAUUUGGUUUGGAGACCAUCAAAGAUCAAUAUGUGCAUGAUGCUGAUUCUAAAGAUGUAAUGCAGAAUUGUAAAGAAGGAAUAAUGUGGAACAAGUUUGUCAUUAACGAUGGAUUUGUGUUUCGUGCUAACAAGCUAUGCAUUCCAGCUAGCUCCGUUCGUCUUUUGUUGUUGCAGGAGGCGCAUGGAGGAGGAUUAAUGGGACACUUUGGCGUGAAGAAGACGGAGGACGUACUUGCUACACAUUUCUUUUGGCCAAAGAUGAGACGGGAUGUUGAGCGUUUUAUUGCUCGCUGCACUACAUGUCAAAAAGCUAAGUCACGACUCAAUCCUCAUGGUUUAUAUAUGCCUUUGCCUGUACCUAGUGUUCCUUGGGAGGAUAUAUCUAUGGACUUUGUUUUAGGUUUACCUCGAACAAAGAAGGGGAGGGAUAGCAUAUUUGUUGUCGUGGAUAGAUUCUCGAAAAUGGCACACUUUAUACCAUGUCAUAAAAGCGAUGAUGCUGUUAAUGUUGCUGAUUUGUUCUUUCGUGAAAUUAUUCGUUUGCAUGGUGUGCCAAAUACUAUUCUUUCAGAUCGUGAUACUAAAUUUCUUAGCCACUUUUGGAGAUGUUUAUGGGCUAAGUUGGGGACUAAACUGCUUUUUAGUACUACUUGUCAUCCCCAAACUGAUGGACAAACUGAAGUAGUCAAUAGAACAUUGUCUACUAUGCUUAGAGCUGUUUUGAAGAAUAAUAAGAAAAUGUGGGAGGAAUGCUUGCCUCAUAUUGAAUUUGCUUAUAAUCGUUCAUUGCAUUCUACUACUAAGAUGUGCCCUUUUGAAGUUGUGUAUGGUUUCCUACCUCGUGCACCUAUUGAUUUGUUGCCUCUUCCAUCUUCGGAGAAGGUUAAUUUUGAUGCUAAACAACAUGCUGAAUUGAUUUUAAAAAUGCAUGAGUUAACUAAGGAAAACAUUGAGCGCAUGAAUGCUAAAUAUAAACUUGCUGGAGAUAAGGGUAGAAAACAUGUUGUGUUUGCACCUGGAGAUCUUGUUUGGUUACAUUUGCGUAAGGAUAGAUUUCUUGAUUUGCGCAAAUCAAAGUUAAUGCCACGUGCUGAUGGUCCCUUUAAGGUGUUAGAGAAAAUAAAUGAUAAUGCAUAUAAACUUGAGCUGCCUGCAGAUUUUGGGGUUAGUCCCACUUUUAACAUUGCAGAUUUGAAGCCUUAUUUGGGUGAGGAAGAUGAACUUCCGUCGAGGACGACUUCAUUUCAAGAAGGGGAGGAUGAUGAGGACAUCAAUACAAUUGUUACACCCACAGCCCCUGCUGCUAUACAUACUGGACCAAUUACUAGAGCUCGUGCACGCCAACUAAAUUACCAGGUACUUUCGUUUCUUGGUAAUGAUUCUAAUGUUCAUGAGAAUAUGAUGCUGCCUAAAUUGGAUACAUUUGUUUUGCUUACAAAUGAAGGGCCUAGCAUGGAGAAGGAUGAACAUUGGAGCAAGAACAAGAAUGGAGUUACAAGUGAUGAUUUCAGGACUUUGAAGCCACCAUAAUGGGUGCAUGAAGCCUUGGACGAAAUAUACAAGAUGCCACUUCAUAAAUUUCGUCCCGAGGCUAUUUUAGGUGCUGCGUCACCUUAUUAUUGGGCCAGGCCCAUGUAAUUUCGAAAUACAUAAUUAUAGGCUAUUUUUAGAGUCCGUAUGUGUGGGGAAACAAGAGAUAGGGUUGAUUUCGGACCCCUCCACCAAGGGCCACGAAAUUCCCCCCCUCUUCCUCCAUAUAUACAGCCCUUAGGGCAUCGUUUAGAAUUUGGGUUUUGUUUAGAUUAAAAGUUCGCCAUAGCUGCAACUUCGCGUACUUCGUUUGUGUUCAACGACCAGACAAAGGCGUCACAGAACCCCACCUUGAUCAAUAAAGCUUUCAUCUUAUAUUCGCAAUAUCCAGAUUGCAAUCUUAGUUUCUUGCUUGUUCUUCGUUUGCUCGCAGGAAACAGACCCUCGUGGUCAGGUUGAUCGUGCUCCGGCGUGGUCAAUAACCUCUCGGAGUUGGUUUAGCGAUUGCUAAGGCGCGACGUCCUCGCACGUUCGUAGUCGGAUCGUCAAAGUCGACUUCCACCAAAGCGAAAUCCACCAUCUCAUCGAAAGACGGGACACCUUUGCCUCUAUCACUACAUGUCAAAAAGCUAAGUCACGACUCAAUCCUCAUGGUUUAUAUAUGCCUUUGCCUGUACCUAGUGUUCCUUGGGAGGAUAUAUCUAUGGACUUUGUUUUAGGUUUACCUCGAACAAAGAAGGGGAGGGAUAGCAUAUUUGUUGUCGUGGAUAGAUUCUCGAAAAUGGCACACUUUAUACCAUGUCAUAAAAGCGAUGAUGCUGUUAAUGUUGCUGAUUUGUUCUUUCGUGAAAUUAUUCGCUUGCAUGGUGUGCCAAAUACUAUUGUUUCAGAUCGUGAUACUAAAUUUCUUAGCCACUUUUGGAGAUGUUUAUGGGCUAAGUUGGGGACUAAACUGCUUUUUAGUACUACUUGUCACCCCCAAACUGAUGGACAAACUGAAGUAGUCAAUAGAACAUUGUCUAUUAUGCUUAGGGCUGUUUUGAAGAAUAAUAAGAAAAUGUGGGAGGAAUGCUUGCCUCAUAUUGAAUUUGCUUAUAAUCGUUCAUUGCAUUCUACUACUAAGAUGUGCCCUUUUGAAGUUGUGUAUGGUUUCCUACCUCGUGCACCUAUUGAUUUGUUGCCUCUUCCAUCUUCGGAGAAGGUUAAUUUUGAUGCUAAACAACGUGCUGAAUUGAUUUUAAAAAUGCAUGAGUUAACUAAGGAAAACAUUGAGCGUAUGAAUGCUAAAUAUAAACUUGCUGGAGAUAAGGGUAGAAAACAUGUUGUGUUUGCACCUGGAGAUCUUGUUUGGUUACAUUUGCGUAAGGAUAGAUUUCCGGAUUUGCGCAAAUCAAAGUUAAUGCCACGUGCUGAUGGUCCCUUUAAGGUGUUAGAGAAAAUAAAUGAUAAUGCAUAUAAACUUGAGCUGCCUGCAGAUUUUGGGGUUGGUCCCACUUUUAACAUUGCAGAUUUGAAGCCUUAUUUGGGUGAGGAAGAUGAACUUCCAUCGAGGACGACUUUAUUUCAAGAAGGGGAGGAUGAUGAGGACAUCAAUACAAUUGUUACACCCACAGCCCCUGUUGCUAUAAAUACUGGACCAAUUACUAGAGCUCGCGCACGCCAACUAAAUUACCAGGUACUUUCGUUUCUUGGUAAUGAUUCUAAUGUUCAUGAGAAUAUGAUGCUGCCUAAAUUGGAUACAUUUGUUUUGCUUACAAAUGAAGGGCCUAGCUUGGAGAAGGAUGAACAUUGGGUUAAGAACAAGCAUGGAGAUGAUGGCAUGCGCAAGGGGAACAAGAACGGAGUUACAAGUGAUGAUUUCAGGACUUUGAAGCCACCAUAAUGGGUGCAUGAAGCCUUGGAUGAAAUAUACAAGAUGCCACUUCAUAAAUUUCGUCCCGAGGCUAUUAUAGGUGCUGCGUCACCUUAUUAUUGGGCCAGGCCCAUGUAAUUUCGAAAUACAUAAGUAUAGGCUAUUUUUAGAGUCUGUAUGUGUGGGGAAACAAGGGAGAUAGGGUUGAUUUCGGACCCCUCCACCAAGGGCCACGAAAUUCCCCCUCUCUCCUACAUAUAUACAGCCCUUAGGGCACCGUUUAGACUUUGGGUUUUGUUUAGAUUAAAGUUCGACAUAGCUGCAACUUCGCGUACUUCGUUUGUGUUCAACGACCAGACAAAGGCGUCACAGAACCCCACCUUGAUCAAUAAAGCUUUCAUCUUAUAUUCGCAAUAUCCAGAUUGCAAUCUUAGUUUCUUGCUUGUUCUUCGUUUGCUCGCAGGGAACAGAACCUUGUGGUCAGGUUGAUUGUGCUCCGGCGUGGUCAAUAACCUCUCGGAGUUGGUUUAGCGAUUGCUAAGGCGCGACGUCCUCGCACGUUCGUAGUUUGAUCGUCAAAGUCGACUGCCACCAAAGCGAUAUCCAUCAUCUCAUCAAAAGACGGGACACCUUUGCCUCUAUCACCAUGUUCCACUAUUACUUGCUUUCUUGGGUUGAUGACAUAUAUGCUCAUGCCUCUCACAUGAUAUAUCUUGAUCAGUGUCUCUUGUGUCCAUUAGUUGCCUCUUUCAUAUCCACUUGUAUUGAGUGCAACCAUACUAUGCUUAUUGAUCUUGGAGACUUUGACUCCUUAUUUGUGAUGCAUGCUUCUUUCCUUGAGCCUCUUAUAUUUGGUUGUUCUUGCAUCAUAUGCCUACAUACUAUGAAAUGCUCCCUUGUACCUUCUUAUGAUGAGCUUGAUGCAUACACUUGUUGGGUAUCUUACCACUUGAAUGAUAGGUUUUGCAUCUCUGGUAACCUCAUUUGUUUUUCCGAGUGUUUAUCAUGUUCUUUCAUUUUGGAGGAUUCACAAGGCGGUGCCGUUAGGCGACAUAUUGGUUAUGUGAAGGCAUACAUGAUGUACGACUCCAACAUCUUUGGGAACUUUCUUGAGGUGAACUCCUUCUCUUUGAGCCAUCCUCAAUUACGCAUAUUGGAUGGGUCACUCUUUCAUUGUUGUUUCCUUCUUGUUGUCUACAUGAUACAUCUCGUGAACGGAGGAGCGACAUUGGAGAUUGGCUACAUGGACCUUCACAUUGAGGAGCGCUCGCACUUAUUGGAUGCACCUUCGGCACUCCACUCAUGCCUCGACAUCGAGCUUUGGUACACCAACAUCUCCAUAUUUGUUGAUUGUGCUCAUACAUGUCAUGCUCGAUGGACAUAUCAUAGUCACCAGAAGUUUGCACCCCAUACAUGGAUUGACUCAUAUUAUGCUUGUCUUGUUUCAUCUAUUUUCAUGUCAUCUAUGAUAUAUGAACUCGUUCACUUCCUUAGCAAAUUUGUUGUGAUCUUCCUUGAUGGCAUAUUCAUACAUCAUGAUCAUAUUGCCAAUUAUCAAUUGCGUGACAACAUAAUCACAUUGAACACCAAUUACCAUGUUCAUGCUCUUGAUAAACCAUCCCAUUAUGACAUCAUUUUGCACAAUGGUCUCAUUAGUCACAUUCACCACACCUUUGUGCAUAUGACAAAUGAAUUUGCUCACGCGAAUGCUUUACAUCUAAUUCUACAUCUUUUGGAUAAGCCUCUUGUGCCUUGUCACGCACUAUCUUGCCGCACGGACUCAUUCUUACAUGAUGGACACUUUGUGUGCGCUAACCAUUGUAUUUUCGAGUGUUGCUUGUGUUUGAUCUUUUUGCAUGUCUAUCACUCUGGUGACACCUUGGACUACUUGGAUUGCGCCAUGUCUUCAACUUCGACCAACUACAAGUCCGUCUACGACAACCGUUUCCAUGGUGAUGAGGAUCACGAUCCGAUGUCGGAUCUUUCCCAAUGGGGGGGGGGAGAUGAUGCGGAGCAUCCCACGGUCAACCCCAUGUACACUCCAACUACUCUCCAUACCCCAAGAGGACAUAUGACGAGACCUCGAACAUACGCCAUUGGAAUCAAGGUGAACCCGAUCUUCUUCAAGAACAUCAUGAAUAUCCAUUGGACUUGCUUGCUACUUCACCAAAGUGCUCUAUGUGUCCUUAGGUACGAAUACCGACGACCACAAGCUGGUGAGGGACACCCCAAAGGAGUUGGAGAAGGACCACAAGGCCACAAGGAGGAAGAAGGUGUGCAACAAGAGCAACACUGCACCUCCCAGGCGACCCCGUGCCCACAGGCCUCGAAGACCCUAUGCACACGGACUACUCAGGAAGUUGGCGCUGGAGCACCCCGUGCGCACGGGCCUGUACCGUGCCCACGGGACCCGUGCACACGGGCCUGUACCGUGCCCACGGGACCCCGUGCCCACGGGCCCAACUUACCCCGUGCGCACGGGCCCUACAGGAUGGACGGCUGGGAUUGCUGUUUGGGCCUCCUCUUCAUCCACUUCGUCCCCAUGCCUAUAUAUUUCGUACCUAGACCAUCUGUUAGGGGAGGCAAAGUAGUUGAUACACAUUGUGAGCUUUGCUCCAUGGAUCCACUCCUCUAGGAGAUCAAGACCUCCUCUUGGAGUGACCAAACAUCAAGACCUCCUCUUUGGGGAAGGAUCCCAAUCAUAGGAUCAUCAAGCCCUCAUCUCCUUCAUAGGAUUUGGGAUGAACUCUACCACGUAUCUUAUUUCCCUUUGUUGUUCAUGUACCUUGUGGAUCUUGUGUGUUUCAUUUUCUAGUGGAUGUGUGAUUGGACUUGUUCUUGAGUGUUAAUCUUGUUUCCCUCUUCUGUUCAUCUUGUUCUUGGGGAUUCCCCUUCCAAUUCAUGAAAGAUCUCCCCAUAGGGUUCCACCCUAUAUCAAUACUCCACAGGGAACUGAAGUUGAUAAAGCCAAGAUUGAAGCUAUUGAGAGUUGGCCGCAGCCCAAAACGAUCACACAAGUGAGGAGUUUUCUUGGCCUUGCUGGAUUCUACAGGCAUUUUGUGAGAGAUUUCAGCACCAUUGCUGCACCUCUCAAUGAGCUUACAAAGAAGGAUGUGCCUUUUGUUUGGGGUACCGCACAAGAAGAAGCCUUCACGGUAUUGAAAGAUAAGUUGACACAUGCUCCUUUACUCCAACUUCCUGAUUCUAAUAAGACUUUUGAGCUUGAAUGUGAUGCUAGUGGAAUUGGAUUAGGAGGUGUGUUAUUACAAGAUGGCAAACCCAUUGCAUAUUUUUCUGAAAAAUUGAGUGGGCCUAGUCUGAAUUAUUGUACUUAUGAUAAAGAAUUAUAUGCUCUUGUUCGGACUUUAGAGACAUGGCAACAUUAUUUAUGGCCCAAAGAAUUUGUUAUACAUUCUGAUCAUGAAUCUUUGAAACAUAUUAAAAGUCAAGCUAAACUGAAUCGUAGACAUGCUAAAUGGGUUGAAUUCAUUGAGACUUUCCCUUAUGUUAUUAAACACAAGAAGGGUAAAGAAAAUGUUAUUGCUGAUGCAUUGUCUCGUCGCUAUACUAUGCUUUCACAACUUGACUUCAAAAUAUUUGGUUUGGAGACCAUCUGAUACGGGGCUAACCCGAUGUAGGCCAAUCUUUCACGUUUGGAGUGGGAUCCCUCGAAGAACACGAUGAACACGGGUAAGAACGGGGAGAAAUCACAAGGGGAAACACUCGAGAACAAGUCCAAUCACACAUCCACUAGACAAUCAAACACACAAGAUCACAAGGUACAUGAACAACAAAGAGAAAGAUACAAGGUAGAGUUCAUCCCAAAUCCUAUGAAGGAGAUGAGGGCUUGAAUCCUAGAAGGAUCUUCCCACGAAGGGGGUCUUGAAUCCCGCGGGAUCUUCUCGCAUGGAGGUCUUGAACUCCAUGGGAGUGGUAGUAUCUCUCUCUCAAGAGUAGAGGUAGGAGCAAAGCUCACCUAAGAAUGAGCUAUCAUAUUUGCUAACCCGAGAAAGGACGAGGGGGAGGUCUAUUUAUAGUCUAAGCCACGAAGGGGUAAGUGGGAGAGAUAUACAAGGCCAAAAGGCCCGGCUGCACACACAGGCAGCGGACGUCCGGUCCUUACCGGUCGUCCGGUCGCUCGCGGAGGUCCGGACGUCCUGAGGGGCUCGGACUUCCGCAAAUUCGUCUCGGAUGAAGUUGCACCGGUCGUCCAGAGAUGGCGGUUGUCCGGUUGCCGGUCGUCUGGUCUUGGACGGACGUCCGACCGCUGUAGCUUUCGUCGGCUGGCCGUCUAGGAUGCGUUCGGUAGCGGACAUCCGGUGGGCGCCGGUCGUCCGGGCGCUGUAGAGGGUCGGACGUCCGAUGGCUUCCGGUCGUCCGGUCGCUGUAGACUCCGCAGCUCCUUCUUCUUCCGUCUUCUCUUCCAUGCUUCCCUCGCGGAUGGUGUAGGUGUUCCUUGGCGCUUGCACUCCUCCUCGUCGUCCGUGAAGCUCCGGCAAUACAUAUGCAUGCACACAAGUGGAGUGUCAAGUAGUAUACCAUCCACGAAGGGGUCAAGUGAACACGUGUAAAGGAGAAGAUUCACCUUUAUGUAUGAGAAGUGGAGGUCGCACGUGUCACUUGCCAAACGGACUCUUGACAUGGUGAUGACCGUAGGAUGCUCCGCAUCAUCCCCUCCCCCUUGGAAAAGAUCUGACCUCGGAUCAAAAACCAAAUCACCAUGGGAAAGAGAUGGCGGUGCCGUGUUGAAGUUACCGAUCACCAAGCACUCAUCGUCUAGUAGCUCGAAAUGGGCACUCUCCAAUGUCGCACCGUCUUGUGAUUCCUUCAAAAGGAGCAAAUAGGACAAACACUUGGAAAAACAAAUGUGGUUAGCGUUAGUGCAAAACCAAGCAUUGAAGAGGUGAUUCACCAAACAAGUGUUGUCAUCAAGCAUAGCAUAUGGUUUGACAAGGGAUUGUGACAUGGCAUGUAAGCAUAUCAAUCGAGCACAAGCAAAGAUAUCAUGGGGACAAGUAUGCAAAUGUGAGGUAGAGAUGCAAAUAUGUGUGACAGGAGAAUAAGCAUCUACCUCAAGAUCAUAGCAAUCAUGCAUAAAGCGCUCGACAAAUGGUCGAUGGUAGGCAUAGGAAUCAUUCACAACACCAAAUAAGAUGAGAUGUCUAAACACAUGGGUCAAGUGCAAGACAAUCCAAGCAUAAUGUGCAUAGGGUGUAGUGAAUAUAGUGUGGCACUCAACACAAUAGAAAGAGCAAUUGUUCAUCAUGUGUGAGGCAAUCAAGUGAAUCAUGUGACAAGUAAAGGGACAUGGCAUAUGUGAAGAAAUGAUAUUGGUGCAACCAACCAUAUGAUAGUAGCAAGUAGUCCAAGAAUUGGAUGCAACACACAAGGUAUAUAUGUCAUGAAGCAUGGAAAUGUGGCAAUCAUGGUUGAAAGUAAUAUCUCGAACUUGCGUGCAAAUGGUGCAAGCAACACAUGAAGUAUGAUCCGCAAUAUCCAAGCUCAAGAAGGAUGUCACCUUAAAAGUGUGUCCUUGUGCAUUCUUCACAAUGCCGAAGUGGAAGCAAAUACGGUGUAGAAGCAAGUCAUGGUAGAAUGUAUGAGGCUCGCUCUCAAGAGCUCGAAUGGUCAACUCACGUGAAGUGGAAGUCGACACAAAGUCCAAGUAUCCUACACAUGCACAAAACAAAACAAAGAUAGUAUGCGCAUGGUAGACAAACACAUCAUCCAUCGUGAUGGUUCUCAUCUUUUGCAUAAAACCAUUAGAAGCACAAGUGCAUGAAUAAUAUGAUGCAACAAUGGCUAAAUUCAUGGCACUAGGUAUAUGGUGCAAAGAAGUAAGACAAGCAUGCUUCACAAGAAUUAUGUCAAAAUCUCCAAAUAUAUGCGAGAAUGCUAUGGGGGCAAUCUCAUGAGCAAGAAGAGAAUCAUUGUUGCACUCAAUGCAUGGCAAAUCAUCUAGCAUGAGAGAGGCAACACAUGGAUAUAUAUGACAAGAAGCAAUAUGAGUCAUAUGCAAAGCAUAUAGAUGGUUUUCAUCAACCGCAUGAAAUGGUGAUGCAAUAUAAGCAAGCAUAGUAAUCAAGUCGUGCAAACUAGUGGAGCGAAGAUGCAACACACUAGAGUAAAUCAUGGCAAUCAUGUCAUGUGAGCAAAUAAUAGGCAUAGGGAAUGCACAUGACAUAUCACAAACACGAACACAAAGCAAGAUCAUAGUAUCAUCAUAGGGGUGGGUCACAAGUGGAACAUGGCAACAACAAGCAAUAUCUCCACCAAGUUUGCAAAUACACAUAAAGGUACUAGAAUCAAUGAUCAUGUGUAAUGCAAAGCAUGGGUCACAAAUGCAUGUCAAAGGCAUAGGAAAGGGCAUAUCAUGGAAAGUGAACAUGGCAAGAUGGGCAUAUAAUAUGUAAUGGACAACAACCCAUAGCCAAGUGAGAGAGAUGUAGAAUGAACGUGCGACGUCUAUGCGCGAAGAGAGCGGUGGGAAAGACAAUCCAUGGGAUCCCAAAUCAUCCUUGCUCUCUAGAGCUCGUUUUGUCAACUCAUGGGAUUGCGAGGUUGACAAGUAUUCAUGGGUACCUACACAAAAGAGACACAAACGAAAGAAAUUGUGCGCGUGGUAAAUGUACACAUCAUCCAUCAUGAUGUGUAUGUGCACAUUAGAGUUAGCACAAGAUAAGCAUUGCUCAAAGAAAUUUGAUGCAUGGCAUAAGAACAUGUCAUCCAUCAUGAAAGAAUAGUUAUUAUGUAUGACACGAUGGGGACACAAAUUGAGAAUGCAAGUAUAUGGCACAUCAAAAGCAUUUUCAUUCAAGGGAAACAUAUGGUGCACAUAAUUAUUGGGAUCAUGCAAUGGAUGGGAUAGAUAAAAAUAUCCUAACAUGUAUGAGGAAACUAUGGGGGUCUCCUCAUGAGCAAUAUCGGAAACGUCACAUGGAGAAAAUGGACAACAUCCAAAACAAUGCAUAUCCAAAGCUAGGUGGGCAUGGCAUGGCAUAUGAGAUAAAUGAUGCAAAGGGAGCAUAUCAAUAUCAUCACAAGAAAAACAAAUGCCAAUAACCAUGGGCUUGUCAUCUAUGCCAUACGUGCAAAUUGGGUUUAUUUUAAUGGCAUAUGCAUAGUCACUAUGAAGAGAUUGCAAAUAAGACAUAUGGUUGAUCUCAUGCAUAGCAUAUGACAAGUCAAACAGAUUAUCAAACAUGAUGUGACCAAGGGAAUUGUCACAAGAAAUCCUAUGUAACAUGGCAUCACUACUAGUAGACUCCACAUGAGAAUCAUUAUAUUCAUAAUAAAUGGGCAAAUCAUCGCAUGGGGAAAUCAUACUAGCAUGAAGCAUGGUACUAGGUGGAUCAACAUCAUGCAAGCAAUCAAUGUCAAGAAUGUCCACUAGUGGGACUAGAGCAUCACCGUCACCUUUGUUACCUUUGUCAUUCCACUCAAGUGGUGUAGGUGAGGUGGGAAAGACCAAAUGGUGGUCAUCUUCAUCUUGAUGUAACCAUGUGGGGGGGUGCAUCAUAUUCCACCAUGGCCAUCGUCUUGUCCAAAGGGAGGACGAAGUCGUCGAGGAUCGGCGCGUCAUCAUAAAUGGGACCUAGCACCAAAUGAGAAGACACAAUAGAGGUAGAGGUCAAGUUGUUAGAAUUGCAAAUGGCCUCACGAGACCUAUCCGCUAUCUCACUCUCUCUAUGUGGUGGUUCAGUCACUCCCUCAAAGUAGGUGCACUCAAAGUCACAUAUGGUGGAGUCACUCAUCUCACUCAAGUGGUGGGGGUUGUGGAUCUCCUCACAUGGAAAGUGGGGCAACUCAUCAUAUAUGGGGCUAGUGGUGAAGUCACUCUCACUCUCAAUAUGGUGGCAGAAGUCACUCAAGUCAUCAUACGUCGCCGUGGUUGAAGGGAUAAUCCCCUGUUCAACCAUCUCGUCAUCGUCGCCGUGGAUGAAGGCCGAAGAUGGCACAUCAUCACUCUCGCCUCCUAAGAUGGAAGCAUCAUCCUUGCUCGCCACCUUGUCGCUUGCCUCCAAAGCUUGGUCCUUGAGGGUCUCCGUAGUCGUACUCGUCGUCGCACCCUCUUGAAAAAGAGUCAAGGUAGACUCGGCACCAUCAAUGUCACAAAGAGGGAUGGCGGUGAAGUCGAACUUGGGAGCAUCGUCUUGGAGCUCGUCGGGCUUGGACAUCUUGGUGGUUCUCAUGCUCGUUCUCAUGGAGCUUGGUCGCCGCGAAGUUUGCUUGGGGUGGAGAAGCCUUGGCCUUCAUGACUUCUUGUUCCGCCUUGAGAGCACCAAUGUAGUUGUCGUCGAGGGACUUGUAGUUCUCGAGGAAGAUUGUCUUGGAGAUGUCAUUGUGCAAUCCCAUCAUGAAGUGGAACUUCAUCCAAAUGGGGUCGUCCACGUCGGCUCGUCGCAAGGCAUGCUUCAUCUCCUUGAAGUACGCGUCGACGGACUUGGAUCCUUGGAUGGUGUUCUCCAAUUGGCAUUGAAGUUGUUCCGUGUAGGUUGGAGGCACAAACUCUCUCCGCAAAGCUCUCUUCAUCUUGGGCCAACUCGUCUUGUAUCUCUCCGAAGGUGUGUGAAGCCACCAUGCCGAUGCGUAGUCGUGGAAGUUUUUUGUGGCGCACUUGACUUGAUCUUCGGAAGGGACUUGAUGUAGCUUGAGGUAGUUGUCCAUCAAACACUCCCACUCGAGGUACUCCUCGGGUUCUUGAGUCCCAUAGAAAGGAAUCUCGUGGUCGAUGUCGAGAUCGUAGUAGCUUGUGGAAGUCGCGGACUUGAGCUUGGGGAGCUUCUCUUGAGCGUAGUCUUGGGGUGCUUGUUGCCGAAGAUGCCGUAUGUCCGUAGGCGAAGAUGCCUUGAAGUCGCUUGGCGACGAUUCCAAGGGAGAUGGUGAAGUCAUUGAGCGGUUGUCGAUGUAGAGAUCUUGACCUUCACGUACUUGAUGGUGAUGGUGUCGAUGCCGAUGUGAUCUUGCCGGAGAUGGUAGCUUGGAAGAAUGUGCUCUUGAGCGUCUUCUCGAAGAUGAGGAAGAUCGCUUGUAGGACUUGAUGAGGGCUUUGAUCUCCUCCAUUUUAGCUUGCAUCUUGGCGUCGUAGUUGUUUUUCGUGGCAUCGAACUCGUCGUUGUUGUUGUAGACCGAUUGUGAAAUGCCUUGCCUAUCCAUCACAAGACUCGAGCAAAGGUGAGUAGGAAAUGAGAUAAACAAUACCAAGUUACCUUUUCCCAAAGUUGAGGAUGUAUCCCGUUUCACUCAAUGUGACAUGAAAGAAUAGUGGAAUUGGUACCGGACUUGUUCACUACACCUAUCAAGUAAAGUUUAUGGUAGAGCUCGGUGAGGAUAGUGGCACAAAAAUUUAAUGCAAAAUGUUAGCAAGAGUCAAUAAUGUUGAAAGAGAUUCACAAAUUUACAAGCGAAACAAGUAGAUCAAUAGCAAUAUGUGGCACACGGAAACACACACAUGGAUAGAUAAAUGGGGUCGUGCAACCAAGGAAUGAGCACAAAAUGUGGAAUCCACAGAAAAUGCUCGUGUUGCACAACUCAAGAGAGACGCUAGCAUGAUUGCUCAAUAGGCGGAUACGACACUUGUGCACAACCUAUAAGAUGCAAAAUGGAUAAACUUUCUAUCCCAAGUAUGCUAUAUAUGUAUGGUUCCCGGUGUUUCACACACAAUGAUCCAAAAUGAUCAAGUAUGAUACCGUAAGACAUAUUUUGAUGCUAUGGCUAUUGCUUACAAGCUCUUUGCUCUCUUUCUUUUGCUUAAAACCUUUAUUUCUUUUUUUUGAUAUGGCCACUUUUGCAUAAUGCACAAACCAAGAUAGCAAUUGUGUAUAUGCGGGAACAAACUUGUGACACAAGAUAUGAUACCAAUAUAUGCACCACGAUGAUAUGGUAUAUAUGCUAUGGGAAGUAUGAUCACUAAUGUGCACAAGUGACGUUGCCGGCAAUACUCAAAUGGCUAGUCUCGAUAGGCAAGUAACGCAAAAUGGGCUAUAGUUUAUCAAUGUAAUUGCAAGGGAAUAUACAAUGGUGUCGUCGAGGUUACCGUCCUUGGUGAUGAUGAGAGGCGGUGUUGCCGAUGUUGACCCAUUCCUAGUUAGCCAAAACACCCUAGGAAACGGAAAAACCACAAACUCAAAAUCUCCAAAGGCAAAGGUCAAAUGGUAGUAGCGGAAAGCGGUGGUGGUUUGCACUUGGCAAUGCGGAAGUGGAGGUGGUGGUUGAUGAAGAAGCAAUCGUUCCUAAGUAGCCGAAACACCUUAGGAGACUUGAUGAGGACAUGACUACCUUGGAUAUGACCAAAAAUAUUGCAUAUAUGCAUAUUUGUCAGGUGAUUUCUAGUGCAAACUAUUCAAUAAUCUAUUUAUGUUAUCCAGAACAAAAAUACUUCACACACUUUUGUGUUUUGUCUAAUUGCAGGUGUAUGGGACAUUUGUACAAUCCACAUAUGAAGAUAAGGAAGAAAGAGAUGUUUAUUUGCUGUCCAAAAAGUUCUCUCACGUCACUUUUGGCCCAAGAGAAGAUAGAGUCCAAGUCUCUCACGUUCUGGAUUCAGAUUCGGACUGCACAGACACACCUGACUCAAAACGCACACAAGUUUUUCAUACGGACUCCGAAUUGGGUGAUUCUUUUUUUGUUGGAAACUAGAUUUCGUGCACUUUCCAACCCAAUUGGAAUCACCUUCAAAUGCGUCCGGAGCGUUGAGUUGUGGACGAAACAAUCUGAUGCUGCAGCAGAAUCCGAGUCAAACUACAAGUCCAAAGGUGUUACAUCACCUCCACUUGGGCCCAUUGGCCUUGUACGACCUAGAUUUAGUUUUAGGCUGCCUUGGGACGUCCUCCCACCUCCUUGGCCGCCACCCCUUGCUCCUAUAUAAGUAGAUCCAUCUAGUAGCUUUUCCUUAGGGUUUUGUUUAGAUUAAAAGUUCGCCAUAGCUGCAACUUCGCGUACUUCGUUUGUGUUCAACGACCAGACAAAGGCGUCACAGAACCCCACCUUGAUCAAUAAAGCUUUCAUCUUAUAUUCGCAAUAUCCAGAUUGCAAUCUUAGUUUCUUGCUUGUUCUUCGUUUGCUCGCAGGAAACAGACCCUCGUGGUCAGGUUGAUCGUGCUCCGGCGUGGUCAAUAACCUCUCGGAGUUGGUUUAGCGAUUGCUAAGGCGCGACGUCCUCGCACGUUCGUAGUCGGAUCGUCAAAGUCGACUUCCACCAAAGCGAAAUCCACCAUCUCAUCGAAAGACGGGACACCUUUGCCUCUAUCACUCUUUGCCUCCUGCUGUCACUAACAUUUUGCAGGAGUUCGCUGACGUUUUUCCACAAGACGUGCCACCGGGAUUACCGCCUAUUCGAGGGAUUGAGCAUCAGAUUGACUUAAUUCCCGGUGCUUCACUGCCAAACCGUGCACCAUACCAUACCAAUCCAGAGGAGACGAAGGAGAUUAUGCGUCAAGUACAAGAGCUUCUCGACAAAGGUUAUAUACGCGAAUCCCUUAGUCCUUGUGCUGUUCCUAUUAUUCUAGUGCCGAAAAAGGAUGGUACAUCACGUAUGUGUGUUGAUUGUAGAGGCAUUAAUAAUAUUACUAUUCGUUAUCGUCAUCCUAUUCCUAGGCUAGAUGAUAUGCUUGAUGAAUUGAGUGGCUCUACAAUAUUCUCCAAAGUUGAUUUGCGUAGUGGCUACCAUCAAAUUCGUAUGAAAUUUGGAGAUGAAUGGAAAACAGCAUUUAAAACUAAGUUUGGAUUAUAUGAGUGGUUAGUCAUGCCUUUUGGGUUAACUAAUGCACCUAGUACUUUCAUGAGAUUAAUGAACGAAGUUUUACGUGUUUUCAUUGGACGAUUUGUGGUAGUUUACUUUGAUGACAUAUUGAUUUAUAGCAGAUCUUUGGAAGAACAUUUGGAACGUUUACGUGCUGUUUUUAUUGCUCUACGUGAUGCACGUUUGUUUGGUAACCUUGGGAAGUGCACCUUUUGCACCGACCGAGUAUCUUUUCUUGGCUAUGUUGUUACUCCACAGGGAAUUGAAGUUGAUAAAGCCAAGAUUGAAGCUAUUGAGAGUUGGCCGCAGCCCAAAACGGUCACACAAGUGAGGAGUUUUCUUGGCCUCGCUGGAUUCUAUAGGCGUUUUGUGAGAGAUUUCAGCACCAUUGCUGCACCUCUCAAUGAGCUUACAAAGAAAGAUGUGCCUUUUCUUUGGGGUACCGCACAGGAAGAAGCCUUCACGGUAUUGAAAGAUAAGUUGUGAUGAGGACAUGACUACCUUGGAUAUGACCAAAAAUAUUGCAUAUAUGCAUAUUUGUCAGGUGAUUUCUAGUGCAAACUAUUCAAUAAUCUAUUUAUGUUAUCCAGAACAAAAAUACUUCACACACUUUUGUGUUUUGUCUAAUUGCAGGUGUAUGGGACAUUUGUACAAUCCACAUAUGAAGAUAAGGAAGAAAGAGAUCUUUAUUUGCUGUCCAAAAAGUUCUCUCACGUCACUUUUGGCCCAAGAGAAGAUAGAGUCCAAGUCUCUCACGUUCUGGAUUCAGAUUCGGACUGCACAGACACACCUGACUCAAAACGCACACAAGUUUUUCAUACGGACUCCGAAUUGGGUGCUUCUUUUUUUGUUGGAAACUAGAUUUCGUGCACUUUCCAACCCAAUUGGAAUCACCUUCAAAUUCGUCCGGAGCGUUGAGUUGUGGACGAAACAAUCUGAUGCUGCAGCAGAAUCCGAGUCAAACUACAAGUCCAAAGGUGUUACAUCACCUCCACUUGGGCCCAUUGGCCUUGUACGACCUAGAUUUAGUUUUAGGCUGCCUUGGGACGUCCUCCCACCUCCUUGGCCGCCACCCCUUACUCCUAUAUAAGUAGAUCCAUCUAGUAGCUUUUCCUUGGGAUUUGUUUAGUUAAAAGUUAGCCAUUGCAACUUCGUGUACUUCGUUUGUGUCCAACGACCAGACCAAGACCGCUUCCGGAUCCCCACCAUUAUCAAUACUUCAUAUAUAUUUGCAAUAUUCAGAUUGCUUUAUCAUAUUCUUGCUCGUUCUUCGAUUGCUUGCAGGAAUAGACCUUCGUGGUCAGGCUGACCGUGCUUCCAGCAUUGUCAGUAACCUCAGGAGAUUGGUUUAGCGAUUGCUAAGGCGCAACGUCGUGCACGUUUGUAGUCGGAUCGUCAAAGUCGUCUCCACCAAAUCGAUAGUUAUCAUCUCAUCGAAAGAUCGGGACCCUCGCCUCUAUCAAGUGGUAUCAGUUUUCAGGUUGCUCGGUGAGAAUUUCCAGUUUUCCUAGAUUAGAUUUAUUUUCUUACCUAUUGUCCAAGAAAAAGCCACAAAAAAGAGUUAGAUCUACUCAUCCUUGGUCCAAGCCAAUCAGAGCCUUUGCAAUUUUCUUUUCAUUGCUUGCAUAGUUGAAUUAUCGGUUGCAUCGUCGUGUCGAGUUGCUGGUCUUAGUGUCUAGUUCGUUUAGAGUUUCGAGUUUCUGUUCACAUUAGUCACGCAGCCGCUGCAUCAUUAUCCUAUCCGCUGUCCACCAUCCCAUCCACCAAUUUCCACCACGUGCUACGCACUGUUUAUUGUCAUAAUCAUAGUUGAGGUCACUCACAUCUUCGCCUGAUCGAAUCUGCAUCUUAUCUAGUUUGUCUUGGAAAGAGGGAGAAAAAGAAUAUAAAGAAAAAAAAAGAGAGAAAAAAUGAAAGAAAAAAAAAGAAAAAGAGGGAGAAAAAAAAGAAAAAAAAGCGUGAGAAAAAAAAGAGAGAAAAAAAAUUGGAUCUAUCUAGAAUCAAUCUCAUACCUGAAUUUGGAUUGGAAUCUGUUUUGCGCACUGUUCAGUAAAACAGGUGUAUCUUCCUCAUUCGAAGUCCGUUUUGGCUCCGUGAGUACACAAAUUGAAGAUAGCGACGAGCCGCAUCUAAAUAGUUGCAGAAGCAAGUUCAAUAUUUGACACCUCAAAAUCGGCUUCUAAAUAGGUAUUUUUGCCCUCCGAAGUUCGUGAACACAACUUGUUCCAAUUUUUUAGGCCAGUUUUAGAAUUCUUUGACUCCUCAUAUCAACUCGGAAUUGAGUGGUUCUUUUUGCAUUGGAAAGCUUGAGUUAGUAGCAUUCUUUGAAAGAAUUUAUCAGAAAAUUGUCUCAAACUUUUCAAGAGGAAAGUUGGAGAGAGAGUUGUUGUAUAUCCUGCUUGGCAGUUGUUUUUCAUCAUUAUCUUCACUGCCGUUGUGAUCUUCACUUAUAUCUUGCUGUCAAGAGCUACUUAGUAUCCUUCAUUGAUGCUAGUUGUGCUACGCCGUGACCUCAUUAGUGUUUUAGGCUCGCGUCUCUAGUCCGGUCUAGCCUAGGACCAGCACAGUACCGUCGUUGAGCGUUUAUUCAACAUUGCAUCUUUGAAUUGAUUAUUGCUAAUCUUUUGCUACCAUAUAUAGCCAACCCAGCUCCACAUAUUUCUACACCGUGUAUACGUACGCUCCCCUGACAAUUUCUUUACUCAAUAUUCGGAGUUACUUGACACCGCUGGUUGCCGAUCACCGCUUGCUGCAUGGUAAGAACUUGUAAGACAUUGAUAUUUGCUUUACUGUGAGCGUUUUACCACCACAUCCUAGUAGUUAUAGGAACAUUAUUUUUGGGUUUUGCUUCUUGUUCUACUAAUCAUGACAGGAUCCAGAGUCAAUUCAUGGGCUUUAUCGAUCGCGGGAGACGUGCCACCACCUUUGCAAAUACCACAACCGUCACGAGAGGUGCACAAACAUCCAAAUGCACAUGAUCAGGUUAAUGUAUCUAUACCACCAUUUAAUGGCCGUUUUAAACCUACUUUAUAUAUUGAAUGAGAGUUCGACAUAAAAAAUAUAUUUGCUUCCCAUAAUUUCGAUGAACAUAAAAAGGUUAAGGUUGCGGUUGGUUCUUUCACUGGUUAUGCUUUGGUUUGGUGGAGUGAAUAUUGUCGGUUACACCCUGAUUAUAUACCUACUACUUGGGAUGAUUUGAAACUUGCCAUGCGACAUACUUUCGUCCCUGCUUAUUAUACUCGUGACAUGAUUAAGAAGUUGCAACACUUAAAACAAGGUAGUGAAACUGUAACAAAAUAUUAUGAUGAUUUACAAACUACCUUGUUGCAUUCCUCUUUAGAAGAAAGUGAAGAUGAUUUUAUGGAUAGAUUUUGGGGAGGAUUAAACCGUGAUAUUCAAGAGAUACUAAUUCAUGAAGAGUGUUAUCCUAUGGACCAUUUGUUUCAUCUUGCAUGCAAAGCUGAACAGGAAAUAAAACGACGUGUUGGCCACGAGGAGAACAAGCGCACGGUGCACAUUCCAAGAGUUGAUAUGAUUGUUCCUUCAACUACUAGACAUACUAUGACAACCACAUCCGUUGUUGUCAGGACUACAUCACCUCCACCAUGUGACACAUCGCCCCCGAGAGUGGCUACAUCAUCUGAGUUGAUCAUAAGAGGUAAUGACAAAGGUACUGAUCUUCCAUCUCUACAUGAGAAUGAUGAAUGCCUUGUCAAUUUGAAUGCACCAUCUGAUGAGCUACCCAGUACUUUGAUCACACCACCUAUUUUAGAGGACUACGUUGAUAAUUUGACUUUGCCAUGUGAUCAAACAACUGAAAUACCAACAAUUUUGAGUGCACCCAUUGAAUUAACUAUUGAUGCAAAAGAACCAAUGUUUAAUCAUUUUGAUAUGACCUCUAAUCUUGGUGAUGAUUCUGUGUUGAAUGACUUAUUGCAUGUUUGCUUAUUUAAGCAUGUUGUAACAUGUAAAUUUGAUGCAAGUAAGGUUUAUUCACCAAUGUUGGGAUGGUUUAAUGAUGAACAUUGUCAAUCUUUUGAAAUGAAUAAGAGCUUCACUUAUAUGUGCAAACUGAGUUGCAAUAUUUUCAUGCCUUCUACCUCUUGUGCUAAUUUUUUGGCUUUAGAUUUUAUGAACUAUGCAAGUUACUCAUCUAUUCAUGUGUCAUAUAUGCAAAAAUCAAGGGAAGUAAAAAUGGAUGACAUAUACAUAUACAACAUGUACACCUUGUCUCUUUUGUUAGCCACAUUUCAGAUUAAGCAAUGCCGAGGACGGCUUUAUUUUCAAGAAGGGGAGGAUGAUGAGGACAUGACUACCUUGGAUAUGACCAAAAAUAUUGCAUAUAUGCAUAUUUGUCAGGUGAUUUCUAGUGCAAACUAUUCAAUAAUCUAUUUAUGUUAUCCAGAACAAAAAUACUUCACACACUUUUGUGUUUUGUCUAAUUGCAGGUGUAUGGGACAUUUGUACAAUCCACAUAUGAAGAUAAGGAAGAAAGAGAUGUUUAUUUGCUGUCCAAAAAGUUCUCUCACGUCACUUUUGGCCCAAGAGAAGAUAGAGUCCAAGUCUCUCACGUUCUGGAUUCAGAUUCGGACUGCACAGACACACCUGACUCAAAACGUACACAAGUUUUUCACACGGACUCCGAAUUGGGUGAUUCUUUUUUUGUUGGAAACUAGAUUUCGUGCACUAUCCAACCCAAUUGGAAUCACCUUCAAAUUCGUCCGGAGCGUUGAGUUGUGGACAAAACAAUCUGAUGCUGCAGCAGAAUCCGAGUCAAACUACAAGUCCAAAGGUGUUACAUCACCUCCACUUGGGCCCAUUGGCCUUGUACGACCUAGAUUUAGUUUUAGGCUGCCUUGGGACGUCCUCCCACCUCCUUGGCCGCCACCCCUUGCUCCUAUAUAAGUAGAUCCAUCUAGUAGCUUUUCCUUGGGAUUUGUUUAGUUAAAAGUUAGCCAUUGCAACUUCGUGUACUUCGUUUGUGUCCAACGACCAGACCAAGACCGCUUCCGGAUCCCCACCAUUAUCAAUACUUCAUAUAUAUUUGCAAUAUUUAGAUUGCUUUAUCAUAUUCUUGCUCGUUCUUCGAUUGCUUGCAGGAAUAAACCUUCGUGGUCAGGCUGACCGUGCUUCCAGCAUUGUCAGUAACCUCAGGAGAUUGGUUUAGCGAUUGCUAAGGCGCAACGUCGUGCAUGUUUGUAGUCGGAUCGUCAAAGUCGUCUCCACCAAAUCGAUAGUUAUCAUCUCAUCAAAAGAUCGGGACCCUCGCCUCUAUCAAGACUCGAAUCACUACUCAAGCAACCACUAAUGCUAUGGCAAGCAAAAUGGGUUAGGUUGCGGAAGUCGGUGGUGGCUAUGCGGAUGAUGUGGUGGAAGGCCUAGGCAAACUUGCCAAAUUUUCGAAAAUUUGAUGGAGUCAAAUUGUGUUGGUGGUAUUUUUGUGGGAUGGGGGAUGUCAAUAGCUUCAAAACGAGCUAAAGAAUGUCAAAAUCGGAGUUCAGAUGAAUUAGUUAUGGCCGAAACAAGAAUCAGCCGAAGUCAAAACCUACAGGUUACGGACGUCCGGAAAGGUCGGAUGUCUGGGGCGUCGGACGUCCGGAAAAGUCGGAAAUCCGUAAAUUUCGUUUGGGUUAUGGGUUCCGGUCGUCCGGAAAAGGUCGGACGUCCGGUGCUUCGUGGGGGUCCGGACGUCCGUAAAACGCCGGUCGUCCUGUGGGUCGGGGUCAACGCGAGAAUUGAGUUCCGAGACGCGAUUUUGGGGUCAAAAUGAACGAGAUUUUGUGGAUGGAAGAUGGAGAAACUUGGGGAAAUGCUAGAUCCACUCGAAACCAAGCAAAUCCAUGGAUCAAAAUCAACAAAACAUCAUCAAACCAACAAAUCACAAAAAAAAUUUGGGCUAUUUUUGGUGAGGAUUUUCGGAUUUUGUGGAAGAACAAAACAAAACAAGGCUAGAAAACGGUGGGAGGGACUCCAAAUACGUGAUCAACAUGGCUCUGAUACCAUAUGAUACGGGGCUAACCCGAUGUAGGCCGAUCUUUCAUCGUGUUCUUCGAGGGAUCCCACUCCAAACGUGAAAGAUCGGCCUACAUCGGGUUAGCCCCGCAUCACCAUCAAAGAUCAAUAUGUGCAUGAUGCUGAUUUUAAAGAUGUAUUGCAGAAUUGUAAAGAAGGGAGAACAUGGAACAAGUUCGUCGUUAAUGAUGGAUUUGUGUGUCAUGCUAACAAGCUAUGCAUUCCAGCUAGCUCUAUUCGUCUUUUGUUGUUGCAGGAGGUGCAUGGAGGGGGAUUAAUGGGACACUUUGGCGUGAAUAAGACGGAGGACGUACUUGCUACACAUUUCUUUUGGCCAAAGAUGAGACGGGAUGUUGAGUGUUUUAUUGCUCGCUGCACUACAUGUCAAAAAGCUAAGUCACAACUCAAUCCUCAUGGUUUAUAUAUGGCUUUGCCUGUACCUAGUGUUCCUUGGGAGGAUAUAUCUAUGGACUUUGUUUUAGGUUUACCUCGAACAAAGAAGGGGAGGGAUAGCAUAUUUGUUGUCGUGGAUAGAUUCUCGGAAAUGGCACACUUUAUACCAUGUCAUAAAAGCGAUGAUGCCGUUAAUGUUGCUGAUUUGUUCUUUCGUGAAAUUAUUCGCUUGCAUGGUGUGCCCAAUACUAUUGUUUCAGAUCGUGAUACUAAAUUUCUUAGCCAUUUUUGGAGAUGUUUAUGGGCUAAGUUGGGGACUAAACUGCUUUUUAGUACUAAUUGUCACCCCCAAACUGAUGGACAAACUGAAGUAGUCAAUAGAACAUUGUCUACUAUGCUUAGGGCUAUUUUGAAGAAUAAUAAGAAAAUGUGGGAAGAAUGUUUGCCUCAUAUUGAAUUUGCUUAUAAUCGUUCAUUGCAUUCUACUACUAAGAUGUGCCCUUUUGAAAUUGUGUAUGGGUUCCUACCUCGUGCACCUAUUGAUUUGUUGCCUCUUCCAUCUUCGGAGAAGGUUAAUUUUGAUGCUAAACAACGUGCUGAAUUGAUUUUAAAAAUGCAUGAGUUAACUAAGGAAAACAUUGAGCGUAUGAAUGCUAAAUAUAAACUUGCUGGAGACAAGGGUAGAAAACAUGUUGUGUUUGCACCUGGAGAUCUUGUUUGGUUACAUUUGCGUAAGGAUAGAUUUCCUGAUUUGCGCAAAUCAAAGUUAAUGCCACGUGAUGAUGGUCCUUUUAAGGUGUUGGAGAAAAUAAAUGAUAAUGCAUAUAAACUUGAGCUGCCUGCAGAUUUUGGGGUUAGUCCCACUUUUAUCAUUGCAGAUUUGAAGCCUUAUUUGGGUGAGGACGAUGAGCUUUCGUCGAGGACAACUUCAUUUCAAGAAGGGGAGUGAUGUAGGGCGGAACCCUAUGGUGACGAUCUUUCACGUUUGGAGUGGAUCCUACGGGGAAUCACGAAGAACACGCGGAAGCACGAAGGGGAAACACGGGGAAAACAAGAGAGAAACACGAAACCGACAAGGAAUCAAUCACACGAGUGCUAGAUCACCGAACAUAAAGAGUAACAUAUGAUCCACAAUCAACAAAGGUAAGGAUACAAAGGUAACCAAUCUUCUCCGCGAGGAGGUCUUGAAUCCGCGAGGGUAUCUUCCCUUAGAGGGGUCUUGUAUCCAAGUGGAUCUACUCCGAGGAGGUCGCGGUCUCUCACAAAGAGGAGAUCCGAUGGAUGAGGGAGGCUCUAUCUCACAAAUGAGCUAAAUCAACGCUAACCCUAAAACGUACGGGAGGAGGGAGUAUAUAUAGUCAAAGGGGUGAACGGAUACAUGGGUCACGGCCCAAAGGAGCUGCACGCAGGCAGGGGGCACCGGAUGUCCGGUGGCUAGAUAGGUGCUGGAUGUCCUGGCUGGAGGUGUCGGAUGUCCGGUGCAUCCGGAGGGGCUGGAUGUCCAGUGCGUAGGCUGGAUGUCCGGGCUGUCGGGGCCAUCUUCAGUGCAUUCGGGACGCCUUGUCCGGAUAUUCGGGCGGGAGGCCGGAUUUCCGGUGGGAGGCCGGAUGUCCGGUCGCUGUAGCUUUCUUCUGCAGGGGCUGGCCGGGUAUAUCUCCAGGGGCCGGAUGUCCGGGGUCCUGGCCGGAUGUCCGGUGCCUGGAGGCUACUUUUGCCUUCUUCCAUUGGUUCCUUUCUUCCUUGGACUUGGGGUCUUGUUCAUCUUCAUGUGCAUCCUCGGGAGGGUCCUCUUGGUACCUAAUCAUGCACAACAUUCCGGAUUGAGGUAGUAGCCAUGUCUCGAGAGGAUCAUAUGAUAUAUCAUUAAGGAGAGAAGUCACCUCGGUCUCGAGAGCUCGAGCUCGUGCUCUAGUCAUGGGUCCUCUUGGUGCUUGGUGAGAUGACGGAAGGUCCAUGGGGAUGACCGAAGGAUGCUCCGCAUCAUCUCCCCCCCCCCUUGUGAAGGAUCCGACCUUGGAUCGAAAUCCUCAUCACCAUGGUACGGGGAGAGAUUGGAGUCGUUGAAGAUGUCGCUCACGUUGUACUUGUCGUGUGGGAGAUCGAUCUUGUAAGCAUUGUUGUUGUAGCGUGCUAGCACCUUGAAAGGUCUGUCGGCUCGAGGGAGAAGCUUGGACUUGCGUUCGUUGGGGAAGCGGUCCUUGCGAAGGUGUAGCCACACGAGGUCUCCAAUGUUGAAUAUCAUGGGAUGCUUCUUGACGGUGAGCUUGGUCGCGAGUCGUUGUACUUGGCGCUCGAUGGCGUGCCUUGUAUCUUCAUGCAUCUUCUUGAUGUAGCUUGCACGGGUACUUGCAUCAAGGUUGGUGCGCUCUUGUAGAGGAAGAGGUAGAAUGUCCAAUGGGGACAACGGAUUGAAGCCGUAGACGACCUCGAAGGGGGACUUGCCGGUCGUCGAAUGUCUUGCACAGUUGUAGGCGUACUCGGCGAUGGGUAGACAUGCCUCCCACUCCUUGAUGUUCUUCUUGAUCAACACGCGAAGUAGAGUGGAGUGUGUAUGGUUCGUCACCUCCGUUUGGCCAUCGGUUUGAGGAUGGUAUGCCGAAGAGAACUUGACGUCGCGGUCCGAGACAAUCGUCUUUGGCACUCCAUGAAGUCACAAGAUUUCCCUACAAAAGAGAUUGGCAAUAUGUGAAGCAUUGUCUGUCUUGUUGAAAGGAAUAAAUUGUGCCAUCUUAGAAAAUCGGUCGACAACAACAAAGACGGAAUCCUUGCCAUUUUGAGUUCUAGGCAAACCAAGUACAAAAUCCAUGCUAAUGUCUUCCCAAGGUUGAUAAGGAAUAGGAAGGGGCAUGUAAAGACCAUGGGAUUGAGCUUUAGACUUAGCUUUGCGACAUGUAGAGCAACGGUUGGUGAAGAGUGAGACGUCACGGAACAUCUUGGGCCAAAAGUAGUUCUUGGAGAGCAUGGCAAAAGUCUUGUCGCGUCCAAAGUGUCCCGUGAGUCCGCCUCCAUGAGCCUCUUGCAGAAGUAGCAAACGAAGAGAAGACUCGGGAAUGCAAAGUUUGUUAGCUCUCAUAAGAUAAUCAUCCUUUAUGUAGUAUUGUUCCCAAGACGUGUGUGUCAAACACUUAGCAUAAGGAGUAGCAAAAGAAGGAUCAUGAUCAUACAAGUCUUUUAUAUGCUCAAAACCAAUAACAUUCAACUCAAGUUGUGAUAGAGGCAGAGGUGUCCCGUCUUUCGAUGAGAUGAUGGAUUUCGCUUUGGUGGAAGUCGACUUUGACGAUCCGACUACGAACGUGCGAGGACGUCGCGCCUUAGCAAUCGCUAAACCAACUCCGAGAGGUUAUUGACCACGCCGGAGCACGAUCAACCUGACCACGAGGGUCUGUUUCCUGCGAGCAAACGAAGAACAAGCAAGAAACUGAGAUUGCAAUCUGGAUAUUGCGAAUAUAAGAUGAAAGCUUUAUUGAUCAAGGUGGGGUUCUGUGACGCCUUUGUCUGGUCGUUGAACACAAACGAAGUACGCGAAGUUGCAGCUAUGGCGAACUUUUAAUCUAAACAAAACCCAAAGUCUAAACGAUGCCCUAAGGGCUGUAUAUAUGGAGGAAGAGGGGGGGAAUUUCGUGGCCCUUGGUGGAGGGUUCCGAAAUCAACCCUAUCUCUUGUUUCCCCACACAUACGGACUCUAAAAAUAGCCUAUAAUUAUGUAUUUCGAAAUUACAUGGGCCUGGCCCAAUAAUAAGGUGACGCAGCACCUAAAAUAGCCUCGGGACGAAAUUUAUGAAGUGGCAUCUUGUAUAUUUCGUCCAAGGCUUCAUGCACCCAUUAUGGUGGCUUCAAAGUCCUGAAAUCAUCACUUGUAACUCCGUUCUUGUUCUCCUUGCGCAUGCCAUCAUCUCCAUGCUUGUUCUUGCUCCAAUGUUCAUCCUUCUCCAAGCUAGGCCCUUCAUUUGUAAGCAAAACAAAUGUAUCCAAUUUAGGCAGCAUCAUAUUCUCAUGAACAUUAAAAUCAUUACCAAGAAACGAAAGUACCUGGUAAUUUAGUUGGCGUGCACGAGCUCUAGUAAUUGGUCCAGUAUGUAUAGCAGCAGGGGCUGUGGGUGUAACAAUUGUAUUGAUGUCCUCAUCACUAGAUGAUAUGCUUGAUGAAUUGAGUGGCUCUACAAUAUUCUCCAAAGUUGAUUUGCGUAGUGGAUACCAUCAAAUUCGUAUGAAAUUGGGAGAUGAAUGGAAAACAGCAUUCAAAACUAAGUUUGGAUUAUAUGAGUGGUUAGUCAUGCCUUUUGGGUUAACUAAUGCACCUAGUACUUUCAUGAGAUUAAUGAACGAAGUUUUACGUGCUUUCAUUGGACGAUUUGUGGUAGUUUACUUUGAUGACAUAUUGAUUUAUAGCAGAUCUUUGGAAGAACAUUUGGAACAUUUACGUGUUGUUUUUAUUGCUCUACGUGAUGCACGUUUGUUUGGUAACCUUGGGAAGUGCACCUUUUGCACCGACCGAGUAUCUUUUCUUGGCUAUGUUGUUACUCCACAGGGAAUUGAAGUUGAUAAAGCCAAGAUUGAAGCUAUUGAGAGUUGGCCGCAACCCAAAACGGUCACACAAGUGAGGAGUUUUCUUGGCCUCGCUGGAUUCUAUAGUCGUUUUGUGAGAGAUUUCAGCACCAUUGCUGCACCUCUCAAUGAGCUUACAAAGAAAGAUGUGCCUUUUCUUUGGGGUACCGCACAAGAAGAAGCCUUCACGGUAUUGAAAGAUAAGUUGACACAUGCUCCUUUACUCCAACUUCCUGAUUUUAAUAAGACUUUUGAGCUUGAAUGUGAUGCUAGUGGAAUUGGAUUAGGAGGUGUGUUAUUACAAGAUGGCAAACCUGUUGCAUACUUUUCUGAAAAAUUGAGUGGGCCUAGUCUGAAUUAUUCUACUUAUGAUAAAGAAUUAUAUGCUCUUGUUCGGACUUUAGAAACAUGGCAACAUUAUUUAUGGCCCAAAGAAUUUGUUAUACAUUCUGAUCAUGAAUCUUUGAAACAUAUGAAAAGUCAAGCUAAACUGAAUCGUAGACAUGCUAAAUGGGUUGAAUUCAUUGAGACUUUCCCUUAUGUCAUUAAACACAAGAAGGGAAAAGAAAAUGUUAUUGCUGAUGCAUUGUCUCGUCGCUAUACUAUGCUUUCACAACUUGACUUCAAAAUAUUUGGUUUAGAGACCAUCAAAGAUCAAUAUGUGCAUGAUGCUGAUUUUAAAGAUGUAAUGCAGAAUUGUAAAGAAGGAAGAAUGUGGAACAAGUUUGUCGUUAACGAUGGAUUUGUGUUUCGUGCUAACAAGCUAUGCAUUCCAGCUAGCUCCGUUCGUCUUUUGUUAUUGCAGGAGGCGCAUGGAGGAGGAUUAAUGGGACACUUUGGCGUGAAGAAGACGGAGGACGUACUUGCUACACAUUUCUUUUGGCCAAAGAUGAGACGGGAUGUUGAGCGUUUUAUUGCUCGAUGCACUACAUGUCAAAAAGCUAAGUCACGACUCAAUCCUCAUGGUUUAUAUAUGCCUUUGCCUGUACCUAGUGUUCCUUGGGAGGAUAUAUCUAUGGACUUUGUUUUAGGUUUACCUCGAACAAAGAAGGGGAGAGAUAGCAUAUUUGUUGUCGUGGAUAGAUUCUCGAAAAUGGCACACUUUAUACCAUGUCAUAAAAGCGAUGAUGCUGUUAAUGUUGCUGAUUUGUUCUUUCGUGAAAUUAUUCGCUUGCAUGGUGUGCCAAAUACUAUUGUUUCAGAUCGUGAUACUAAAUUUCUUAGCCACUUUUGGAGAUGUUUAUGGGCUAAGUUGGGGACUAAACUGCUUUUUAGUACUACUUGUCACCCCCAAACUGAUGGACAAACUGAAGUAGUCAAUAGAACGUUGUCUGCUAUGCUUAGGGCUGUUUUGAAGAAUAAUAAGAAAAUGUGGGAGGAAUGCUUGCCUCAUAUUGAAUUUGCUUAUAAUCGUUCAUUGCAUUCUACUACUAAGAUGUGCCCUUUUGAAGUUGUGUAUGGUUUCCUACCUCGUGCACCUAUUGAUUUGUUGCCUCUUCCAUCUUCGGAGAAGGUUAAUUUUGAUGCUAAACAACGUGUGAUAGAGGCAAAGGUGUCCCGUCUUUCGAUGAGAUGAUGGAUAUCGCUUUGGUGGAAGUCGACUUUGACGAUCCGACUACGAACGUGCGAGGACGUCGCGCCUUAGCAAUCGCUAAACCAACUCCGAGAGGUUAUUGACCACGCCGGAGCACGAUCAACCUGACCACGAGGGUCUGUUUCCUGCGAGCAAACGAAGAACAAGCAAGAAACUAAGAUUGCAAUCUGGAUAUUGCGAAUAUAAGAUGAAAGCUUUAUUGAUCAAGGUGGGGUUCUGUGACGCCUUUGUCUGGUCGUGGAACACAAACGAAGUACGCGAAGUUGCAGCUAUGGCGAACUUUUAAUCUAAACAAAACCCAAAGUCUAAACGAUGCCCUAAGGGCUGUAUAUAUGGAGGAAGAGGGGGGAAUUUCGUGGCCCUUGGUGGAGGGGUCCGAAAUCAACCCUAUCUCUUGUUUCCCCACACAUACGGACUCUAAAAAUAGCCUAUACUUAUGUAUUUCGAAAUUACAUGGGCCUGGCCCAAUAAUAAGGUGACGCAGCACCUAAAAUAGCCUCUGGACGAAAUUUAUGAAGUGGCAUCUUGUAUAUUUCGUCCAAGGCUUCAUGCACCCAUUAUGGUGGCUUCAAAGUCCUGAAAUCAUCACUUGUAACUCCGUUCUUGUUCCAAUGUUCAUCCUUCUCCAAGCUAGGCCCUUCAUUUGUAAGCAAAACAAAUGUAUCCAAUUUAGGCAGCAUCAUAUUCUCAUGAACAUUAGAAUCAUUACCAAGAAACGAAAGUACCUGGUAAUUUAGUUGGCGUGCACGAGCUCCAGUAAUUGGUCCAGUAUGUAUAGCAGCAGGGGCUGUGGGUGUAACAAUUGUAUUGAUGUCCUCAUCAUCCUCCCCUUCUUGAAAAGAAGUCGUCCUCGACGGAAGUUCAUCUUCCUCACCCAAAUAAGGCUUCAAAUCUGCAAUGUUAAAAGUGGGACUAACCCCAAAAUCUGCAGGCAGCUCAAGUUUAUAUGCAUUAUCAUUUAUUUUCUCUAACACCUUAAAGGGACCAUCAGCACGUGGCAUUAACUUUGAUUUGUGCAAAUCAGGAAAUCUAUCCUUACGCAAAUGUAACCAAACAAGAUCUCCAGGUGCAAACACAACAUGUUUUCUACCCUUAUCUCCAGCAAGUUUAUAUUUAGCAUUCAUGCGCUCAAUGUUUUCCUUAGUUAACUCAUGCAUUUUUAAAAUCAAUUCAGCACGUUGUUUAGCAUCAAAAUUAACCUUCUCCGAAGAUGGAAGAGGCAACAAAUCAAUAGGUGCACGAGGUAGGAAACCAUACACAACUUCAAAAGGGCACAUCUUAGUAGUAGAAUGCAAUGAACGAUUAUAAGCAAAUUCAAUAUGAGGCAAGCAUUCCUCCCACAUUUUCUUAUUAUUCUUCAAAACAGCCCUAAGCGUAGUAGACAACGUUCUAUUGACUACUUCAGUUUGUCCAUCAGUUUGGGGGUGACAAGUAGUACUAAAAAGCAGUUUAGUCCCCAACUUAGCCCAUAAACAUCUCCAAAAGUGGCUAAGAAAUUUAGUAUCACGAUCUGAAACAAUAGCAUUUGGCACACCAUGCAAGCGAAUAAUUUCACGAAAGAACAAAUCAGCAACAUUAACAGCAUCAUCGCUUUUAUGACAUGGUAUAAAGUGUGCCAUUUUCGAGAAUCUAUCCACGACAACAAAUAUGCUAUCCCUCCCCUUCUUUGUUCGAGGUAAACCUAAAACAAAGUCCAUAGAUAUAUCCUCCCAAGGAACACUAGGUACAGGCAAAGGCAUAUAUAAACCAUGAGGAUUGAGUCGUGACUUAGCUUUUUGACAUGUAGUGCAGCGAGCAAUAAAACGUUCAACAUCCCGUCUCAUCUUUGGCCAAAAGAAAUGUGUAGCAAGUACGUCCUCCGUCUUCUUCACGCCAAAGUGUCCCAUUAAUCCUCCUCCAUGCGCCUCCUGCAACAACAAAAGACGAACGGAGCUAGCUGGAAUGCAUAGCUUGUUAGCACGAAACACAAAUCCAUCAUUAACAACAAACUUGUUCCACAUUCUUCCUUCUUUACAAUUCUGCAUUACAUCUUUAAAAUCAGCAUCAUGCACAUAUUGAUCUUUGAUGGUCUCCAAACCAAAUAUUUUGAAGUCAAGUUGUGAAAGCAUAGUAUAGCGACGAGACAAUGCAUCAGCAAUAACAUUUUCUUUUCCCUUCUUGUGUUUAAUGACAUAAGGGAAAGUCUCAAUGAAUUCAACCCAUUUAGCAUGUCUACGAUUCAGUUUAGCUUGACUUUUCAUAUGUUUCAAAGAUUCAUGAUCAGAAUGUAUAACAAAUUCUUUGGGCCAUAAAUAAUGUUGCCAUGUUUCUAAAGUCCGAACAAGAGCAUAUAAUUCUUUAUCAUAAGUAGAAUAAUUCAGACUAGGCCCACUCAAUUUUUCAGAAAAGUAUGCAACAGGUUUGCCAUCUUGUAAUAACACACCUCCUAAUCCAAUUCCACUAGCAUCACAUUCAAGCUCAAAAGUCUUAUUAAAAUCGGGAAGUUGGAGUAAAGGAGCAUGUGUCAACUUAUCUUUCAAUACCGUGAAGGCUUCUUCCUGUGCAGUACCCCAAAGAAAAGGCACAUCUUUCUUUCUAAGCUCAUUGAGAGGUGCAGCAAUGGUGCUGAAAUCUCUCACGAAACGCCUAUAGAAUCCAGCGAGGCCAAGAAAACUCCUCACUUGUGUGACCGUUUUGGGCUGCGGCCAACUCUCAAUAGCUUCAAUCUUGGCUUUAUCAACUUCAAUUCCCUGUGGAGUAACAACAUAACCAAGAAAAGAUACUCGGUCGGUGCAAAAGGUGCACUUCCCAAGGUUACCAAACAAACGUGCAUCACGUAGAGCAAUAAAAACAGCACGUAAAUGUUCCAAAUGUUCUUCCAAAGAUCUGCUAUAAAUCAAUAUGUCAUCAAAGUAAACUACCACAAAUCGUCCAAUGAAAGCACGUAAAACUUCGUUCAUUAAUCUCAUGAACGUACUAGGUGCAUUAGUUAACCCAAAAGGCAUGACUAACCACUCAUAUAAUCCAAACUUAGUUUUAAAUGCUGUUUUCCAUUCAUCUCCCAAUUUCAUACGAAUUUGAUGGUAGCCACUACGCAAAUCAACUUUGGAGAAUAUUGUAGAGCCACUCAAUUCAUCAAGCAUAUCAUCUAGCCUAGGAAUAGGAUGACGAUAACGAAUAGUAAUAUUAUUAAUGCCUCUACAAUCAACACACAUACGUGAUGUACCAUCCUUUUUCGGCACUAGAAUAAUAGGAACAGCACAAGGACUAAGGGAUUCGCGUAUAUAACCUUUGUCGAGAAGCUCUUGUACUUGACGCAUAAUCUCCUUCGUCUCCUCUGGAUUGGUACGGUAUGGUGCACGGUUUGGCAGUGAAGCACCGGGAAUUAAGUCAAUCUGAUGCUCAAUCCCUCGAAUAGGCGGUAAUCCCGGUGGCACGUCUUGUGGAAAAACGUCAGCGAACUCCUGCAAAAUGUUAGUGACAGCAGGAGGCAAAGAGGAAGGCACGUCCUCGAAUGAAAAUAAUGCCUCUUUGCACACAAAAGCAUAGCAAACAGAUUUGCUGUAAUCUAGCUCAUCAAUAUCAGAUUUGGUGGCAAAUAAACAUGCACUUUUUAAUUUAACUUCAGAAGCAACACUAGAUGGUUUAUUAUUAGGCUUCAUUUGUUGCUCAAAUUCUUUUGCCACAAUCUGAUUUUCACUCUUAUUCUUCUCCUGUUGUGCUUUAUUAGCUCUAUUAAUAUCAUCUUUCAAAAUGGAAUCAGGAGUCAUAGGAAGCAAAGUAAUAUUUUUAUCCUUAUGAACAAGAGUAUAGUGAUUGUUUCUACCAUGGUGUACAGAAUUUUUAUCAAAUUGCCAUGGUCUACCAAGUAAUAAGGAACAUGCUUGCAUAGGUACCACAUCACAAUCAACAUAAUCAGCAUAUGUAGAGAUACUAAAAUGCACACGAACAGUACGUGUUACCUUAACCUUGGCGCUGUUGUUGAACCAUUGGAUGUAGUAAGGAUGUGGAUGUGGUCUUGUGGUGAGAGAAAGCUUCUCCACCAUCUCCAUGCUAGCCAAAUUGUUGCAGCUCCCUCCGUCUAUUAUGACGCGCACAGAACGUUCCUUCACAACUCCCUUGGUAUGGAACAAAUUGUGCCUCUGAUUUUGCUCAGCUUGUGUGACCUGCACACUCAAAACACGUUGAGCAACUAAACAUUCAUACCUGUCAGCGUCUUCAGGAGCCAUGUAUUGCGUCUCAUGAUCAGAAUCAUCUCCACCAUGUUCUUCACGUGUAAUAAGAGCCAAAGUCUCCUCAUCAUAGUCACUAGCGGACUCAUAUCCACCAUCCGCGGUAGCAAUCAUCACACGCGGAGAUUUGCAUUCUCUCGCAUAAUGACCUCCUCCCUUACAACAACGACAAAUAAUAUCACUUGUGUGCCCUGUUGAUGCCAUGGAAGAAGAAGAACGCUGUGCAGGCCCCGCAGGUGCGCUCUUGGCAGAUAAUGGUGGUUGUGCCUGUUUUCUUGUAUCACGGCUGGAGGUGGCACCGGAUGGAGGUGCUGGUGCAGUUGAAGUAGAAGAUGCACGUGGCGUCCAUGAUGAAGGUCGGCCUGCAGAAAAGUUAGUUCGCCCCAAUGCUUGUCGAUCCUUCACUUCACGUUCAGCUUUACAAGCAAGAUGGAAUAAACGAGUGAUAUUAGUAUACUCCUUAUAGUCUAGAAUGGUCUGAAUCUCUCUAUUUAAUCCACCCAGAAAACGUGCAAGCAUAGCUUCAUUCUCCUCAACAAUACCACAUCUAAUCAUGCCAGUUUGUAAUUCCUGAUAAUAUUCUUCUACAGAAUUUUUUCCUUGUCUUAAACGCUGCAAUUUUUGAAGCAAUUCACGUUGAUAAUAUGGUGGAACCCAGCGCGUACGCAUAGCAGUUUUCAAAGCAGCCCAAGUAGUUGGAAUAGGAUAUAAUCUACAAUGUUCAGACCACCAUACACAUGCAAAACUAGUGAAAGCACAAACAGCAGCAGCAACUCGUCUCUCCUUAGGAUAUUGUAAACAUGUAAAUCGUUGUUCAGUUUCUAACUCCCAAGUAAGAUAUAUAUCAGGAACAUAUCUACCCUCAAAUGGUGGAAUAUUCAAUUUCAGUUUAGGAAUAUGAACAUCAUCUCGUACCUGAGGUGGUGGUGCAGGCCUACCAUUACGAAUAUAUACCUGAGGUCGACCUGCUGGUGGUGGUACAGGUGGCUGCACGUAGUGUUGAUUUUGAUCAACCUCAUCCUCAUAAUCUCCCACAUAAUCAUCCUCCUCCACAUCAGCAGCAGGAGCCACAGAAGUAUCAACAGCAGCACCAACAGUUUGGCCAAACGCAAGAGGAACACGGCUUGCUCGGCGGAGGUCUGCUUCGCGACGUGGAGGUAGUCGUUGUUGUUGUUGUUGGAGAGGUGCGUUAGGUGCAGCGGGUUGUGGUGGUGGAAGACGCGCGAGCAAUUCAUUAAACUUGUUAUCGAGCUUUGUUUCGAACGUCUUCUCAAGGCCAGUGAUCUUCUCCAUGGCCUCUUCAAAAUUGUUCAGCACAUCUUGCACCUGUUCAGUCAUCAUUUGCUGAAACUUAUCAUGAAGCUCCUUGUUCGAUAAAUUCUCCCAGUUAAUCUCGUCGGCUUGUGAUCCUGGCAUGGUUAGCAGCAAUAGAAACACACAAGAAUAUGAUCCUACAGACUACGAACAAGUGGUGGUGGUGGGUGUCACAAAUCCGUCAAGCAAAUCUCAAAUUCUUACCAGUUCUUACCCAGCAGUAGGCGGUGAUCGGCAACCGUUGUAGUCAAAAACUCUCAAAGCUUGGAUAGAGCGAUUACCAGGGAGAGUCAAACGCACGACGUAGAUGUAUGUGGAGCUGGGAAGGCUUAUAAUAUGGUAGCAAAAAGGGUCAGCAAUAAUCAAUUCAGAGAUGCAAAGUUGAAUAAACGCUCAACGACGGUACUGUGCUGGUCCUAGGCUAGACUGUGCUAGAGACGCGAGCCUAGAACACUAACAAAAUCACGGCGCGGCACGUAAACAAGGGAAAAGCACACUCUGGAAUUUUUUGUUUCGCUCUUUUUUUUUGCGCUCUCUUUUUUUUUGCGCAGUUUUUUUUUGCGCUCUCUUUUUUUUUGCGCUGCUUUUUUUUUGCGAAAAAUCACUAUAAUGGCGAGUGUCUCAAAACUCUUCUUAGCACAAACUGACAGGAUGGGCACGAAAUUUUUUCGACUAAUUUUUUUUUUGACUGCCCGGACCCAAAAACUGGAAACGGGUCAAAAAAAACUUCCUAUAAUGGCACCUGUCUCAAAACACUCAGAAACACCUAAAAAUAGGAUAGCCAGAAAUGUUUUCGAAAAAUGCGUUUUCGAAUUUUUUUUUUCCGAGACCUACUCCGGCAAGGAAACACGAAUCGGAAUCUAGAUGGAUCUCGAAAACAAACCUAAUAUGACAAGAACUCGGAUUGGUGGUGGAUAUAUGGUGGUAGAUGGCAGCGGUGGCAGAUAAACGGUGGUGGUAGAUGGCAGGGGCGAUGAUGAUGGUGCGGCGGCGGCAUGACAACUUAUGACCAGAACUCGAAACUCUAAAAGACUAGACUCUAAAACCAGCAACUAGACCGACGAUGCAACCGCAAAUUCAACAAAGCAAAACCCUAAAAAGAUUAUGCAAAGGCUCAGAUUGGUUCGGAUAUGAUAAACUAACCCUAAUUUUUUUUUGUGUGGCUUUUUCGUGGACUGUAGGUAUGAAGAACAGACUCGAUCUAAACGACGAAAAACUGUAAAAUCUCACCGAGCAACCUGGAAAUCUGAUACCACUUGAUAGAGGCAGAGGUGUCCCGUCUUUCGAUGAGAUGAUGGAUUUCGCUUUGGUGGAAGUCGUCUUUGACGAUCCGACUACGAACGUGCGAGGACGUCGCGCCUUAGCAAUCGCUAAACCAACUCCGAGAGGUUAUUGACCACGCCGGAGCACGACCAACCUGACCACGAGGGUCUGUUUCCUGCGAGCAAACGAAGAACAAGCAAGAAACUGAGAUUGCAAUCUGGAUAUUGCGAAUAUAAGAUGAAAGCUUUAUUGAUCAAGGUGGGGUUCUGUGACGCCUUUGUCUGGUCGUUGAACACAAACGAAGUACGCGAAGUUGCAGCUAUGGCGAACUUUUAAUCUAAACAAAACCCAAAGUCUAAACGAUGCCCUAAGGGCUGUAUAUAUGGAGGAAGAGGGGGGAAUUUCGUGGCCCUUGGUGGAGGGGUCCGAAAUCAACCCUAUCUCUUGUUUCCCCACACAUACGGACUCUAAAAAUAGCCUAUACUUAUGUAUUUCGAAAUUACAUGGGCCUGGCCCAAUAAUAAGGUGACGCAGCACCUAAAAUAGCCUCUGGACGAAAUUUAUGAAGUGGCAUCUUGUAUAUUUCGUCCAAGGCUUCAUGCACCCAUUAUGGUGGCUUCAAAGUCCUGAAAUCAUCACUUGUAACUCCGUUCUUGUUCCAAUGUUCAUCCUUCUCCAAGCUAGGCCCUUCAUUUGUAAGCAAAACAAAUGUAUCCAAUUUAGGCAGCAUCAUAUUCUCAUGAACAUUAGAAUCAUUACCAAGAAACGAAAGUACCUGGUAAUUUAGUUGGCGUGCACGAGCUCCAGUAAUUGGUCCAGUAUGUAUAGCAGCAGGGGCUGUGGGUGUAACAAUUGUAUUGAUGUCCUCAUCAUCCUCCCCUUCUUGAAAAGAAGUCGUCCUCGACGGAAGUUCAUCUUCCUCACCCAAAUAAGGCUUCAAAUCUGCAAUGUUAAAAGUGGGACUAACCCCAAAAUCUGCAGGCAGCUCAAGUUUAUAUGCAUUAUCAUUUAUUUUCUCUAACACCUUAAAGGGACCAUCAGCACGUGGCAUUAACUUUGAUUUGUGCAAAUCAGGAAAUCUAUCCUUACGCAAAUGUAACCAAACAAGAUCUCCAGGUGCAAACACAACAUGUUUUCUACCCUUAUCUCCAGCAAGUUUAUAUUUAGCAUUCAUGCGCUCAAUGUUUUCCUUAGUUAACUCAUGCAUUUUUAAAAUCAAUUCAGCACGUUGUUUAGCAUCAAAAUUAACCUUCUCCGAAGAUGGAAGAGGCAACAAAUCAAUAGGUGCACGAGGUAGGAAACCAUACACAACUUCAAAAGGGCACAUCUUAGUAGUAGAAUGCAAUGAACGAUUAUAAGCAAAUUCAAUAUGAGGCAAGCAUUCCUCCCACAUUUUCUUAUUAUUCUUCAAAACAGCCCUAAGCGUAGUAGACAACGUUCUAUUGACUACUUCAGUUUGUCCAUCAGUUUGGGGGUGACAAGUAGUACUAAAAAGCAGUUUAGUCCCCAACUUAGCCCAUAAACAUCUCCAAAAGUGGCUAAGAAAUUUAGUAUCACGAUCUGAAACAAUAGCAUUUGGCACACCAUGCAAGCGAAUAAUUUCACGAAAGAACAAAUCAGCAACAUUAACAGCAUCAUCGCUUUUAUGACAUGGUAUAAAGUGUGCCAUUUUCGAGAAUCUAUCCACGACAACAAAUAUGCUAUCCCUCCCCUUCUUUGUUCGAGGUAAACCUAAAACAAAGUCCAUAGAUAUAUCCUCCCAAGGAACACUAGGUACAGGCAAAGGCAUAUAUAAACCAUGAGGAUUGAGUCGUGACUUAGCUUUUUGACAUGUAGUGCAUCUAGCAAUAAAACGCUCAACAUCCCGUCUCAUCUUUGGCCAAAAGAAAUGUGUAGCAAGUACGUCCUCCGUCUUCUUCACGCCAAAGUGUCCCAUUAAUCCUCCUCCCUUACAACGACGACAAAUAAUAUCACUUGUGUGCCCUGUUGAUGCCAUGGAAGAAGAAGAACGCUGUGCAGGCCCCGCAGUUGCGCUCUUGGCAGAUAAUGGUGGUUGUGCCUGUUUUCUUGUAUCACGGCUGGAGGUGGCACCGGAUGGAGGUGCUGGUGCAGUUGAAGUAGAAGAUGCACGUGGUGUCCAUGAUGAAGGUCGGCCUGCAGAAAAGUUAGUUCGCCCCAAUGCUUGUCGAUCCUGCACUUCACGUUCAGCUUUACAAGCAAGAUGGAAUAAACGAGUGAUAUUAGUAUACUCCUUAUAGUCUAGAAUGGUCUGAAUCUCUCUAUUUAAUCCACCCAGAAAACGUGCUAGCAUAGCUUCAUUCUCCUCAACAAUACCACAUCUAAUCAUGCCAGUUUGUAAUUCCUGAUAAUAUUCUUCUACAGAAUUUUUCCCUUGUCUUAAACGCUGCAAUUUUUGAAGCAAUUCACGUUGAUAAUAUGGUGGAACCCAACGCGUACGCAUAGCAGUUUUCAAAGCAGCCCAAGUAGUUGGAAUAGGAUAUAAUCUACAAUGUUCAGACCACCAUACACAUGCAAAACUAGUGAAAGCACAAACAGCAGCAGCAACUCGUCUCUCCUCAGGAUAUUGUAAACAUGUAAAUCGUUGUUCAGUUUCUAACUCCCAAGUAAGAUAUAUAUCAGGAACAUAUCUACCCUCAAAUGGUGGAAUAUUCAAUUUCAGUUUAGGAAUAUGGACAUCAUCUCGUACCUGAGGUGGUGGUGCAGGCCUACCAUUACGAAUAUAUACCUGAGGUCGACCUGCUGGUGGUGGUGCUGGUGGCUGCUCGUAGAUCUGAUUUUGAUCAACCUCAUCCUCAUAAUCGCCCGCAUACUCAUCAUCCUCCCGGGUACCAGCAGGAGCAGUAGCAGGAGCCAAAGAAGCACCAACAGCAGUAACAGCGGCACCAGAAUUUUGUCCUGGCACAAUAGGAACACGCUGUGCUCGUCCAUACUGAUUCGGAAGGGGGCGUAGUUGUUGUUGUUGCAGAGGUGCGACAGGUGCAGCCGGUGGUGGAAGACGCGCAAGCAGUUCAUUAAAUCUGUUAUCGAGCUUUGUUUCGAACGUCUUCUCAAGGCCAGUGAUCUUCUCCAUGGCCUCUUCAAAAUUGUUCAGCACAUCUUGUACCUGUUCAGUCAUCAUUUGCUGAAACUUAUCAUGAAGCUCCUUGUUCGAUAAGUUCUCCCAGUCAAUCUCGUCGGCUUGUGAUCCUGGCAUGGUUAGCAGCAAUAGAAACACACAAGAAUAUGAUCCUACAGACUACUAAGAAGUGGUGGUGGUGUAUCACAAGUCCGUCAAGCAAAUCUCAAAUUCUUACCAGUUCUUACCCAGCAGCAGGUGGUGAUCGGCAACCGUUGUAGUCAAAAACUCUCAAAGCUUGGAUAGAGCGAUUACCAGGGAGAGUCGAACACACGACGUAGAUGUAUGUGGAGCUGGGAAGGCUUAUAGUAUGAUAGCAAAAAGGGUCAGCAAUAAUCAAUUCAGAGAUGCAAAGUUGAAUAAACGCUCAACGACGGUACUGUGCUGGUCCUAGGCUAGACUGUGCUAGAGACGCGAGCCUAGAACACCAACAAAAUCACGGCGCGGCACGUAAACAAGGGAAAAGCACACUCUGAAUUUUUUUUUCGCUCUUUUUUUUUGCGCUCUUUUUUUUGCGCUGUUUUUUUUUGCGAAAAAGCACUAUAAUGGCGAGUGUCUCAAAACUCUUCCUAGCUCAAACUGACAGGAUGGGCACGAAAUUUUUCGACCAAUUUUUUUUUUCGACUGCCCGGACCCAAAAACUGGAAACGGGUCAAAAAAAACUUCCUAUAAUGGCACCUGUCUCAAAACACUCAGAAACACCUAAAAAUAGGAUAGCCAGAAAUUUUUUCGAAAAAUGCGUUUUCGAAAAAUUUUGGGCCUAAACGGAGCGUGGCUACCCGACUCCGGCAAGGAAACACGAAUCGGAAUCUAGAUUGAUCCCGAAAACAAACCUAAUAAGCAAGGAACUCGGAUUGGUGGUGGAUAUAUGGUGGUGGUAUAUGGCAGCGGUGGUAGUAUAUGGAUAUGGAUCGGUGGUGGUAUAUGGACACGGAUUGGUGGUGGUAUAUGGAUACGGAUUCGGAGCGGUGGUGGUAGAUGGCAGGGCGAUGAUGAUGGUGCGGCGACGGCGUGACAACUUGUGAACAGAACUCGAAACUCUAAAAGACUAGACGCUAAGACCAGCAACUGAACACGACGAUGCAACCGCAAAUUCAACAAAGCAAAUACAGAAAAGAUUAUGCAAGGCUCAGAUUGGUUCGGAUGGGAUGAACUAACCCUAAUUUUUUUUUUGGCUUUUUCGUGGACUAUAGGUAUGAAGAACAGACUCGAUCUAAACUACGAAAAACUGUAAAAUCUCACCGAGCAACCUGGAAAUCUGAUACCACUUGAUAGAGGCAAAGGUGUCCCGUCUUUCGAUGAGAUGGUGGAUUUCGCUUUGGUGGAAGUUGACUUUGAUGAUCCGACUACGAACGUGCGAGGACGUCGCGCCUUAGCAAUCGCUAAACCAACUCCGAGAGGUUAUUGACCACGCCGGAGCACGAUCAACCUGACCACGAGGGUCUGUUUCCUGCGAGCAAACGAAGAACAAGCAAGAAACUAAGAUUGCAAUCUGGAUAUUGCGAAUAUAAGAUGAAAGCUUUAUUGAUCAAGGUGGGGUUCUGUGACGCCUUUGUCUGGUCGUUGAACACAAACGAAGUACGCGAAGUUGCAGCUAUGGCGAACUUUUAAUCUAAACAAAACCCAAAGUCUAAACGAUGCCCUAAGGGCUGUAUAUAUGGAGGAAGAGGGGGGAAUUUCGUGGCCCUUGGUGGAGGGGUCCGAAAUCAACCCUAUCUCUUGUUUCCCCACACAUACGGACUCUAAAAAUAGCCUAUACUUAUGUAUUUCGAAAUUACAUGGGCCUGGCCCAAUAAUAAGGUGACGCAGCACCUAAAAUAGCCUCGGGACGAAAUUUAUGAAGUGGCAUCUUGUAUAUUUCGUCCAAGGCUUCAUGCACCCAUUAUGGUGGCUUCAAAGUCCUGAAAUCAUCACUUGUAACUCCGUUCUUGUUCCCCUUGCGCAUGCCAUCAUCUCCAUUGAUGAGGACAUCAAUACAAUUGUUACACCCACAGCCCCUGCUGCUAUACAUACUGGACCAAUUACUAGAGCUCGUGCACGCCAACUAAAUUACCAGGUACUUUCGUUUCUUGGUAAUGAUUCUAAUGUUCAUGAGAAUAUGAUGCUGCCUAAAUUGGAUACAUUUGUUUUGCUUACAAAUGAAGGGCCUAGCUUGGAGAAGGAUGAACAUUGGAACAAGAACGGAGUUACAAGUGAUGAUUUCAGGACUUUGAAGCCACCAUAAUGGGUGCAUGAAGCCUUGGACGAAAUAUACAAGAUGCCACUUCAUAAAUUUCGUCCAGAGGCUAUUUUAGGUGCUGCGUCACCUUAUUAUUGGGCCAGGCCCAUGUAAUUUCGAAAUACAUAAGUAUAGGCUAUUUUUAGAGUCCGUAUGUGUGGGGAAACAAGAGAUAGGGUUGAUUUCGGACCCCUCCACCAAGGGCCACGAAAUUCCCCCCUCUUCCUCCAUAUAUACAGCCCUUAGGGCAUCGUUUAGACUUUGGGUUUUGUUUAGAUUAAAAGUUCGCCAUGGCUGCAACUUCGCGUACUUCGUUUGUGUUCAACGACCAGACAAAGGCGUCACAGAACCCCACCUUGAUCAAUAAAGCUUUCAUCUUAUAUUCGCAAUAUCCAGAUUGCAAUCUUAGUUUCUUGCUUGUUCUUCGUUUGCUCGCAGGAAACAGACCCUCGUGGUCAGGUUGAUCGUGCUCCGGCGUGGUCAAUAACCUCUCGGAGUUGGUUUAGCGAUUGCUAAGGCGCGACGUCCUCACACGUUCGUAGUCGGAUCGUCAAAGUCGACUUCCACCAAAGCGAAAUCCACCAUCUCAUCGAAAGACGGGACACCUUUGCCUCUAUCAAGUGGUAUCAGAUUUCCAGGUUGCUCGGUGAGAUUUUACAGUUUUUCGUAGUUUAGAUCGAGUCUGUUCUUCAUACCUAUAGUCCACGAAAAAGCCAAAAAAAAAUUAGGGUUAGUUCAUCCCAUCCAAACCAAUCUGAGCCUUGCAUUAUCUUUUCUGUAUUUGCUUUGUUGAAUUUGCGGUUGCAUCGUCGUGUUCAGUUGCUGGUCUUAGCGUCUAGUCUUUUAGAGUUUCGAGUUCUGUUCACAAGUUGUCACACCGUCGCCGCACCAUCAUCAUCGCCCCUGCCAUCUACCACCACCGCUCCGAAUCCGUAUCCAUAUACCACCACCAAUCCGUGUCCAUAUACCACCACCGAUCCAUAUCCAAAUACUACCACCGCUGCCAUAUACCACCACCAUAUAUCCACCACCAAUCCGAGUUCCUUGCUUAUUAGGUUUGUUUUCGGGAUCAAUCUAGAUUCCGAUUCGUGUUUCCUUGCCGGAGUAGGUUUCGGAAAAAAAAAGAGCGGAAAAAAAAAAUUCAGAGUGUGCUUUUCCCUUGUUUACGUGCCGCGCCGUGAUUUUGUUGGUGUUCUAGGCUCGCGUCUCUAGCACAGUCUAGCCUAGGACCAGCACAGUACCGUCGUUGAGCGUUUAUUCAACUUUGCAUCUCUGAAUUGAUUAUUGCUGACCCUUUUUGCUACCAUACUAUAAGCCUUCCCAGCUCCACAUACAUCUACGUCGUGUGUUUGACUCUCCCUGGUAAUCGCUCUAUCCAAGCUUUGAGAGUUUUUGACUACAACGGUUGCCGAUCACCGCCUGCUGCUGGGUAAGAACUGGUAAGAAUUUGAGAUUUUGCUUGACGGAUUUGUGAUACACCACCACCACUUCUUAGUAGUCUGUAGGAUCAUAUUCUUGUGUGUUUCUAUUGCUGCUAACCAUGCCAGGAUCAUAAGCCGACGAGAUUGACUGGGAGAAUUUAUCGAACAAGGAGCUUCAUGAUAAGUUUCAGCAAAUGAUGACUGAACAGGUGCAAGAUGUGCUGAACAAUUUUGAAGAGGCCAUGGAGAAGAUCACUGGUUUUGAGAAGACGUUCGAAACAAAGCUCGAUAACAAGUUUAAUGAAUUGCUCGCGCGUCUUCCACCACCACCACCCGCUGCACCUAACGCACCUCUCCAACAACAACAACAACGACUACCUCCACGUCGUGAAGCAGACCUCCGCCGAGCAAGCCGUGUUCCUCUUGCGUUUGGCCAAACUGUUGGUGCUGCUGUUGAUACUUCUGUGGCUCCUGCUGCUGAUGCGGAGGAGGAUGAUUAUGUGGGAGAUUAUGAGGAUGAGGUUGAUCAAAAUCAACACUACGUGCAGCCACCUGUACCACCACCAGCAGGUCGACCUCAGGUAUAUAUUCGUAAUGGUAGGCCUGCACCACCACCUCAGGUACGAGAUGAUGUCCAUAUUCCUAAACUGAAAUUGAAUAUUCCACCAUUUGAGGGUAGAUAUGUUCCUGAUAUAUAUCUUACUUGGGAGUUAGAAACUGAACAACGAUUUACAUGUUUACAAUAUCCUGAGGAGAGACGAGUUGCUGCUGCUGUUUGUGCUUUCACUAGUUUUGCAUGUGUAUGGUGGUCUGAACAUUGUAGAUUAUAUCCUAUUCCAACUACUUGGGCUGCUUUGAAAACUGCUAUGCGUCCGCGUUGGGUUCCACCAUAUUAUCAACGUGAAUUGCUUCAAAAAUUGCAGCGUUUAAGACAAGGAAAAAAUUCUGUAGAAGAAUAUUAUCAGGAAUUACAAACUGGCAUGAUUAGAUGUGGUAUUGUUGAGGAGAAUGAAGCUAUGCUUGCACGUUUUCUUGGUGGAUUAAAUAGAGAGAUUCAGACCAUUCUAGACUAUAAGGAGUAUACUAAUAUCACUCGUUUAUUCCAUCUUGCUUGUAAAGCUGAACGUGAAGUGCAGGAUCGACAAGCAUUGGGGCGAACUAACUUUUCUGCAGGCCGACCUUCAUCAUGGACACCACGUGCAUCUUCUACUUCAACUGCACCAGCACCUCCAUCCGGUGCCACCUCCAGCCGUGAUACAAGAAAACAGGCACAAUCACCAUUAUCUGCCAAGAGCGCACCUGCGGGGCCUGCACAGCGUUCUUCUUCUUCCAUGGCAUCAACAGGGCACACAAGUGAUAUUAUUUGUCGUCGUUGUAAGGGAGGAGGUCAUUAUGCGAGAGAAUGCAAAUCUCCGCGUGUGAUGAUUGCUACCGCGGAUGGUGGAUAUGAGUCCGCUAGUGACUAUGAUGAGGAGACUUUGGCUCUUAUUACACGUGAAGAACAUGGUGGAGAUGAUUCUGAUCAUGAGACGCAAUACAUGGCUCCUGAAGACGCUGACAGGUAUGAAUGUUUAGUUGCUCAACGUGUUUUGAGUGUGCAGAUCACACAAGCUGAGCAAAAUCAGAGGCACAAUUUGUUCCAUACCAAGGGAGUUGUGAAGGAACGUUCUGUGCGUGUCAUAAUAGACGGAGGGAGCUGCAACAACUUGGCUAGCAUGGAGAUGGUGGAGAAGCUUUCUCUCACCACAAGACCACAUCCACAUCCUUACUACAUCCAAUGGUUCAACAACAGCGGCAAGGUUAAGGUAACACGUACUGUUCGUGUGCAUUUUAGUAUCUCUACAUAUGCUGAUUAUGUUGAUUGUGAUGUGGUACCUAUGCAAGCAUGUUCCUUAUUACUGGGUAGACCAUGGCAAUUUGAUAAAAAUUCUGUACACCAUGGUAGAAACAAUCACUAUACUCUUGUUCAUAAGGAUAAAAAUAUUACUUUGCUUCCUAUGACUCCUGAUUCCAUUUUGAAAGAUGAUAUUAAUAGAGCUAAUAAAGCACAACAGGAGAAGAAUAAGAGUGAAAAUCAGAUUGUGGCAAAAGAAUUUGAGCAACAAAUGAAGCCUAAUAAGAAACCAUCUAGUGUUGCUUCUGAAAUUAAAUUGAAAAGUGCAUGUUUAUUUGCCACCAAAUCUGAUAUUGAUGAGCUAGAUUUCAGCAAAUCUGUUUGCUAUGCUUUUGUGUGCAAAGAGGCAUUAUUUUCAUUCGAGGACGUGCCUUCCUCUUUGCCUCCUGCUGUCACUAACAUUUUGCAGGAGUUCGCUGACGUUUUUCCACAAGACGUGCCACCGGGAUUACCGCCUAUUCGAGGGAUUGAGCAUCAGAUUGACUUAAUUCCCGGUGCUUCACUGCCAAACCGUGCACCAUACCGUACCAAUCCAGAGGAGACGAAGGAGAUUAUGCGUCAAGUACAAGAGCUUCUCGACAAAGGUUAUAUACGCGAAUCCCUUAGUCCUUGUGCUGUUCCUAUUAUUCUAGUGCCGAAAAAGGAUGGUACAUCACGUAUGUGUGUUGAUUGUAGAGGCAUUAAUAAUAUUACUAUUCGUUAUCGUCAUCCUAUUCCUAGGCUAGAUGAUAUGCUUGGAUGUGAUGCCAGUGGAAUUGGAUUAGGAGGUGUGUUAUUACAAGAUGGCAAACCUGUUGCAUACUUUUCUGAAAAAUUGAGUGGGCCUAGUCUGAAUUAUUCUACUUAUGAUAAAGAAUUAUAUGCUCUUGUUCGGACUUUAGAAACAUGGCAACAUUAUUUAUGGCCCAAAGAAUUUGUUAUACAUUUUGAUCAUGAAUCUUUGAAACAUAUUAAAAGUCAAGCUAAACUGAAUCGUAGACAUGCUAAAUGGGUUGAAUUCAUUGAGACUUUCCCUUAUGUCAUUAAACACAAGAAGGGAAAAGAAAAUGUUAUUGCUGAUGCAUUGUCUCGUCGCUAUACUAUGCUUUCACAACUUGACUUCAAAAUAUUUGGUUUGGAGACCAUCAAAGAUCAAUAUGUGCAUGAUGCUGAUUUUAAAGAUGUAAUGCAGAAUUGUAAAGAAGGAAGAAUGUGGAACAAGUUUGUCGUUAACGAUAGAUUUGUGUUUCGUGCUAACAAGCUAUGCAUUCCAGCUAGCUCCGUUCGUCUUUUGUUGUUGCAGGAGGCGCAUGGAGGAGGAUUAAUGGGACACUUUGGCGUGAAGAAGACGGAGGACGUACUUGCUACACAUUUCUUUUGGCCAAAGAUGAGACGGGAUGUUGAGCGUUUUAUUGCUCGAUGCACUACAUGUCAAAAAGCUAAGUCACGACUCAAUCCUCAUGGUUUAUAUAUGCCUUUGCCUGUACCUAGUGUUCCUUGGGAGGAUAUAUCUAUGGACUUUGUUUUAGGUUUACCUCGAACAAAGAAGGGGAGGGAUAGCAUAUUUGUUGUCGUGGAUAGAUUCUCGAAAAUGGCACACUUUAUACCAUGUCAUAAAAGCGAUGAUGCUGUUAAUGUUGCUGAUUUGUUCGUUCGUGAAAUUAUUCGCUUGCAUGGUGUGCCAAAUACUAUUGUUUCAGAUCGUGAUACUAAAUUUCUUAGCCACUUUUGGAGAUGUUUAUGGGCUAAGUUGGGGACUAAACUGCUUUUUAGUACUACUUGUAACCCCCAAACUGAUGGACAAACUGAAGUAGUCAAUAGAACGUUGUCUACUAUGCUUAGGGCUGUUUUGAAGAAUAAUAAGAAAAUGUGGGAGGAAUGCUUGCCUCAUAUUGAAUUUGCUUAUAAUCGUUCAUUGCAUUCUACUACUAAGAUGUGCCCUUUUGAAGUUGUGUAUGGUUUCCUACCUCGUGCACCUAUUGAUUUGUUGCCUCUUCCAUCUUCGGAGAAGGUUAAUUUUGAUGCUAAACAACGUGCUGAAUUGAUUUUAAAAAUGCAUGAGUUAACUAAGGAAAACAUUGAGCGUAUGAAUGCUAAAUAUAAACUUGCUGGAGAUAAGGGUAGAAAACAUGUUGUGUUUGCACCUGGAGAUCUUGUUUGGUUACAUUUGCGUAAGGAUAGAUUUCCUGAUUUGCGCAAAUCAAAACUGAUGCCACGUGCUGAUGGUCCCUUUAAGGUGUUAGAGAAAAUAAAUGAUAAUGCAUAUAAACUUGAGCUGCCUGCAGAUUUUGGGGUUAGUCCCACUUUUAACAUUGCAGAUUUGAAGCCUUAUUUGGGUGAGGAAGAUGAACUUCCGUCGAGGACGACUUCAUUUCAAGAAGGGGAGGAUGAUGAGGACAUCAAUACAAUUGUUACACCCACAGCCCCUGCUGCUAUACAUACUGGACCAAUUACUAGAGCUCGUGCACGCCAACUAAAUUACCAGGUACUUUCGUUUCUUGGUAAUGAUUCUAAUGUUCAUGAGAAUAUGAUGCUGCCUAAAUUGGAUACAUUUGUUUUACUUACAAAUGAAGGGCCUAGCUUGGAGAAGGAUGAACAUUGGAGCAAGAACAAGCAUGGAGAUGAUGGCAUGCGCAAGGGGAACAAGAACGGAGUUACAAGUGAUGAUUUCAGGACUUUGAAGCCACCAUAAUGGGUGCAUGAAGCCUUGGACGAAAUAUACAAGAUGCCACUUCAUAAAUUUCGUCCCGAGGCUAUUUUAGGUGUUACGUCACCUUAUUAUUGGGCCAGGCCCAUGUAAUUUCGAAAUACAUAAGUAUAGGCUAUUUUUAGAGUCCGUAUGUGUGGGGAAACAAGAGAUAGGGUUGAUUUCGGACCCCUCCACCAAGGGCCACGAAAUUCCCCCCUCUUCCUCCAUAUAUACAGCCCUUAGGGCAUCGUUUAGACUUUGGGUUUUGUUUAGAUUAAAAGUUCGCCAUAGCUGCAACUUCGCGUACUUCGUUUGUGUUCAACGACCAGACAAAGGCGUCACAGAACCCCACCUUGAUCAAUAAAGCUUUCAUCUUAUAUUCGCAAUAUCCAGAUUGCAAUCUUAGUUUCUUGCUUGUUCUUUGUUUGCUCGCAGGAAACAGACCCUCGUGGUCAGGUUGAUCGUGCUCCGGCGUGGUCAAUAACCUCUCGGAGUUGGUUUAGCGAUUGCUAAGGCGCGACGUCCUCGCACGUUCGUAGUCGGAUCGUCAAAGUCAACUUCCACCAAAGCGAAAUCCACCAUCUCAUCGAAAGACGGGACACCUUUGCCUCUAUCAUCCAUGCUUGUUCUUGCUCCAAUGUUCAUACUUCUCCAAGCUAGGCCCUUCAUUUGUAAGCAAAACAAAUGUAUCCAAUUUAGGCAGCAUCAUAUUCUCAUGAACAUUAGAAUCAUUACCAAGAAACGAAAGUACCUGGUAAUUUAGUUGGCGUGCACGGGCUCUAGUAAUUGGUCCAGUAUGUAUAGCAGCAGGGGCUGUGGGUGUAACAAUUGUAUUGAUGUCCUCAUCAAGUUGAGUGACAAGUGUGCAUAUGCGUGGAAGUGCAUCCGCAACUACAUUUUCCUUACCCUUAAUGUACUUGAUCACAUAAGGAAAAGAUUCAAUAAAUUCACUCCAUUUGGCAUGACGCUUGUUCAACUUAGUUUGACCAUUUAAGUACUUAAUUGUUUCAUGAUCGGUGUGUAUGACAAACUCAUGAGGUCGAAGGUAAUGUUCCCAAACAUGUAGCACAAGCACUAAAGCAUACAAUUCUUUGUCAUAGAUGGGAUAGUUAAGUUGAGCACCGGAGAGUUUUUCACUAAAAUAUGCAAUGGCUCGUUUUUCUUGCAUCAAGACUCCGCCAAUUCCGGUACCACUUGCAUCACAAUGAACCUCAAAAGUUUUCUCAAAGUUGGGCAAAGCAAGAAUCGGAGCAUGAGUAAGCAAAGACUUGAGCUCAUCAAAAGCGGUGGAUUGCAAAGAUCGCCAAACAAAAGGAGCAUUCUUCUUACUCAAGGCAUGCAAAGGAGCGGCAAUUGUGCUAAAGUUUUUCACAAAGCGGCGAUAAAAUCCUGCAAGACCAAGAAAACUACGCACUUAUUGCAAAUUGGUGGGUUGGGGCCAAGUUUUAAUUGCCUCAAUCUUAGUUUCAUCAACAUGGACACCCUUGGAAGAGACAACAAAACCCAGGAAAACCACUUUGUCAAUGCCAAACGUGCAUUUUUUCAAGUUUGCAUAAAGGCUUUCCUUGCGAAGGGUAUGCAAAACAGAUUUAACAUGAUUAAUACGCUCUUUCAUGGUUUUGCUAAACACAAGAAUAUCAUCAAAGUAAACCACAACAAAGACUCCAAUGUAAGGUCGAAGCACAUGAUGCAUAAGACGCACGAAAGUACUGGGUGCUUGCGAUAAACCCAUAGGCAUCACUAACCACUCAUAUAAGCCAAAUUUGGUUUUGAAAGCGGUUUUCCAUUCGUCACCCUCUUGAAUGCGGAUUUGAUAAUAGCCACUCUUAAGAUCAAUUUUUGAGAAAAAGUUGGCUCCGCUAAGCUCAUCAAGCAUAUCAUCUAAGCGAGGAAUGGGAUGCCUAUAGCGAACGGUAAUAGCAUUUAUAGGUCUACAAAUGGAACACAAGCGGAAACUUCCAUCGGGUUUAGGCACAAGUAUAACGGGAACGACACAAGGGCUUAGGCUUUCACGUACAUGACCGUUGUCGAUGAGUUGUUGUACUUGCCGUUGAAUCUCCUUGGUUUCUUCGGGAUUGACACGGUAUGGAGCUUUGUUUGGAAGUGGCGCUCCGGGGAUGAGGUCUAUUUGAUGCUCAAUGCCUCGUAGUGGAGGUGGACCCGGAGGUAGCUCAUCGGGGAAAACAUCUUGGAAUUCCUGCAAAAGAGAUUGAAAGACUAAAGGUAGCUCGUGAGAGGUGUUAGUUGUUGGCUCUCCAUCCUUGCACACUAGGACAAAGUGCAUCACACUCGAUGGGUUCUCACACACUUCUCUCAUCUCACUUUUGGUGGCAAAUAGGAUGAGGUUUUUCUCUCUAGGCGAAGAGGCGCUCAAGUUUGGCUUGUGGCUCUCACUCACUUUUGGGUGGAUCACUUUCUCACUCUUCUCUCCAUGAUGGGUGGCUUGCUUGUCGGCUAUCACUUGACUAGGAGAGAUAGGUCAUAGCACAUAUUCCUUCCCUUUCAUCUUGAAGCUAUAUUGAUUUGUGCGUCCAUUGUGGAUGACACCACGGUCGAAUUGCCAUGGUCGACCAAGAAGGAGGUGGCAAACGGUCAUUGGGACCACAUCACACUCCAAAGUGUCCUCAUAAGCACCAAUUUUGAAGGAGACUUGGACCGUAUGCUCGACUCAUAUAGUGUCGGAGUCACUUAGCCAUUGAACCUUGUAGGGUUGUGUGUGCUUCCUCUUGACCAAUUGAAGCUUGACGAUUAGUUCUUCACUUGCCAAAUUAUGGCAACUACCUCCAUCGAUGAUGACCUUGACGGACCUUCCAUUGAUGUCGGCCUUAGUGUGGAAGAUGUGGCAUCGUUGCUCUUCUUCUUGUUGAUGUUGAAGUGUCAAGACUUUGGAGACAACGAGAGCGGGGCUUGAAUCCUCAUCACAAAAGACUUGAUCAUCUUCAUCCUCAUUCACGCGCCGGUGCAUGGCCACUUGCUCAAGGGCUUCCAUCUCCUCAUCACUCAUGGAGUCGUAUGUACCAUCGUUGUUGAGGAUCAUGGUGCGCUUGUUCAUGCAUUGAUAGGACUUGUGGCCUCGGCCGCCGCAAGUGAAACACUUGAAGGAGCUUGUUUUGACGGUCUCAUCGGUCGGAGUAGAUGAUGAAGCACGUGGCUUGAAGUUGCUUGUAGUAGGAGGAAGACGACUUGAACUUGCCGAAGUUUUCUUGUAACUUGACUUGUCGUCGUUGCGUGGAGAAGGCUUGGUUGAUGUAGAUGUUGGAGGAGUCGUUGAAGCUUGGUUGGAGAAACCAUAGGUCUUGGAUGAGUACUUGCGUACUUGAAGUCAUCAUGCACUUGACGUUCGGCCUUGGUAGCUUGAUGCACGAGCUCAAUGAGGUUGGAGUAGGGUUGGAAGUCGGCAAUCUUCUUGAUGGGAUGAUUGAGUCCAUUCAAGAAACGUGCCAUUGUUUGCUCAUCAUCUUCCGUGACAUUGGCUCGAAUCAUGGCUAUCUCCAUUUCCUUGUAGUAUUCUUUAACACUCUUUGUUCCUUGCUUGAGGAGUUGUAACUUCUUGAAGAGAUCGCGGUUGUAGUAGGUUGGCACAAAACGUGCUCGCAUGACAUCCUUCAUUUGAGCCCAAGUGGUGAUUGGUGGUUCACCUCUUGCUUGACGGCGCUCAAGGACUUGUUCCCACCAUAUGAGCACAUAGUCUUGGAACUCAAGUGAUGCCAUAGCGAUCUUCUUCUCUUCCUCAUAGUUGUGCAAACGAAAGAUCUUGUCGACCUUCAAUGCCCAUGAGAGGUAUUCUUCGGGAUCAUUGCUUCCAUUGAACUUGGGCAUUGUGAACUUGGGCUUGCCAUAGCGUUGCUCUUCAUUGUGUUGUUGGCGAUGGUGAUGAUGACGCCCUUGACGUGGAGGGUAAUCAUCCUCAUGUUGCUCUUGGCAUGGAGGAAGUCCAUGAUCAACUUGCUCUUGUUGAACUUGAGGUUAAAGUGGGGCUUGACGAGCUUGAGCAGCUUGAGGAGCUUGAGGAACUUGACGUUGUACUCGCGGUUGGUAGUCCCUCUCUUGGAUUUCUUCUCGAAGGGCUUCCUCUUGAUUUCGCCGUUCGUGAUUGCGGUUGGCGAUCGCUCGACUUGAUUCUUGAAGGGCACGUUGCGCCUCAAGAGCUUGCGCUUCACGUUGUUGUUGUUGAAGACGUUGAGCCUCGGCAUCUUGUUCCUCUUGGUGUAGACGCGCUCGUUCUUCCUCUUGGCGCCGUAGUCGUUUUCGUUCUUGAGCUUGAGCAAAAGCGACUUGGUUUGAUUGAUGACGAGGGUCUUGCUCAUCGACUUGUUCUUGUGAAUGCUUGUCAUGUAGUGGGUUGCGAGAUGCAUGACGGUCUUGACGCACAGCUCGUCGAAGAGUGUUCGAUGACGGUGUACUUGAGUCGGAGAAGGUGUCGUCGGAGUGUCGACUCGAGCGGCUCCGUCUUGAGGAUGAAGAAGUGGAAGGACGGUGGUUCCUCAUGAGGACGCGGAUCUCGUCCAUUAUUGCAUCGUUCUCUUGCUUGUGAGCGUCGAAUUUGGUGUCGAAGUAGUCCCUCAUUGCUUGUUGCUCUUGGUGCAAUGCCUUUUGAGCUCCAAAUAGGUGGCUCUUGGUGACAAAUGAUGACAUGUCGUCGUCGUUCUCGAUGAGAGGUGGAGUGGUAGAAGAACUUGGCCUAUCCAUCAUUCCAAGUAAAAUGUAAGUGGUAGAAGGAAAAGAACGUGUACCAAAUGUACCUUGACCGAAGUUGAAGAUGAAUCAAGUUCACUCAAAGGCGGACAAUGAAAUAGCACUGUUGGUACCAAUUCUUGUCGGUUCUCACACCUACACACGUAAAAGCUUAUGGUGGAACUUAGUUAGGAUGGUGGCACAAAAUUUGAUGCAAUAGUAAGUGAGCUUCAAUAAUGUUGGAGAAGGUUCACAAAUUUGCAAAUGCAACAAGUAGACCAAGCAAGUAUGGGUACACGGAAACACACACGCAAAAUAGAUAAAGGGGAUUGUACAAUCCAAAAGUGAGCCAAAAUGUGGAAACCACGAAAAUGCUCUUGUUGCACAAUACUAGAGAGACGCUAGCACGAUUGCACAAUAGGCGGAUAGGAACUUGUGCACAACCUACUAGGCAAAAAUGCAACGAUCUCUAUCCCAAGUAUGCUAUAUGUAUGGUAUUUCGGUGCGAUGAUCCAAGAUGAUCCAAUAUGACAAUCUUAAUGUAGUAUGAUGCUAUGGUUCUUGUUCGUAAGCUAUUUGCUUAUCUUUCCUCUUUGCUUAAAAGCUUGGUUGGUUCUUUCACUUUUGAGCUCUUUUCUCAUCCAAAACUUCACGAACCAAGAUAGCAAUUGUGUAUGCUAUGUCAACUUUGUGACGCACAAGUGGAUCCCAAGAUAUGCACCACUAUGGUAUGGUAUGUAUGCUAUGGAGUAUGAUCACUAAUGUGCACAAGUCACGUUGCCGGCAAUACUCAAUGGCUAGUCUCGAUGGGUAAGCUACGCAAAAGUAGGGACAUGUGGGGUAUCAAUGCAAUUGCAAGGUAUGACAAAGAUGUCAUCGAUGUUACCAUCCUUGGUGAUGAUGAAUAGUCGAUGGAGAUGAGCGGUGGUGAUGUUGACGUCGAACCGUACCUAUAUAGCCGAAACACAAUAGGACACAGGAAACCACAAUCCAAACUCUCAAAGACCAAAACGUGUCACAAUCGACAUAGGAGGUAUUGGUGAUCGGUGGUGGUGUUUGUGGAAAGUGGUGUGGGUAUGCGGAAGUAGGCGUGGGCUCCGGGCAAAAUUGGGCGAAGAUAUGGUGGAUGGAGGCGCGGGGGUGGAGUUUCUGCUGCCAGGGGCCGGAUGUCCGGGCCAGACGCCGGAUGUCCGGUAUGUCGGAUGUCCGGUGGACUCGGCGGAUGUCCGGGCUCCUGGAUCAGGGACGAACACAAUUAACUCCGGGGCAAAAUUCGGACGAAUUGGUGGAUGGAAAAGGGUUGGGAGGGUGGGGAAAGCUAGAUCCACACGCAGCAACACAAAUCCAACAAAAUCUCAACUCACCAACAAAUCACAAAAAAAUGGGGCUAUUUUUGGCGGGGAUUUUCGGAUUUAGGACGAAAACAACAAAAUCAAGCUAGAAAACAAAGGGCAGGGGCUCCAAAAACGUGAUCAACGUGGCUCAUGAUACCAAGAUGAUGUAUAGCGGAACCCUAUGGUGACGAUCUUUCACGUUUGGAGUGGAUCAUAUGGGGAAUCAUGAAGAACACAUGGAAGCACGAAGGGGAAACACGGGGAAAACAAGAGAGAAACACGAAACCGACAAGGAAUCAAUCACACGAGUGCUAGGUCACCAAACACAAAGAGUAACAUAUGAUCCACAAUCAACAAAGGUAAGGAUACAAAGGUAACCUAUCUUCUCCGCGAGGAGGUCUUGAAUCCGCGAGGGGAUCUUCCCUUAGAGGGGUCUUGUAUCCAAGUGGAUCUUCUCCGAGGAGGCCGCGGUCUCUCACGAAGAGGAGAUUCGAUGGAUGAGCGAGGCUCUAUGAUGCGGAGCAUCCUUCGGUCAUCCCCAUGGACCUUCCGUCGCCUCACCAAGCACCAAGAGGACCCAUGACUAGAGCACGAGCUCGAGCUCUCGA